GUUGAUUUAAACUUAGGUCUUGUUUGGUGUUGAGGUGUUAUAGCUUUUAAGCUACAGGUGUUGUGGAAAAAAGCUGCAACUAUUAAAUAAAAGUUAAUAGCUUGUAGUAAAUAUAAUUUUUAAAUAAUAAUUUUGACAAAAUUAGUAAAGAUAUAAUAAAGUUUUCAUCAUACAAGUGUAAAAUCAAAUCAAGUUAACUUUCAAGCUACAACAGCUGGUGUUUACCAAAUACUUUAGUGCUUUAGUUUUUAAGCUAUAGUUGUCCAAUUCAAUCCCAAACGGUGCCCUUCAGGAAUUGUGCUCUUUUUAUUGUUAUAUGUUAUGGCUUUUGUAUGAGUUCCCAAUCACCAGUUUGACCAGCAAUUAUUUGAAAUGUGUGGUGGUUUGAAAAGACCUUAGCGCACAUUCCGUCCUCUUUAAGUGAAAUGUGGGAACCAACCGUGGUGAAUCUUGCACAUGCUUACAGAAAGUUAAAGUAUGUUUAAAUUUAUUGGAAUAGGCUGUGUCACUUGCAUUUUCUUGUUCUAUUGCCUACUCAAGAUAUUUAUCCUUUAUUUUAUUGUGUUUUUGUUGAAUUUUACAUGAAAUAUCAUUCAGAUAUCUAGAUUUGUUUUUUUUUUUUUGGCUAAAUUUUCAAGUAGAGGAUCAUCUUUAUCUUGAUAAAUGCAUUUUAUUUUAGGGAUUCCAGCAUAGGGUAAUAAUGUAAGAUUUUUCAGUUUGCAUCGUCUGAGAUUGUGAGCAGCAUGAAGAUAUAAGAAAGAAGUAUAACCUUCCUUAUACCGUCAUGGCUGCUUAUGAUCAGCUUUGCCCAAUAAGCUUGAGAGACUACUAGGAGCCGUAGAAGUUGUCUGUAGCACUUCCUAAAAGGACUUGAUGCAAAUAGUUUAAAUAAGGAUAUGCCGGAUUAUGGAUUGGUCUACUCUCUACUGGCUACUUCAUAUGCUACCCGUUUAUAUAUUUUUCUCUUUAUGGAAGAGUACUUUUUUUUUCAUGUUUUUGUUUUUUUCCUUCUUAGUAGGCGGUGGAUUUAGGUUUAUUUCUAGUAUUGCUAAUCUAUAAACAUACAUUUGACUUAUUGUUUAUUGAACCUGAUUCUAGAAUCUAUCAUGUUUCAGGAUAUAUCAUGAGGCAAUAUCCAGUUACGAGCGAGCGCUGACGUUGUCGAAUAGAAGUUUGAGCACAAUAGAAGUUUGAGCACCUAUGCAGGUCUUGCUUACACUUACCAUUUGCAGGUAUGGUGGAUUUAUUAUUAAUUCAUUUUUCAAUGAAAACUUGUGUGCCUAUGAAUAUUCUGCUGAUGUGAGGAGUAGUUAGCAAAUUGAUCUAAGUAGUAUUUGUUAGCAAAUACUAGUUUAUUGGAUGCAUCUAAUAUUUGCAGCUUAGGGUUUAAAAAACUAUUGUCAGAUCUUCACCGUUGCGUUAAAAAAACUGCUAGAGUCUAUGGUGGCGAAUUUGUUUCUUUUGGGUCUCUUGUGCAGGAUAACUUCUCUGCGGCCAUUACAUAUUAUCACAAGGUAAACUCAAAAGUGCUCUUGCUGUUUCCUUUAUGUGCAAUAAGCUUACUGUCUAUCGUAGUCAUCCACUGUUGAAGAGACAACUCUAAUCUCGCUACAUUAUAUGGAUCAUUGAUUUGCUUUUUCAUUCUAAUCUGCAAAUCAGGCAUUGUGGCCGAAGCCAGAUGAUCAGUUUUGUACCGAAAUGUUAAGUUUGGCUCUUGUUGAUGAAGAUCGCCAUGGCAUUGACCCCAAAAUCGAAUUUGAGUGUAAUUUGUUAUUCAUACCUAUAACAGUUUAAUUAUUUUGGUAUUGGUGAAGGGCUUUUAUUGUAUAAGCUCAGGGGCGUCAUCUUCAUCUAUAUUCUACCUUUUACAUUAUUAAUUUAUUUCCUCAUUUGUUGAAAUCUACUUGGCUUAGAAGUGAUUUAAAUUGCUUUCUUUCAUGGAACCAUUUUCUUCACAGUUUUUAUUAUUUACCACCAAACAGUUAAGUCUAGGGAAAUUUACAAAAAGAGCCAAAAAAAUUAAGCAUUUUUCAACUUUAACCCCCCCCCCCCCAAAUUUUUUCUAUCAACAUUAGUCAAAUCACCAAAUUGUGGACGAAAUUACCCUCAGCAUUCUCACGUUUCCCUCAAGCAAAUUCCUCCCCCUCUCACCAAAAUCUCAUCACCGGAAUCCUGUAUACAUCGUCGGCGGCAUAGAUCGGCAGUGGAGGAAGUUGUCGGCGGCUGAAACAAGCUAAAUCACGUUGAAAAUCUUCGGAGAUCUCCAAAAUCAAAGACAAAAAUUGGAAACCUUAGGUGAGUUGUUAUUGUCGUUGUUGUUGUUGUUGUUGUUGUUGUUGUUGAUGUUGUUGUUGUUGUUGUUGUUGUUUGGGCUGUUGUUGUUCUUGUUGUUGUUUGGGUUGUUGUUGUUGUUGUUAUUUGGGUUGUUGUUGUUGUUGUUGGUGUUUAAUGGCGGUGGUGGGUGAGAUGCAUGUGGGAAAGGGAAGGGAAGAGAAAGGGAAGGGAAAGGGAAGUGAAGGGGAGCGCGAGGCCGCGGCUGUUGCACGCGAGAUGCUCAUCUCGCGCGCGCGAGGCCGCGCCUAACGCACGCGAGAUGCGCAUCCCCCUCACGCGAGGCCGCGCCUGUCGCAAGCGAGAUGCGCACGAUACGCUCAUCCCGCGUGCACGGAUGGGCAUGCCACGCACAUUCCGGAUGAGCGUGCUGCGCGCAUUCCAGAUGAGCGUGCCGCGCGCAUCUCGCGGGCGACAGGCGCAGCCUCGCCCACGAGAUGCGCAUGUCGCGCGCGAGACGCGUGCCAGCCUGCGCGCUUGGCGCAGCUCUUGGUGCCUGUCGCACCCCCGUCGCACCAAGAGACAGCUCGUUGUUUGGUGUUGCCUUUUUUUUUUUUUGCUUUUGUUCAUAAUUUAUUAACAUAUAAUACUUUUAACUUGUACUAGAUAAAUGGGCAAAUCAAAAAUAGCAUUGCAUAACCCACCCGGACCGACGAAAGAACGAGGAAUGAUGAAGAUACCUUAUGCUGAUCACUUUCCCGGGCGUAUCACGAGUAUGUGCAAAUUAGAUGUCGUUGUUAAUGUCAUCUGGGAAAAAUUAACAAAGCAACAGUUGCAACUAUUCAAAGACAAUAUAUUUGGGCAUUUCUUACAGUGCCGAAGCUAUCCGUUCAGUGGCGCAAUUGUGCACAAUAUAUUGCUUCGGCAAGUGUCCCAUGGCGCUGGAAAUGAAUAGAAUGAGUUAUGGUUUCAAGUUGGCGACCAUUUAAUAUGGCUAUCGAUUGGAGAGUGGUGCCUAGUAACGGGACUUUGCUAUGGCAAAAAUGUCGUCCUGACGAAGCAUAAAACAAUGCAUAGGUUACUUAAGAAGUACUUUGGAGGUAGGAAUCGAUAUAAAUCUUGGCCAAUUCGAGGAAAGAUUUAUGAACUUAGACUUUAAGACUAUGGAUGACACCGAUGCGCUAAAAAUCGUCAUGUUUUACUUUGCUGAUAGACCACUAAACGGAAGAAAAGAUCAUUGUCAAAUCAAUUUCAAGUUGCUUAAUAAGGUAGAUGACAUAAAUCACUUUCGAAGUUGUUCGUGGGGUCGUUUGUCAUAGGAAACAAUAUAUAAAAGCAUUAAUAAUGCAUUGAACGGCACAGCCAAUAAAUUUAAGAGGGCAAGCGCAGAAAAUCCCUUGCAUAGAAUUAAGAAAUACAAUUUUUACGACUUUACGUCUGCAGUGCAUGUGAGUGAAGAAUUUUUUUUUAUAACUUAGUUUUGUUAUAAUAAUUAUUUAAUGACACGUUUUUUUACUUCAUAUCUUUCCUUGUUGAAGGCAUGGAUUUUUGAAGCGAUUGGAGGACUACCAUCAUAGUGGGUGGUGAAAAUUAGGAGGAAGGGUCCUCAGAUCGUGCGAUGGAAGCCCAUGGCUUCUUCAAAUAUAAACUUCGGCGAAGUCUAUAUAUACCUCAACGAGCGUCUUGAAGUCAUUUAUAUGUAUGUAUGUAUAUAACCGUUAAAUAAUAGAUGGUUAUACUAAUUGAAAAUUUGGUAUUCUUUACGAUAGGAUGGCACCAUUUUCCAAACCCUCAAACCGGAUGCAAAUGAGAAAGCCACAAAUUAUUGGAAGACCGUCGAGGAUUACGUGCCAUAUUUGCCAAGUUAGGUCCGUAAUGUGGGUAUCCUUUAUAGUAUCAUUGAAAACUGGAUGCAAAGUCAUUUAUAUGUUUGUUUUUUUUUUGUAUUUACUAUUUUCUGUUUUACUUGGUGCAGCACCAGCCUUCAAUCAACGAGGUGGAUCAUGACACCACGAGCCAAAUAGGACUGCAGCAGAGUCAUGUUGAGGAUGACUGUGCUGCCGACGACCAUUAUGAAUCCGCACACGAUUCAGAUGAUAGAAAUGAGCCGGAGGUAACUUUUUUCAUCCUGAACAUUUUGUUUAAUCACAUAUACCUAAUUUCAGCACUUUGUCAUUACUUUCUUAUUUUGUAAUAAUAAGUAAGGACUAAGUUUCGCAAUGAUUAUUUCGUUCAACGACUGGACAAAAUAGAGUCUUCCAUUCACGAGUUGUGGUCGGAACUUCAGACUGGACACAGUUCCAUUAACGAACUGAGGUCAGAACUUCUGGCAGAACGCAGAGAAGCACAACAAUACAGAGAAGCAGUCAUGGGUUUAUGGCUUCGUUUGGCGCGGGUUCUUCAAAGGGCACGUACGUUGAUUCUCCGUUUGGCCCCUCGCACACAGUGAGCAAGUUUCAUAUGCUUUUGUUAUGUUAUUAUAAUUUCAAACCCGAAAUUAUUUUAAUAUGUUCAUCUCCUCGAAACAACAAGCCCCAGAUGGCUAUGGUCCAAACGUUGAUGCUAGCUACGGUACGCAUACUGAUGCUGGUAAUGACGACGAGCACACCCCUAUGUCGUUGUACAGUUUAUAUGGGGACAUAAGUGGCGACAGUGUACAGAUAUUCACGGAGGUACCUCCCGGUGUUUGUAAGUUUGGCCGUCCGUACUGACCGUCGUAUAUCAUUGGCAGUCCUUACUUCAUUCCUCCUUUCAAGAGAGUUAGGAAUGCCAGGCCUAUGAAAUUGAUGAAAUUGAUGAACAUUACAGACUAUGAAAUUGAUGAAAGAUCGAGUGUGGAUAUGAAUCCACUUAGGGGAUUAGAAGAUUCAAGGCUAUGUGAGAAGUUUGAUCAGUGGUUUGCCGGCAAAUUUUUCGUGGAUCAGCCCGUCCAACAGUCCCGAAAUUUCUUUGAAAUACUCAUGGGCAAUGCUUUGAUGGGGUGGCUUGGUGACGAGGUAAGUGUGUUUAAUGGUCAGUACAUUACAAUAUUGUUCAUAUUUCUGCUAGCAUGAAUUAUGUUCUAAAUUUACUUGGUUUAAUCCCUUCACAACAUAUUCACAUGUAUUACCGCUUGAUUAGCGAGAAGCAACGUCGGUUUUCAAAUGCACUACCGCAGCGUGUCACACAUACAGAUACAUACUUUUGGGCAUGUUUACGAACUCUAUAAUCAUUAACUAUAAUUUUGAUAUUUUAAAUAUCUCGAAAUGUUAUUAAUUUUCUACUCAUCGUAUAAUAGGUGUUCCUAAAGCAAUUAUGGAACAAUGGUAGUUGUGAUGUCCAUUCAUUACAAUAUGGCAGCAACUUGAACUGAUAUAUGGAUGGGCGGAAAGAUAUUAUGUCCAAACCGUUUACGGACGUUGAUAUGGUAAGAAUUGUCACUCAAUCUUAUGGUAAUUGUGUAUAAAAUAUACUAAUUUAGUAUUUUUUUAUGUAGAUAUUCAUCCUUGUGAAUUUGGGCGGCGAUCAUUGGGUACUAGCUCAAGUAGACCUUCGCGCGAAGAGGGUGCGGAUUUACGACUCGUUGGUUAUCUUUCGCGAUGACAAAACAUAUUUGCGUAAAUUCAAACCUCUUUAGGUCGUCUUCCCUCAAUGGCUACAAGAUGUUGGAUUCUACAACAUCUGACCUGAGCUGCAGAAUGCCAACCCUUGGAAAGUAAGAAUCGUUAAGGAUGUGCCCCAACAAGAACCUGGAAGUGGUGAUUACGGCGUAUUUAUGUUGAUGUUUACAAUGUAUUUGAUGUUCGGGCUAAAACUUGAUUUUGAUAGUAGCCACGGGCAUUACUUUAGGAAGAAAAUUGUUGUAGAUAUAUUCACUGGCGAUAUUGCCUUGUAAGUCAUUGUAUUGUGUUCAGACUUGAUAUAUGGAUGUAGAUUAUUUUUUUAAUAGAUAUAAACUUUUGAUAUAUUCAUAUAUUUAGCUAUAAGUAAUUUUGAUCUACUUUAAUACUCAUUAUGCAAAUGAACAUAAAAUAAUAUACCUCAUUACAUAUAAUUGUAAAAUAAAUUAUAAUAAGAGUUCAGAAUUUAUAAUUAGUUACAAUGAUACAGUCAGUUUGGAUUCGACACAAUGAGAUUUUUACAUCUCUUGCGGUUAUGACCUGGUUGGUUGCAUCGACCGCAUCUCACAGUUCUUCGGUUAACAUUCUCACCGAUAGAAGGAAUUCUUAACUCUGGACGACGACCAGGUGGUGGUGCUUCGAUCGGUGGGUUAACUCUGAUUUCCUGGAUUUCUUCUGGAAUGUCCCAAUCUGUCAUGUCACCAACCAACGCCACUGGUUUUGCAUAUGCCAUGACCAAUGAAUAUUUAAAGUAAUAAUCAGAGCAAAGACUUAUGUAAUCCACACGGACAGUCAGACAAGCAGCAAUUGCAUGCGCACAAACAAGCUGAUCGAGUUGGAAUACUCUACAGGAGCUAGUUCUUUCAUGAAUGUCAACUAUCCCUUCCUUCAUACCUUCACCCAAAACGUGAAAUCGAUGCUGAGACACAGGCCGAAUGGUCAUUCUUUCGGCCAAAAUUCUCCUUUCUCCGACUAUCUCAUCUGCCUACGUCCUUAGACGAGUGCUCAUCGAUUCAGCCACAAUUUUCCUAUCAUAAAGCCAUUGUUGUAAUAUUUUUCUAAAGUGAUCAAUAAGAUAAGUUACAGGAAAUUUCGGUGGUUCCCUAAUUAAAGAAUUCACGCUUUCCACAAUGUUGGUGGUAAGUAUAUUGUAUCUCCUACCUUUAAAUUCAAACCUUGCCCAAUUACACGUACCCACAUUAUUCUCUAAGUAAUCAGCCGUGCCUGAGUGGAGCAUCCACAACCCUUCAAGUUGUCUUUUAAAUUCUUCGUGUCCAUAUGCCUUUGCUGCAUUAAUAAAGGCUGGCUCGAAUUGAUCCCAAAUAGCUUUGGACAUCCUAAAUUUAGACUUAAUGUUGCCUUUGACAUGGUAAAAAAAAAAACUCCAUGAGCAGCAGUGUGAAAUGCUUUUAAAAUGGCUCUUUUGAUGGCAGUGCAUCGAUCAGAGAUAAAUACUAACUCUGUUCUAUCGCCAAUCACUCCGUGUAACUUCGUCAUAAACCAUUCCUAAGCAUCAUUAUUUUCUGAAUCCAUGACCCCAAUAGCUAACGGAUACAGUUGAUUAUUACCAUCCAGACAUGCUGCUAUAAACAUGCUUCCACGAUAUAGCCCCUUUAAAUGAGUGUCAUCUACAGCGAUCACAGGCCUAAUGUACUGCGUGAAGCCCUUGAUGGAAGAUCCAAGCGCAACAAAGUAAUAUAAGAAAUUAUCAUCUCCAUCCAGCUAAAGGUAUGUCACUGUGCCCUCAUUCGCUUUGGUCAAAACGUGAGAGUAUUUGGGAAAUAAGUUGUAUGACUUUGCAGGGUUCCCUCGUACUAUUUCAAGACCGACUUCUUUAGCCCGAUAUGCUUGCUGAUAUGUUAAUUGGACCCCGUAUUCUUACUGCAUGUCUGCUCUAAUGUCAUUCGGCGUGUAUAUCCGUUUAGCUUGAAUAAAUUUAUCUGCAAUAAGAUGGCCAACAACCCGACUCUUAACUUGACGGAGGCCACUAGGUAAAACCUUAUUAGAGCACGUAUGAACAUUGUCAACUCUUCUCACUAUCCAAGGAACAUUCUGCUCAUUCGAAUCUUUCGUUGCGCAAAGAUGCCAAUUACAUGAUUCCGAAGAACAAUUAGCCUUAAAGCGUGUCGUUAUGGACCGUGCAAUCUUGAAAUCAAACUUUUCCCGCAAUGACACUUUGUGCAAUUCCAGUAUUAACUCAUUCUACUCAGCGAAUAACUUUCCCACACCAAUGUCAGCAGAAUUACAGCUUCUAACUAAGUCUGGGGCAACCAAGUUUAAAGGCAAAACUGGAGCAAGACUCACCAGGGGAUUAACUGUUGUCCUCCUCCUCGAACGGGCCAUCAGAGGAAUAGGUCGGUUGUCUCUAUUGUUAAUAGGAAUAUCAUACUGAUGCUCAUCCUCAUCAUUGAUAGGAAUAUCGGAAUGACCAAUGCCUAUAUCAUCAACUUCAGUAUUGGAGUUCAUGCCUUGCACACUAUUGAACGGUUCCAAACAAGCAUUAUCAGCUUCUGUGUUUUUGGUGUCAUAACCAAGAUCAUCAUAACUGCGGAACUCAUUAUUGUGAAAUGGAGAGUAAUGUUGCCCUAACGAUGUCCCUAAUGGUAACACAUUUUCUUCAACAUCCGCUAACAUAAUGCCAUUAUCAUCAAUAGUGUCAUUGUUUUCGUUGACUGGUGAGUAACGUUGCUGGAACGACAUGUGUUGUGGUAACACAUCUUCCUCAAUAUCGGGGACAGACUCGUUUACUCUAAACGAAGUUUCACUUUCCACAAGUGGCUCAGGAUUUUCGGCCGGAACUCGAGGAUAUGUGGUGACAAAUAUAGGGAGGCAUCCAUAAUUGACCACAUCAGAGGCCAUGUGCAAUACAACAUUAACCAUUUCAUCAUUAAAUAUGUCCAUAGGUAGUGAACAUGCACGAUAUAUUGUGUUACUAGACCUCAAAGUUGUCUUCAUCAUCAAACUAUAUUCAUUAGGAUUUAUCUGUAAAACUUCAUACACCCUUGCCAGAAAUUGCUCAAACGUACAAUCUUUCCGAACUAAAAAUGUUGUAUUCUUCGCAUUCACGUACUCCGUACGGCCAUCUGCUAACAUCUCCCACCAACCGUCGUAACAUAAUUGAAGUACAACGGAAUCCAUUAAACCUAAAAAUUAUAAAAAAAAACAUAAGAGAUAAGAUUUCACGCUACAAAACCUAGUAAAGUGAAUAUGCAGUACAUUUAUGUGGAUGAAAUGAAGUAUACAAUUUUGGAUUUGCUUCGUCUCAUCGUAAGCUUCAAAACGAUAUAUUAUACGCCUAAAACGGACACAUCUAGCCCAAGUUAUUACUUUCGAAAAAUAGCUUAAAUUUAGUGAGACAGGCAGUGGGACAUGUGCCUGUCUCACAUAAAACCAGUGGGAACAAGUGAGACAGGCGCCUGUCUCACAUAAAACCAGUGGGUUUAUAUGUGCGACAGGCGCCUGUCCCACUUGCCCGUCACACAUAUUUUGGUGAGACAGGCAAGUGGGACAAGUGCCUAUCUCACAUAAAUCUGCUGGUUUUAUGUGAGACAGGCGUCUGUCUCACUUGUUCUGGGCUUUUGUUUUGCUCGAUUUUUUAGGAGUUUAAAUGAUUGAUCUUCAUUUCUCAACUCAAACUAACUACUUUAACAAGUCACAUUAUUUUGUUAAUGAAAAAUAACAACGUUUGCAAUAAAAAACGCACUUCAAUUUCGAACUCAAAUGAUAAAAUCAAUAGAUUAAAAGUUUAGGUUAUGGUAAGAGUAUAAACUAACCUUAAGAAGCUCUCCAAUUGAUAAUUAUAUCUUCAAUUAUGUAAUGCUUGUUUGAUGAAAUUUGUUAAUUUAUUGAGAGUGAUGGAGUUUGUUGAGUAAUGAAGUUUGUUAAGUUGAAAAGGGAAAAGUGGUGGAAGUGCUGGAAUUGAAAAGGGAAAAGUGGCAUGCUUUGUAAAUUUGAUGAAAGUGAUGAGGGUAAUGUAGUACAAAAAUAGGGUGUUUGGCUAGUUAUGAUAGAAAAAACUUUGAGGGGUUAAAGUUGAAAAACGCUUAAUUUUUUUGGUUAUUUUUGUAAAUUUCCCUUAAGUCCAUUAAGAAAUUAAUGAUGUCACAUGGAUAUUUCAAGAAUUUUAGUUUAUUAAGCUGGAAGUAUUAUAAUAUUUACAAUUUUAUCAAUUGAUCAAUUUGGAUAAAUAAAACAACCAAUUGAUAAAAGUAUUAUCUCUUUGUGUAUGUUAACUUUAUUUUUUUAUUGAUUUGGAAGAUUAAACUUAUUUUCACAAUUUAGGGGUAAACCAGACUUUUAGUAUAAAUUCUAUUAAAAUUUUGUUAUUUUAGCAAGUAAAAUGUAAUAGUUGGAAUAUUAAACUGUAAAAAUAUAAUUAUUAAAAAAAUUUACUAAUAAAGUGAUAUAUUAGACGAAGUUAGGCGAUAAAGAGAUAACAUCCCUCUUAGGAAUUAAUUAUAUUAGUUUACAACCUUGUAAUCCUUUGUUAAGCAGCAAAGUUAAAUAUCUUUUAUUGAGUAUUUUUGUUUCCUAUUUAACACAUGCAAUCUUUAUUAAAUGAAUAAAGAUUUUUUUUAAAUAAAUAAAUAAAAGAGGAGCAAAGCCGAAAUCAAAAGAGUUAAAUUUCGUCGAGCCUCGUGUACUCAGUUUAGAAUUCUAAAUUCACAAGUCUAAUUAGGUUUAUAUUAUUAUUAUGAUAUUAGUUAGAAAGGCAGCUAGUAAGCAAGUCGAAUAAGACAGCUAUUAUUAUUAUUAUUAAGUUUUUUUGGCCUCCUGCCUUUCCUCUUAUGUGAACUUUGGUGAACGACUAAAGAAAGCAUCAGCUAAGCUUCUGAGUCUCAUCCAAAAAUUAUUGGUUUAUACCAAGAUUCCUAAUUGCUACCAUUUGAAUUGUUUUUCAACUUCUAGUUCUCAUAAUUUUGAGAACAAUGAAACAUGAAAAUAAUUGCUUUCUUUGGUGAUUGAUUGAUGUGAUUCUAUUUCAUUGGAUCAUUUUCUAUUUCAUUAUUAUUAUUAUUAUUAUUAUUGUGGUCGUCGUUUGUUUAGGUCACUUUGUAGUGUAGAUCCCGAUAAGCAAUGAAUUUUUUUGUCAUUUAUUCUUUUAGCAACUUUAAUAUUUUUCCUUAAGACUUUUCGUUUUCAGUGGAAACAGAGAUGCACGCGAGGUAGUUGUUAAUUUAGGAGUUGAGUUGAGUUUUUAUUGAGUAUUGAAUUAAUAUUUAUUAAAUAAAAGAAUAAAAGGAUAAAAUUGUAAAAUAAAUUCUUAUCAUUAAUAUAUUAUUCAGUAAAAAUUGAGUUGAAUAUUAAAUAUAGGUUAUAUUGUAACUUUCUUUUAAGUUAUAUGAUUUUAUAAUUAAAUCUAGAGUCGUGCUAAAUUACCGGGUGAGUAAUUUACGACCCAACCAUUUUGUACAAAUAUGAAUAAUUAUAAGAGUGGAUCCAGGCUGCAAGUUACUACUGAUGCUUUAACUUAGCGAAAAACCUUAAGUCUUUUUUUUUUGGAUUAUUUUCUCCAUUUCGAUAACACCACUCGAACUUUAGUUGACCACGUGUCAACAUUUCAAUGGUAUCAUAUCAAAUUAUUAGCUGUGAAUCAUUGAGUAUGAAAACAUACCGGACCCACAACUUUUGCUUUUACGUGAACGUGAAUCAGAUUCUUGGAAGCUGUGAAGUGGGGACUGAUCGUUUAAAUUAUUUAAAGCCAGCAAUAAUUGAAGUUUUAUUUAUUUAUUUUUUAUUUUUUAAAUGAGGCAAUAAUUGAUUAUUACUUCGGGAGGUUGCCAAUUUUUUCCCUAUAGUAAUUAAUAUAUACCAUUUUUUUUUUUACUGUUUUUAUAAUGGCCAAAAACCCGACAGCAUAAGUUUAUAAUAUUACCUUUAUUUUCAACUACUCUUUUAUUUAUAUUUAUUAUAAGUUAAAUAAAUCACAUAAAUAGAAACAAAAUAAAAAAUUAAAUAUGAAAAAUAAAAAAUAAAUGUUUUGAUAUGAGCAAAAAAAUUAAUAAUAAAUUUUUUUCUUGUACUUAUUUAUUUUGUGAAAAUUUUCUUAUAAUAAAUAUAUAAGAAACUUAUUAUAAAAUGAUAAAAAAAUUAUUAUAAAAAAACUUGAAUGACAAAUAAAAAUUUAUUAUAAGAUAAAUAAUAAAAUAUUUUGCCUAUACUUUUUACAUUUAAUUUUAAAAUAUUACAAAAUGUUUAUUAUAAGAAAAUAUUCACAAAAUAAAUAAUUAUAAGAAAAAAAUUUUAUUAUUAUUUUUUUGCUCAUAUCAAAACAUAUAUUUCUUAUUUAAUUUCUAUUCAUGUAAUUUAUAAUAAAUAUAAAUAAAAAAAUAACUAAAAAUAAGGGUAAUAUUGUAAACUUAUGGUGUUAGGGGAUUUUUAAUAAUUAAAAAAAUAAUUAAAAAAUACAUGAUAUAUUUUAAUUACUGUGAGGGGAAAAGUGGCAAUCCCCUUAUUACCUCCACCAAAGCUUUAUGAAAAGGGAGCUGCUACCUUGUUUUCCACGGCAUAAGACGAUCGCUCUUAAUUUUAAAUGACUCAAGUUGACUUACCGUUGAACUGGAAGGACAUAAAGCGAAUGACCUUCUCAUUUUCCAUCUGCCACAAAAAUUUAUUUAAAAAAUAAGUGCAUAAACUAAGCCGGUCUUAACGUUUAAUUUUUAACCAAUAUAUAUAUAUAUAUAGAAAAAUAAUAUUUACAUUCUAAGGUUUAGGAAAAUAAUCACAAAAACUCUUGAGUUUUUAAUAAAAGACACCGAAAUUCAUUUAUGAUUAUAAUACCCUUUGACUCUAUAAAUCUCUAAAAAUAUAACUCUAAAAUUUUAUAAUAAAUAGAAAUAUGGCAUUAAAAUAAAUGUAAUAAUAUAUAUAUUUCAAAAUAAUUUUAAUAUUUAAAAAUAUUUUAAUAUUUUUAAUCUAUUAGACCUCUUUUAUUAUAUUAAAGCAAUUUUUAAUAAUAAAUAGAAACAAAAUAUUAAAAUUAAAAUUAUUUUGGCUAUUAUGUAAAAGUUAAUUUUAAUAUUAUUAAUAGGGGGAUUUUUUUAAUUGUAAAAUCUAUUUAACCCAAAGAUUUAUUUAAAAUCUUUUUCAUAUUACAAUUAUAUUAUUAAAAUAAUUAUAAUAAUUUAAAAUUUUAAUAUUAUUUUAAAUGUAAAAAAAAUUAUUAUUAGUCUACCAAAUAGAUUUAUAUUAUUUAUAUUAAAUUUGUGUUAAUUAAAAACUUUUAAAAUCAAUUUUUUAAUUACUAUAAUCAAAGGGUAUUAUGGGUAAAAAAGAGUUUUUGUAUCCUUUUUUUUAAAACUUGAGAGUUUUUAUAACUAUUUUCUCAAAUUUGGGAAAUGUCAUUGUCCUUUUUCUUUUUUUAUACGAACUUGGAUCUUAGUUUUUUACAAGUAUUUAAAUAUUAGUACGUGAAAUGUAUUUUAAAAUAUCCAUCAAUUUAUUAUUUCUUAAAGUACAUUUUAUUAAUAAAUAGCAUAAUACACACGAAGGACCACUGAUAUUGAUGUUCAUACAUCGGAAUCAAUUUUCUUUAUGGGGAGUCUACGUCAUGAUUUCUAUGUCACGAAUUCUCCAAAAUAUUAUGUAUAUCUUGAUUUCUACCUUUUAUGAGGAGUCUACGUCAUGAUUUCUACCUUUUAUUAAUAAAUAGCAUAAUACACACGAAGAUAGGGGUGAUCGCGGAUCGGAUUUUAUGGAUUGGACAUCAAUCCAUAUCCGAUCUACGAUUUUACGGAUUAUAAAUUUUCAAUUCAAUCCAAUCCAUGAAUUGGUGAAAUUCAAUUCAAAUCCAAAUACAAUCCAUACAUCUGCAGAUCGGAUACGGAUUUGACCAAAUUCAUAUUCAAUCCUUCAUUUUGCGGAUUAGUUUGCGGGCUGAAAAUUUUUAAUACUGUCAAAUCCACAAACUAACUAAAUAAAAAAAUAAUAUAAAAAUAAUUUUACUACCGAUCAAAUUUAAAAUUAAAUAAGAUUUCAAUAAAUUAAUUGUUUAAAUAAAGUUAGAAAAUACAUUUAAAGUUUCAAAAUAAAACACACCAAAACGAAAAAAAUCUUAUUUGUUUAGAUCGGUACAUUUUUUUUUAUGCGAAUACCACUCUAUUGGUGGGGGGUUAGGUAGGACCCCUACUUGGCAUUUAGAACAGAUAAUGAAAAACACAUAUGGAGGGGGACAUAAACCAAAACCUCCAAUCUAGAGAAAUAAAUAUAACAGUAAAAGAAAUGACUUAGGCAUAGCCUAACAUAAGAAGAAAAAGAGUAAUGCAGACGGUGACAAUAUCUCUUACGAUACUUGCGGCCGGCAAGUAAUUUAAUGUCAUUUUUCGAGUGACCGACAACGAUAAAAUCAGGGCUAGAGUCAAUUCUCUCAGAAUUCUCAAGAGCAGACAGAAAAUAGUCAUUAUUCGCCAAAUGUUCGUCAGAACUAUCAUCAUUAUCAGUAUGAGAAUUGUAAUGCCUAAAAUAUGUGCUGGAUGCUCGAUGAAGCUAUAUAUUAUACUCACUUGGUUCUCAGAUCCUAGAAUCAUGAGUCGUGACAUCCUGGCCAGUCGGCUCCUGAAUGGAAGUAGAGUUUGUAGCGUUAACUUGGUUCUCCGUAGGUACAAUCGGAGACCCCACAUCUGCAAUUUGCUCAGUGAUGGAAGGCUCAAGUCGUGGAGUAUCCAAGGGUUGUGGAGUAUCUGACGGCAGAACUUCUGACUUCUUAUUAUCUACUCUGGUUUGCCAAUUCCCACUGGGUCGCUGGGGAAGGACCCCUGGAUUGGCCACGAAACACGUCUCAAUGGUAUGGCCAAGGCGCUUGCAGGAAGCACAGUAGAGUGGGAUUUUCUAAAAAAUUACACUCUGCCAAAAUCCAAAAUCUCUCACACCGAUUCGUAUUCGUGGCAACGAAGGUUGAGUGACAUCAUACUCCACUAACACCCUAGUUACAGAAGGGCGAUCUAAAGAGGCAGUAGCUUGGUCAAUUCGUAAUGGCUUGCCAAUAGCUGAUGUAAUAGAAAAUAAUGCUUCCUUACAGUGCAUAAAGUGGAAAGCAAGUAAGGAAAUGAAAUCCAUACUGGAACUAUAGGGGACUCCUCGGAACAUCGAAAAUCGAUGGUCUAUUUAAAAAUUCUCAUGGCACUCUCAUUGAUGUACCAUGUCUGUCUAACCCGUAGGCGGGAGUAGUCCUCCUCAACAUCCAAUUGAAUUAACACAUGUCGAUUAUCUAAAAAGGACACCUUGGAAGUUCCCUUCAAUCUCAUAGUAUUAAAAAAAUUUCAAAUUAAUUCCAUACUAGGUCUAUUGUAGGAAAAUUUACCUACCAAUGUCAGCUUGAAAGGAAUAGGCAUCGCUUGAAUUUCCGCAGUGGAAAAUUGCGCUUUAGGCUCUCCCUCGAACGAAGUGACAAUCUUGAUUGGAAUCGACGAGCUAGUUGGGACGUUCAUAAUAUCCACCAAAGAUUUUUUAGUGGGUUUAUUUUGAUUCGGAUUGGGGACAGAUUCUAAAACCGAGGCAUGAGAAUGUGCGGAUGUGGGCUGAAUGGUAUUUUAGAUUAGCGGAUUAUUUUGGGGGUUAUUUAAUAAGAUCGGAGAGGGCAUUUUGGAGGGCUGGGUGUUGGGGUUUAUUUCGAAAACGGAUUGGGCUUGGGUUUGACUAGUGGGAAAGGUUAAUGGGGCAUGGGAAGAGCUAGUGGGAGACACACAUGAGGAACACAAUUCAUGUGCUAUCGAAAGUGUCUUAUGAGCAUGGGAAUUACACGCGUGCAGACUUUUAAGCUGGUGUUGGGUGGAUGUUUGCUGACCAUGGCUGGGUUCUGUGGUGAUUGCUUGCAGCUGACUUUCUGUUGACAGUUGUAGCUGGCCGUGAGCUUGUGAUUUGCAUGGGGUUUUUUGUCGUGUGGGAGUUGUUUGUGUAGGUGGUGAUUGUGGCUGGCUGGUGGUUCUAUCUUGGACCGAAUCUUGAGACAAAUGGCCAUGGAGUACGGGCUGGUUUUGAUGGUGUAUAGGGGCUGUGACAGCAGGAUGAACUCCCGAAUGGUGUGUGGUUUGUGUUGGCUACGGGCUAGAGGCUGGUGGCUGGUUGGUUUGAGAUGAAAACCCAUUCACCAAGUCUGGUGGUGAAAGCUUGGAGUUGGCUGUUGAAGAGGUGACGAUGGCGGUUGGAGAUGGUUGUUGAAGGGACGACGAUGGCGAUGUGUUUGUAGAAGUUGAGGGCUGUUGGGGUUGAGCUGGCGUUUGACUCCUGUAUUUUGAGUGAGUUUGCCUUUGGGAUCUCCUAAGAAAAGGAGGUUCAUUUCUGGAAGUGAGGGGAGGAGCCGGUGGUGGUUGGUUGCUAUUAUCGUCAACCGGCUAGAUAAGAAUCGACUUGUCUCGAGUAUUGGUUUCUUCCCCUUCUUCUAGUGAAUGGAGGGGUGAUUUUGCUACCUCACGGCAGCAUUCAUAGUCAUUGAUGCCACCAUUGAUUGCCAUUUCUUUUUGCUCACUUAUGGCAUUAGGUGUGAUUGAAGGUUGUUGAAGUUUCGAGAGGAUAGCGGCAGUGGACAAUGGUGGUUGGUUUGCAUGGGGUUGGAUUUGAGAUGGAGGGUUUGCAUGAGAGUGGUUUGGUUUGAUUCGCGGUGAUGGCAACUGGACGUCCGGUGGCGGUUCAUUUGUGAAUUUUGGGGGUCGUCUAAAUGAUUUCUUAGGAGGGUUCGAACUCCUAAUAAUUUGUUCUUCUGCAGAGAAGGUGUAGACUGGUGAUGGCCGGUUGCCAUCAUCGGCGGCCGGAGAGGCCAUUAAGGCCAUUUAAGGCUUUUGAAGGGGGAAGGGGGAGACAUGUAGUUGAUAUUAGCAAUUAGAUCAGUAUAUGGAAAUUAACUAUUUAAGAAGUUAUAUUUGUUUAUUUAGUUGUUUUUAUUUUAUAUUAUUAUUGGAUAAAAUAUAAUAUAGUGUUAAUGUAACUAUAUUUUAACUUAUUUAUUUACUAGUAAAUACUAAUAUUAUAUUUACAAGUUUUAUUUUUUAAUUAAAUAAAUACUUUUUAUUUUUUUGCGGAUUCGCAGAUUUUUGCGAAUUUACAGAAGUAGAUCCAUAUCCAAUCCAUCGAUUGCGGAUUAUCAAAUUUUCAAUCCAAUCCAAUCAACGAAUCGGAUUUCUACGGAUCAAACGGAUUGAGCGGAUCGGAUUGGAUUCUGAACACCUCUAUAUGAAGGACCACUGAUAUUGAUGUUCAUACAUCUGAAUCAAUUUUCUUUACGAGGAGUCUACGUCAUGAUUUCUACGUCACGAAUUCUCCAAAAUAUGAUGUCUCUCACUCUUAUUUAAGGCAAACCUCAUAGAGGCAAUCACAGAACAUGAAGAAAAUUAAUUUUGUUCCUAGUCCUCACUAUCUAAAAAGAAUUUUCGUUGAAGCUAUAUAUAUAUAUAUAUUGAAUCUUUUGAAAAAAAUUGCUUCCUGAGCAUAUGAUUUCUUGCUGGGUUUCUUCAAUUGCUCUUCUUGUUCAGUUGUUAAAACUUUCCAGUUUCCUCUCUGUAGUACAAAGAAUAUUUGAUCAUUGAAGUGCCACCUUCGUAGUGUUAAUUUCGGUGAUGGAGUCCGCUGCUCAAGUGAGGGAUGUCGAUGCUUUGUAUGAGCUAAUUCGACAUGAUCGAUAUUUUUUGGACAACUUCGACGAGAAACCUUUUGUCGAUACUCCUUUGCAUGCUGCUGCAAGGGAUGGAAAUGUUGAAUGGUCCAUGGAGAUUAUCAGACUAAAGCCAUCAUUUGCCAGGAAGCUAAACCAAGAUGGCUUCUCUCCGGUGCAUUUAGCUUUGCAAAAUGAUCAAACUCAGUUAGUGCUUCAGCUGAUAGAUAUUGAUCCGGACCUUGUUCGUGUCCAAGGAAGAGAAGGCAUCACUCCUUUGCAUUUCGUGUCUGAAAAAGGAGAAAUUCAUCUGUUGAGGGAAUUUUUGUCUACUUGUCCGAAAUCUCUUGAAGAUGUGACAAAUAAAGGCGAGACUGCUCUUCAUAUUGCUUUGAAAAACGAUAAGGUCGAAGCUUUUGAUCAAGCCUUAACAACAGUACGACCACCGUGGCUUGGCCCUGAAGAAGCUCAACCAUACAAUCAAAGAAUCCUCAACUUGAAGGAUAGGGAUGGCAACACUUUGUUACACAUAGCAACAUCCAAAAGUCAAGUCAAGGCAAGCUCGAAUCCACACACAUAUAUAUAGAAAUUUUUCAAUGAGGUGCAGUCACCCUCAUUUUUUUUAAUGCAGACAUGCUAUUAAAUUAUGUGAUUUAAUAGAGUCAAUUUUUAAUUCAUUAUAAAGCUGUGUAUUUUAAUAGCAUGCCUGCAUAUAGGUUAAUAGAGUGUUCAUAUGAGAAAAAAAAAAUGAGAGUGUUCACAUUAGAGAAUGACUAUAUUUAUAUAUAUAGUAUCUAAUUAAUGACCUUAUCUUCAUUUUAACAAAGUAAAGAUAUCACAAAUAAAUAAAUAAAAAGUAGUUUAACAAAGUAAGGAUAUCAUUAACAAAAAAAAGCAGUUUUCAAUAUAUUGAAAUAUGUGUUUUUUUUAAUUUUAUUUGCAUUCUUAUUUUAUUAAAAUUUCUCGUUAGGGAAGGACUAUAUGUAUAUGGUCACAAAUAAAAUUCAGUUGAAUGAUGUCUAAAUUGAUGAAUUUGUUUAUCCAAAGCAGAUUGUAAGGUGUUUAUUGAAUUGCAAAGUUGAUACAAAUGCCCGGAAUUCGGAAGGUUUGACACCUUUAGAUAUUUCAUUACUUGAUAAAACUAAAUCAGAAAACCAAGAGAUUGCGGCAAUACUGCGGGAAGCUGGAGCACUAGAGGCAACUUCACUUCCUAUUACCGACAAGGAUAGACAUUUAUCGAGGUAACAGGAACACUGCUCUUUUACUAAAUUACAGUCCAUUUAUCGAUCAUCUUUUUAAAAACAAUAUGGCAUUUUCAUACUAUGUACAUCUCAAAAAAUGUUUAAUGUCCUUCAGAAGUAAGGAUCAGAGGCUGAACGAGGCUGCUCAAGCAGGAAAUGUUGAUGCCUUGUAUGAAUUAAUAUGGGAGGACGCAUAUCUUUUAGAUCAGAUAGACCAAGUACCAUUCGUGGAUACUCCUUUACAUAUAGCAGCAUCAAUGGGGCAUAUCAACUUUGCCCUGGAGAUAAUGAGGUUAAAGCCAUCAUUUGCGAGAAAGCAAAACCAAUAUGGAUUUAGUCCCCUGCAUCUUGCUUUGCAGAAGCAAAACCAAUAUGUACUUAGUGGCGAGGAUCUUUUGCAGAAGAAACAGACCCAAAUGGUGCUUCGGCUCAUAGACGUGGACAGAAAUCUUGUUCGUGUCCAAGGAAGGGAGGGUGUAACGCCUCUACACUAUGUUGCUGAGAAAGGAAAUGUCGAUCUUCUAUGCAAACUUCUAGCGGCUUGCCCUGAGUCCAUCACAGAGGUGACAAUCCGUAAAGAGACUGCUUUGCAUGUUGCUGCAAAAAAUGACCAGUUGGAGGCCGUUGAGUGCAUGCUAGGAUGGCUUCGAUAUGUCGACAUGGAGGAUAUCCUUAACUGGACGGACGAUGAAGGCAACACUUUAUUGCAUAUCACAAUCUCCAAAAGUCAAAUAAAGGCAUGAAAUUUUUUUAAAUUUUACUUCAGUUAGUCCCUAUAUUUUCAUGAUUAUUAAUUGCAUGCAUAUAUAAAUAUAUACUUGCAGUUGGUGAGGCUACUAGUUAAAAGAGCACGUGAUCAAAUAAAUGCCCGGAACUUAGACAAUAAGACACCCAUGGACAUGGUAGAAGAACAUUUGGGAGGGAAACCUGAAUUUAAAGAAGUAACACGCAUGGUGCGCAAAGCUGGCGGUAGACAAGGGUCCUCCCUUCCUGAUGGGGAUAUUGCAGGUUACUUAAAACAAGGUUUGACAUGGCGUCGAAACGUGAUUUUGUUCCUUUACCGCUUAUCACAGCACAUUACGGAUGAAAAUCGAAGCGCACUACUUGUGGUUGCUGUAUUAAUAGCGACAGCCACAUUCCAAGCAGCGCUUACCCCGGCUGACGAUCUUCAGGGAAAUAAGUCAACUGGAACCCCCAACUCUAUUGCCACUAAUGGAUCACACUCACCAUCGACAUCGGCAUCGGCAUCAGCAUGGGCAUAUGUAACACCAUCAGGAAGAGCAAAUUCAACCGCCAUUUCUCGGGGCAAUGGAACCAGCAGCAGCAUCCCAACAAGUGACAAGAUUCUAUUCGCUCCGGGGCAAUUUUAUGGCGAUGCCAUCAGUGAUAUGAUCUCCACACUUUUCGCAUUUUCAAAUAUUUCAGCCUUUUGUAUAGCUAUGCUGGUGAUUAAUUAUAACCUCCCGUGUGGCUCUACUCUGGUAUAUCCUCUUGUUAUUUGCUUUUGCCUGUUAGUGGUUGGCAGAACCCCGGUGUCGCUACUUGCCUCACUUUUAAUGUUUAUCGUCUUUCGGAUUUUUUUAUUUGUACAACUGGACUUCUCCAAGAUUCGAUUUAGACGAAGCUUCUGGACUACACAAGUUUUGGGCUCUGUUUUCAAACAUUACAGAAGCUUCUUCAAUAAGAUAAUGAAAGAAGCUGAAAAAUAGCUAUAAUGCCAAUAUGCUGCCAUGGACAAAACACAUGUCCGUUGGUCUGUUGAUGUUCUAUGCUGGCUUGGCUAUAUCUACUUAUUGGUGGUUUUAUUUUGAGUAAGAAGGUGUGUUUUUGUGUACUGUAUUUUCUGAAUUAUGUUCGUUUGCUUUUGCUUCAUUUUGUAAGGUCUUGCGUGUUUCAAUGUAAUUGUUAGAGUGCAAUUUAUGCACUAGUUUUGCAUUGUUUACUUCCCUUAAUAUCGAUGUUUUGCACUUAAUAAUAAUGUUUUACUUGUGUUUUACUUUUGUAGGUGCAAUUCUAUUGAUUGAUGAUAAAAUUGAGCUAAAAGAUGAUGUUUAAGGAGGAUUGUUCUCUUGGAGAAAUUUCUGAGCGUCAGAAGAACUUUGUUGAUAAGGCGUGGGCGCGUGCUGUCAACUGCGGACCUGCAGUUUUUAGUUUAACGUGUUUUGUAUUUUUGGUUAUUUUUGUAAUUACGAAUUUAAUAUUUCAGAUAUUAGUAUUUUAUUUUAAAUAGAAUUCUAAAAGAGAAGAGAGAGAGAGUAUUUAAGAGAGGAAUCUAUUGUGAAAAAGGGGGGAUUUUGGAUUGGAGAAAAAGAAACCCUAGAUCUAAUUUUUCUCUUCUCUCUAUGAGGAACUAAACCCAUUUUUCUGGUUGAAGGUUAAUGAAGCUUUGUUAUGUGAAUAUCAAUCUUAGUUUGUUUAUUCGAGAACUUGCUUUGUUAUGCAUGUUGAAGCCGCAUUACGAGAUUUUAUGCAUUAAAAUGAUAAGGGCAAAUCCUUUUCCAUUUUUCUAUUCUCGCAUUUUUUUUUCUCUACCCGAAGACCUUUAUUUGCUAUCUUUGUUUGAGCCUUAACCAUUACCCAUCUAAUUUUCUCCGUCUACUUAACCAUUUUUCUUCUUUUUGAGCCUCAAUUUAAGGAGAUUUUUGGACUCAUUGUGUGGAUAUAUUUUGUUGCUUUUUCUACCUUGUAAUAAAGUUUCUCAAUUAGAUCAACAAGCAUUAUGCUUGAAUUAAAUUGUGCAAGGUUCAUUUCCUUGUUUUGAUUCAAAAAAAAAAACAAAACAAAAAAAAAAGAAAAAGAAAAAAAAAGAAAAAUCGAAAAUCACUGUUCACUAUUCACUGUUCACAAAAUCCCUAAUUUUCCAGAACUUGUUUUCUUCUCCAGCCGCUUGCAGCACACCAGCAGCAAACCAGCCCGCCGGAAAACGCACCAUCCCGUGAGCGCAGCACCAGCAUCCCGUGUCUCGCAGCCCAGCAGCGCGCAACGAAGUCCCACCAGCGAAAGCAGCCGCGCGCAACGCAGCAAGCCCCAGCCAUCACCAUCGUGCGAAAUCAGCAGCAACCGUGCACGCAACACAUCCCGCGAAGCAGUAGCAGUAACGCCCCGCAACGCAGAUCCUCAGCUCCAGCCCGCGCGCACAGCGCAAAUCAAUCCAGCAAUCACCCUCGUGAAGCAGCAGCAGCAACGCCUCGCAACACAGCCACGCACCAGCAUCCCGCACGCAACCAGCAAUGUGCAACUAGCAACCAACAGCCACAGCCCACGCAUCAACAGCAACGCGCGCGCGCAACACAAUCAGUGCCAUCCCGCGUCCAUCAAGCAAGCUCCAGCCGAGCAGCAAUCGCAACGCAACCAGCCUACGACCUGCAUUCCAGGCGCGUGAAUCGAAAUCCGUGACAAGAUGGAGCAGAAUUUGGCCGCAUACUUCAAGAGUGUGGGAUUUAUCCCACCAUUCCCGCCAAACCCAUAGACGUUAUGAGGAUCAAAGCUCACAAUUCAGGGAAGUUUCUUUUUGCCCUUAAUCUUUUAUCCUUACGCUUUAAUUUUUAUGUGAGCUUUGAUUAUCUUACAUUGGGGACAAUGUAAGUUCUUGGUGUGGGGGAAGGAUUUUUGCAUUAUUGAUGUCUGGAAUUAUUGUUUUCACUCUACUCAUCUAUUUUCACUCUACUCAUCCUUAAAUGAUUUUGGAGUUAGUAUGCUUCAUAUAUUAUUAUUCUUCUUUUCUUUUCUUUCUCACUACUUUUUUCCCAUCUAUCUCAAACUAUUCAUAUCUAUUUUUAUUUUACCAUACUCUUUCAUCACUCACAUUUUAUCUUUCACUUUUCAUAUUACUACAUACAUCUUUCUCACUUCUUAUCAUUUUUACCUUUUCUUUUAUAUAUCACUCAUACUUUCUUCUCAUUCUACACCACUAUUGAUGGUUGAUUCAUUUGAAGAGUGUACAUGAUUUGAUGGCAAAUUUACCAACUUUGUGAGGAUUUGAGCCUAUGAGCAACCACUUUGCUAUAAUAUUUUUGUUAUGUGAAUAUCAAUCUUAGUUUGUUUAUUCGAGAACUUGCUUUGUUAUGCAUGUUGAAGCCGCAUUACGAGAUUUUAUGCAUUAAAAUGAUAAGGGCAAACCCUUUUCCAUUUUUCUAUUCUCGCAUUUUUUUUUCUCUACCCGAAGACCUUUAUUUGCUAUCUUUGUUUGAGCCUUAACCAUUACCCAUCUAAUUUUCUCCGUCUACUUAACCAUUUUUCUUCUUUUUGAGCCUCAAUUUAAGGAGAUUUUUGGACUCAUUGUGUGGAUAUAUUUUGUUGCUUUUUCUACCUUGUAAUAAAGUUUCUCAAUUAGAUCAACAAGCAUUAUGCUUGAAUUAAAUUGUGCAAGGUUCAUUUCCUUGUUUUGAUUCAAAAAAAAAAAACAAAACAAAAAAAAAGAAAAAGAAAAAAAAAGAAAAAUCGAAAAAAAAGAAAAAAAAUGUUUACAUUCUUGGUGACUUGAGUAGAAAUAAGCAUUUUGAUAUCAUAAGUUCAUUCAAUGAGUUCAUUCUUCUCAUUUUGAUCUCUUUUUCUUUCGUAAACCUUUCUUUUUCAUUCAACCUAUUUAACCCCAUUACAACCCUUUUAAGACCCUUAGAUUUUUGCAAUUUUAUUCAUGUUUUGUGGAUUGAGAUGUGAUAUAUGAGCAAGCUUAUGGUAAUAGCAUUCUUUGAUUUGAUUUGAGUGAAUAAAUGACACCCUAAACACUUUGAGUGCAUAGAGUGAAGUUAUUGAGAGGGCUAUUACAUCUUGUUGCACUUGAAUUUUGAAUGGAUCUUCUUGGUGGUUGAAUGUUCUUAUUCUAUCUUAUGAGAUUCUAUGCUUUAAAAUCCUUGUCUCUCGAAUGUUGAUCGACUUAAUUUCUUGAGGUAUGCUUGCUUAAAAUUAUUUUUGGAUGAGUUGAGAUGAGAAUUGAGUGGAGAUUUGGGAUUAAUCUUGAGUUAUAUGCUUGAGGACAAGCAUCAUCUUGGUGUGGGGGAAUUUGUUAGAGUGCAAUUUAUGCACUAGUUUUGCAUUGUUUACUUCCCUUAAUAUCGAUGUUUUGCACUUAAUAAUAAUGUUUUACUUGUGUUUUACUUUUGUAGGUGCAAUUCUAUUGAUUGAUGAUAAAAUUGAGCUAAAAGAUGAUGUUUAAGGAGGAUUGUUCUCUUGGAGAAAUUUCUGAGCGUCAGAAGAACUUUGUUGAUAAGGCGUGGGCGCGUGCUGUCAACUGCGGACCUGCAGUUUUUAGUUUAACGUGUUUUGUAUUUUUGGUUAUUUUUGUAAUUACGAAUUUAAUAUUUCAGAUAUUAGUAUUUUAUUUUAAAUAGAAUUCUAAAAGAGAAGAGAGAGAGAGUAUUUAAGAGAGGAAUCUAUUGUGAAAAAGGGGGGAUUUUGGAUUGGAGAAAAAGAAACCCUAGAUCUAAUUUUUCUCUUCUCUCUAUGAGGAACUAAACCCAUUUUUCUGGUUGAAGGUUAAUGAAGCUUUGAUUCAUCACUACUGUGAGAUCUUUCUUGUGCUUUAAUUGUUUUAUUACUUUUUGGGUAUUUGUUUAUUCUCUGAAUUAUUUUCAUGAUUAUGUUUGUUAAUUAGGUAAUUGGCCACUAUUUAAUUAUCAACUUAAUCUAUUGUCAAUUAAAGGAUUCAUCGUAUGAAGAAUUUAAUGUUUGUGACAAAUAACAUAGCAGAGAGUUGUGUUGUGAGAAUAAACAAUCUAAUUUAAAUGAAUCAUCAUAUGUGUUGAUUAGGAUUUGGGUCUCUCUGGUUUUUCAGGCUGUCAAUUGAUUAAAUUCUAUGAUCGUAUCUAGGGUUGUCUAUUGAUUAGGGAAAUAACCAACGGUCGUACCUUGGUUAUCGACUAGUUAAGGAGAGAUUGGCUAUUAGAGAGUCUCAGUAGCUAUAACCGGUCUAUUCAUGAGUAAUAAUAAUCUAUAUUUGAAUCAAUGAUCAGUAGUCGAAUCAAGCUGAGUUAAUUCCUUCAACCAGAGCUUUCUCCAAUUUGAAUUACAACUUUAAUUUGCAUUCUUGUUAUUUUAAUUUGAUUUUUAUUAUUGUCAACAAUUCCCCUAUUUUACGUUUUACGUUUCAAAAGGAUUUAAUUAAUUACCUAUCUCUGUGGACACGACCCUGCUCAAUCACUAUACACAAUUUAUUUAGAGUAGGAAUUUACUUUUGUUGGCUUCGACACCCAUCAAAUAUUAAUUACUCUUGUUGUAUCUGAUAGCUGUAUUGUUCACCUUCGUGACUGUGAAUACAAUGAUGUUAAUUUAAUAAAAUUAUAUGCUUGUUUGUUUGAUAAGAAAAUGAUGGAAAAUUUAUUGACUUAGAGAGGAAAAACAGAAAUUGAACUCAUUAUGAUUGAUACAGUGAAAUGAGAUUACAAUACACUAUAUAUAUAUAUAUAGUAGCAUCUGGAACUUUCCAAGUGUAACAGAAUCAUAUACAGUCUCUGAUAUUCACCAUAACAUUUUGGUGGGAAAUAACAAACUAAUAACAAACUUUUAACAACUUGUAUAACAAUCUUCCAGUAGCUUCCAGCAUCUUGUCCAGCGUGGCAUCUGAUUCAUUACUCUACUUAACAAUUUGCUGACAUGAAGAAAAACAAACAACAAACAGCAAACGCACAAACAUAGCAAAAAAAAGAAGACAAGACAAUAAAGACUGCUUUUGACAACCUAAGUGAUUCAUCAACCUAUGUAUCGGGUUUUUCAUUCAUCAGCAAAGAGUUUCAGCACUUGAUCUGAAAAAUAAAGACUGCUUUUGACACUCUAGAAAUUCAAUUUCAUUUUUCCAUGUUAUUGAUGAUCAAACUCAGAUUAGCAACUGAAAAUAUAAUAUAACAAUUUGACAUCAAAAGUAAGUCCACUGAAAAUUUUUGGAAAUAUAUUAAUUAAAAUUAUGUUGAUGAAAUUUUUUAAAAUUUUAUGGUUUUGGUUUACGAAUCGUGUUGGCGAACGGCUUUAUUGUACAAGUACAGGUGCUGCUUCCUCUUCAUCUAUAUUAUACGGUUUACAUUGUUAAUUUAUUUUAGUACUUUGUUUCCUCAUUUGUUGAAAUCCACUGAGUGCUUUAAAGUUACCUGAUUGACACUAAAAUUAUCAUUUUUUUUUCCUUCAUCCUGUUCUCAAAUUCAGUCACGUUCCUUCGUCAUUUGUUCACGAAAUCCAAGUGCGGGCAACCAAUUGAGAAAGCCUGUAUUUUGACAAGCUCAAUCAAAAUUCUUCGGUUCCUUACGUGUUGAUUUCGACCUCUAUAAAUUAAAUUUAUUUAGCUUGAAAAGAGAAUUUGAUAAAAAUUUAAAUAAAGAAAUUGGGCAAUGAGAAUAUAUUUGUAAUUUUAUUAACAAUAUAUGGACAAAUUGGACAAUUAACAACUAUUUUUUUAUGUGCUAGAAGGGUAUAACGGUAAUUAUAUAUUAAAAUUAUAAUUUCUGUUAAAAGUAACGGUUUCCGUUGAUGAAUGAGGGUGUGGAUGUCUUUUUUAAAAUAUUGGAGGGACUUUUAUCCAUCUGUCUAAACGUUGUGAGUGUGUUAGUCUUUUUCCCUAUUUACAAGUACAAUUGUAAAUUUAUUUUCCCAUUCUUCUUCCCUUCUCUUCAAAAUUCAGCGCGAUUUUCUCCAUUUAAUUAUUCACAUCUACAACAUUGCAAAUCUAUAAUUAGAAUUAAAAAUUCUUCUGAUUUUCCAAUACCAAUAAGUCAAUAAAUCAACUAUUAUAGUCAAAACCAAACCCUAAAACAAAAUUAUCAUUUUUUUUCCUUCAUCCUAUUCUCAAAAGGGGCUAUCUUUGUUGCUAGGCAUGUGGUGUUUAACGAAUCAGAAUUUCCUUUCUCUACGAAUCCUCAAUUCUCUAAGCAAUCUUCUACCUCUGUUUCCGAGUAUAGACAUCCUAUGUUUAAAACUUCUUCUGUGUUAGUUCUACUACAUGAUCCUUCAGGCUCAAGUGACAACACUGUACAACAGCUUCAGCUCCAUGCAGUUCCAGCUUCCUCUUCUUCCUCUAGUUCUUCAUCAUCAUCACCUUUACCUCCAAAUCCAUAUUUCCCUGAUCCUUAUCACAAUAUGUCCCAUAAUUCCCAACACUCUUCUUCUUCUACAUCUAUUGUGCCUAUUCCACAGCCUUCUGUCCCUACUCAUGUACCAUUGCCAACUCAUCCAAUGGUUACAAGAGCAAAAGCAGGAAUAUUUAAGCCAAAGUUUCUUGCAUAUUCUUUUGUUCUUGAAGAACAUGAACCUGCUACAAUUUCUCGAGCUCUCUCAAAUCCUAAACGGAAAGCAGCAAUGCAGGCUCAGUAUGAUGCACUCAUGAAAAAUGAAACUUGGGUUCUUCUUCCAACCUCUCAAGUUACUAAAGUUGUUGGUUGUAAAUGAGUGUUUCGCAUUAAGUAUAAUGCAGAUGGCUCUAUAUCUUAGUACAAAGCUCGUUUGGUUGCAAAUGGGUUUCAUCAAACCCCUGGUAUUGAUUACUUUGGGACUUUUAGUCCAGUGGUUAAGCAAUCUACUAUGAGAAUUGUACUUAGUCUUGCUGUUAUGAAGAGCUGGAAAAUAAGGCAGAUAGACAUCAACAAUGCUUUCCUCAAUGGGCAACUCAAUGAAGAUGUUUACAUGUUUCAACCUGAGGGAUUUGUCUAGCUUUCAUCUGGUCAUGUUUGUAAAUUGCUUAAGGCUCUUUAUGGUCUAAAACAGGCUCCUAGAGCAUGGUUUGAUCGGUUAAGGAAAGCAUUGUUGAAGUGGGGGUUUCAGAGCUCAAGAACAAAUUCAUCUUUAUUCUUUAAACAUGAACUUGGAGGUAUUGUUGUUGUGUUGAUAUAUGUUGAUGAUAUUCUUAUUACUGUAGAUAAUAAUACAGUGAUUGAAAGGUUCAUCAAAUAUCUUGGAGAUACUUUUGCUUUAAAAGACCUUGGUUAAUUCAAUUACUUCCUUGGUAUUGAAGUUACUCAAGGUACAAAGGACAACUUACAUCUCUCACAAGCCAAAUAUGUAAGAGAUUUGCUCACAAAAACUGCAGAGAAAGUGAUACUCAAAUGAGUACAAGACAAAAACUAAGAAGAGCAAGAAAUGAAGAUAAUUUGAUUGUUAAUGUUACUGAAUAUAGAAGCAUAAUAGGUGCAUUGUAGUAUUUGGUACUCACAAGACCAGAGCUUGCUUUCUCAGUAAACAAGUUGAGUCAAUUUCUUGCUGCAUCUACAGAGAAGCAUUGGACUGCUUGUAAGAGAAUUCUAAGAUACUUAAAGGCAACUGAGGAUUAUGACUUGCUAUUUAAACCAGGUGGUGGUGUUGUCUUAACUGCAUAUACUGAUGCAGAUUGGGCAUGUGAUGUUGAUGAUAGGAAAUCAGUUGGAGCAUAUUGUGUUUAUCUUGGGCAAAAUCUUAUAUCAUGGUCUUCUGAGAAGCAACAAACAAUAGUUAGAUCUAGCACAUAUAGAGCAUUAUCAACAUCAUGUGCAAAAAUCGUUUGGGUUCAGGCUUUGCUUGGUGAACUUAAUAUUAAGUGCAAUCAAACACCAAUAAUCUGGUGUGACAACAAUGGUACUGCUGCAUUGGCAACAAAUCCAGUAUAUCAUGCUAAAACCAAGCACAUAGAAUUAUAUGUACAUUUCAUAAGAGAGAAUGUGACAAAUAAACAAGUGGAAAUCAAGUAUGUGCCUAGUGAAUGGAAUAUUGCAGAUGUGCUUACAAAGCCUAUGGCUUACUGUUGAGUGUUAGAAAAUGCAUAUUUAUAAAGGAGAAAACCGUCAUUUUACAUUUUAAGUCUUACUAACAACCCUUACUUUUAUAUAUUUAACCUUCUUGUGAUUUAAUUACAUGUGUUUUAUUUUAAUUAAGUAUUUUAUGUAUUUUAGGGGCAUUAUAGUCAUUUCACAAUAAAGGAGAGAUCAGACAGCAAAACGGACAUCACUUUUGAACUCAGGACGGUCGAAAACCUUAGGAGGAGCAUAAAAGGAAAAAUGGCACUAUUCACAUGUACGGUACUAUUCACGUGUACGGUACUGUAUACGUUACUGUUCACGACACUGUUCACAUAGACGGAUGAUGACGUGGCAUUGACCGAUGAUGUGGCAUUGACUGAUGAGGUGUCACGAUCCUGUUGGACUAAAAUUCUUAUGUACUGUUGAUGGUGACGUGGCAGCAUAUCAGUGGACGAAAAAUCUCGCGUACGGUGCAUGCAUCACACAGGAUUAUUUUCAACCAAACCGCGUUACUGUUCAUCCGGGUCAAACCGCGUUACUGUUCAAAGUCGGGUCAAACCGUGUUACUGUUCAUCCGCGUGGUCAAACCGUGGACUGUUGACUGAUGACGUGGCGCAAUCCUGAGCGUCCAAACUGUUUUUAAUCCGAUGGCCAUGAUUUACUCCAUGUAUCUAUAAAAAGGGGGCCUCCCCCCCCUAAUUUGAUAUCUCUGAAUCCAUUUUUGGGAUCCAUUUUCUGUAAUUCCUUCUCCAUCUUGUAUUUUCUUCGUAUUUUAAUAAAUUCUCAUUUUGCCUCUAGUUCAACUAUGAGUGGCUAAUUUUCUUUCAAGCUUGGGUUGAAGGUGAAGUCUCAACAUGUGUCAUGGGCUUAAUUUGGUAAAUUUAUUUUCUCUUCCCCUCUAAUUUUUGUGGAUGUUUUGACUUCUCGUCGACAAAUAAUAAUAGUCUUGUCUAGAUACCGCCUUGGUUACACCGGCUCUCUAGUAUAAGGUUAUUAUUAUUUGGCACGAUAAGCCCUUAGCACCAUAUUGAUUAGAGCGUGGUUCAUGAGGUGUGGAUUCCCCCCUCAUGAUUUAAUUGGCAUUAAUACGGAUUAUUUAGCCCAUGAUGCAUGUUGAUACGGAUCCAGAUACCCAAGUACGUCAUUUCAAUAGAUCUUCGCUUCAAUUUAUUCUCGUCAUUUCAAUUCCAAUUUCAGAAUUUAUUAUCGCCAUUUUAAUUUAAGUUUUAGCAUAUUCCAAUCAUUUCCACCACAAAUCCAAUCACCCAUUCACAAAAAUUAAUUCUACACAAUUAAAAUCCACCUCCUCGUGGGAUCGACACUCGUCACCAUUAAUCUAUACUACAACAGAUUCGUGCGCUUGCGAGUACAUUAAAAUUUGCACAACACUUACUGCUUUUUAAAUUACUAUAGAGACAAGCUUAAUGUUGUUUCAUGACCGUUAAGCUUGAGGAGGAGUGUUAAGAUGCUUAAUCAACAGCAGCAGACCAGUGGCUGAGAUUUGUGCGACAAGGAUUGCUGAGCUGAACAAAUUAGUUAAGUUGUUGUAAUUAGUUUUGGUUUAGCCAAUAGAUGUAUUACAGUUGUACAAAAGGUUGUUAUUACUGUUGAUCAACAAUAUAAGUUUGCUACGAGCUAAAUGUAAUUCAUAUAAUUCAUAUCAAUAAAAUUUUCUCUGAUUUAGUUACUUUUCUUUCUUCUUUCCGUCACUUUCCUGCUAGCCAAACAAACUAUCAACCUAAGAUCCGUGAGUUCUAACUUUUACAAAUGUAAUAAUUACCAUGAAUUUGCAAAAACUUGCAGCAAAUAUUUGUGUCCCAAUAGGUUGACAAUUGCAACACAUAUCGAAAAACUGUAAUAGUACCCUUGAUUAUAAUUACUUGACCAUAGUCAGUGGCGAACUAUGUAUACGCCUGGCAGCCGAGGUGUCAGGAAUUUAAUUUAAUAGGGGUGCCUAAGUUCAAACACUAACAUAAUUAAAAAAAUGGUCAAUAAAUAACAAAUAUUAAAAUAUUUAGGGCUAGUUUGGCAAUCUUAUAACUUUUAAAAUAAUUGUUGUUACUUGCGCUAUAAAAAUAAUAAGUUGUGAAUGGAAUUAGUUAAACGUUUGACAAAAUUUCUUCUUAAAAGUGCUUUUGUAAAUCUCAUUGUUGAACUAUUAUAAGAGUUUAAAUGAUUAAAAUGGACAUAAUAUUAAAUAAAAUAUAUUAUAUAGAUAUAAAUACAUACAUAUAAUAUUUUUUAUUAUGUAUAUUAGUAACUGAUAACUAAAAUAAUUAUCUUUGUUUUAUUAAUUAUUUUUUAUCUCAAUAUAAUUAGUAAUAAUAAUAAUCUCUAGAUUUAAUAAUUUUAUUUCCUAAUUGAAUAAGGAUAAUUUUAGAUUUUUAUAAUAUAUGUAAGGAUAUAUAUGGAAUUUUAUUAAUUAGAAAACUUAUCCUGAAAAUUAGAUUUUGAAAGCCUACUUCUUUUUUGCUUUCCAAAAUAUACUGUAUAUAAGAUAGAGUGAUUUUACCGAAAGUGAUUUUAAAAAAAAAAUCUACCAAACAGUAAAAUUAAAGUUUAGCUUUUAAAAUCACUUUUAAGUCUCUCAAAAGCAAUCUCAAAUAGGCCCUUAAUUCAAUACAGUUAUAAUUGUUCUCAUGUAUUUUCAUAUGUUAAAAAUAUUGAAGAAUAACCUCAUUAUCAUUACUACAAACAUAUUUUCUUCUACGUAUACAAUAAAACUAUCAUUCAACAAUUGGUUUCCCAUAUGAUUUUGUGGAAGAUUUUUCAGAAAAUUCAUAGCUGAAAAUACCCUUUCUAAUUUAGUUUUGUUACCUGAUAAAAUCAUUGCUAAUGUUACCAACAUAUAAAUUAAUGAAUACAACUAUCCAUUAUCUCAACCAUUUUUCUUGCUAACUCACCAGUCUCUUUUAAUCUUAAAAAUGUUGUCAAAACCCACAUUCAUAAUAUAAUCAUCAAGUUGAAUUUCAAGUGCCAUAAUGCAACAAUCUUUCUUUAUGGGUUCAAAAUGUUAAAAAGAAUAUUUAAUAUUUUACUUGUUUUUAAAUUUUAACAAGGGUGUUAUGGUAAAUCAAAUAAAAAUAGGACAAAUAUUAAAAUAAAUUUUAAAAAAAUUAAAAAAUUGAAAAAGGGUUUCAGCCCCUGCUAAAAUGGCACCACAUCUAAAGCCUAGGGUGCCUUGAGGCAACAUACCAAUAAUAAUAAUAAAGAAAGAAAUCAAGAAAAAAAAGACAUAAUAAUACGUAGUAACAUUAGCAAUGUUAAUUGUAUUUUAUGUUUUGACCCCUAUAAUUUUACAAGUUGAUUUUAUGUUACCGCCUACUCAAAUUUAUGGUUUUGGUCAUUGUGUUUGGCCCUCUCAAUUUUAGUGAUUAUAUACUGUAUGAAAUGUAAGUUAUGCAACCCAAGAGGGGGGUGAAUUGAGAUUUUAAAACUUACGCUAAACAAUUCGCACAACAAUUUAAUGUAUUGCCUUAAUCAAAUGUAAAAACAAUAAAUUCAGUAAAACACAAUACUAAAAGAGUAAGUACAAUAAUAAAAGAGUAAGGGAAAAGAAAGCAAACACAACAAUUUUUACGUGGUUCGGCAAUCCUCGCUUACGUCCACGCCUCCAAGCCAACCAAACUCGAGGAUUUCACUAUCAAAGCCUCCCAAAUCUUUAAGUUCUUACAAUUAACUUCCAAGGUGUCAAUGAACCUUUACAAUCAAGAGAUUAUCUCUCCAAUCUAUUCACCCCAAUUAUUUCUCACACUUGUACACUUACAAUUUGAUGAGAAAUGAACAAUUACAACAAAAACUCUCUUUAAGAGUGGAUUUGCAAAUAAUAGCAUAAUAAUGAUUCAAUAAAUGAUGAUUUACGAAAUGGAACCUCAAUAUGUGUUAUAUGAUCUUAUUUAUGCUUGCAUUAGUCUUGAAAAUGAAGAUGGAGUUAAGGUUUUAUAGCUAAAGCCCAAAAACUAACCGUUAUAGGCAAAUUCCAGCGCUCAAGCGGUUAGCCGCUUGAUUUAUCCAACUAGCCGCUCCAGAACAAUGAUGUUACCAUUAAAUUUGAAUUUUCCGAUAGUAUCAUUGUUCAUUAAAUUACAUUUGUGACCAAAACUUUCUAUAAUUAUAUUAUAGCCCAACAUGUCAUAAAACUUUGCAAAUAAGUCUAAUUUCAGAAUUUCUAAAUAAUACCUGUCAUUCCUAAAUCUUAUUGUAAUUAUGAUAUGACCUAGUAUAUAAUAACAUUUUUCAAAAAGUCCUUUUCAAAAUUUAAAAUAAUACCCAUAAAUUUUAAAGUUCUCAAAUCUUUUCAAUUUAGUCCAAAAUUUAAAAAUAUGAGACUUUCCUCAAGCGGUUAGCCGCUCACUCUCUGUUCAAUUUUUUAUUUCAAUUGUUUGGAUUACGUUUUGGUCCUCAAACUUUCUUAAAUUGUAAUAUGACCCAAAAUAUUUCAAAUAUUUGCAAAUAAAUCUAAAUUCGAAAUUCAAAAUUCAAAUUUCAAAACAAUAUUUAAUAAAAUAAAAGAUUGCAAAACUUUUUCAUUUUAGUCCAAAUUACUCAAAUCCACAAAAUACUUUAUCUUAUAAAUAUAAAACCUUUUAGUUUAUGAAAGGUAAUUAUUUAAAUAAACUCUUGAGUUUCUCAAAUGCUAAAUCAUGUAUCAAUUAAAUCAUACCGACUUUACAAGAAUUUGUCACAAUAAUUUGUUCGUUGAGCUUUAAACUUUAUUCUUGAUUUUGCCGUUGUCCGUUGAGUGUCUUGAACUUGAUUCACUUGCAUAAAUAUUAUCCUUAAAAAACUAGUAAAAAUGUGAAAUACAAUAUUUAUUAAAUCACUUAAGACACAUGUUUGUUAUCAUCAAAAUUACAUUAUGGGUAGCCCUUUAGGCUAACACUGUAGCCUACUCAAGUAUAUAGUUUCUUCAUUAGGCCCCAAAACCAAAAUCCUAAAAGUAUCUCCAAAAAGUUCUAUUAAUUUUACUCUUCAAAUAUUUAUUUGCUUACCUAUGUGGUAAAAAUGAGAGUGAAAAAAUAUGUUAUUCUCCAAAAGACUCUUUAAAUAGAAAUAAGUUAAUAUUAUUUUAAUCAAAUAAAUAUUUUUUCAAAGGAAAAAUAAAUGGUAAUUAAAGCAUUUCUCUCUCUUUCUCCCCAAUAAAAAGUAAUAAAAUAUAAAUUGAAGAGAGAGAAAGUAACUCUACAAAUUAAAGAGAGAGAAUUAUUUCUUAUUUGAAAAAUCUUAAUUAGAGUAUCUUUUGAAGUCUUAAAUACUGAUGUAACUCUUCAAAUAAGUAAUAAAAUCUUAUUUGAAGAUUUUUUUAGAGAUGCUCUAACUUCACCACUAGAUUUACUUGAGUAUUCAACAAUACUCGACUUACUCGAGCGUAGGUGAUUUAGUUAUACUUAAUUGACUACUAAAACAAUUUAUUCGACUUACUCGACGAUACUUUACUUAGGUCACUCCAUGUACUAAUAUUUUACUAUUUUUCUAAGUGGUACAUUUAAUUACAAAAAUCCAUGAAAAUUUGAUAAUGAUGAAAUGCUUAAUAAAUAAGGGUAUUUGGUCGAAUCAUAACAAUGUUUGUUAAACACUGGUCUAAUAAUAAGUAGUCAUUUUCUGAUGAAAUAAAAUUAAAGCUGACAAAAUUUAACAUGACUGGUUUACUCUAUACAAAUACAACAUGAAUAAAUAUGUAUCUAUCAUGAAAAUUGACAUGAUUAUUAAAUGAAUUUGGUCUAAGUCAACCCAAUUGUUUCCCGUGUCAGGCUAGAAUUCAAUUUUUCAAUGCAUUUACUUGGUCAAUGACGUGAUUGUUAAAUAGUUAACCAAAACUAAUUCAUAUUUGCAUUAAAAUAUACUUAUAUUUUCAAUUCUAAAUUAAUUUAUAGAAUCUUAUCAUUAAAACUCAAAAUUUGGUCAUGAUUCUAGAUGAACAUAUAUUUGAUGUUCUAUUUUGUAAAAUUCUUGAUAGAUUUAAAACUUCAAUGGUUCAUACAUGUUGUAUUUGCAUCAAAUGAGUGUGUAGUAUUUGAUGUAAAUCGUGUUAGAAUUUAAAUAGGUAUUCAGUGAAUUUUUAGGUUAUAUCAUGUUAGAUGACACAACUACCUAGUUAUUAAAAGAGCGUAUCAAGUCACUAUUUUAUUUUUCGUAUCGAGUUCAAAUUUUAAUAUUUUAACAUUUUAUUUUUCGUAUCAAGUUCAAGUUUUAAUAUUUUAACACGAUUAUUAAAUAAGUCGUGUUUUAACCAACAUAAAUUUAAAACAACACAAAAUUGACACAAUAUGACUGGCUUAAUGACCUAUUUUGUUAGUUUUAUUUAAAACCAUCUAAUCUAUUAAAAAAAAAAAAAAACGGUCCAUGGGCCUAGCCCAAAUAUAAAUUCAACAAAACCAGCUCCCGCUCAAUCACACUCUCUCGGUCGUUCCCUUCACUCUCCAAAACCCCCCAUUCCAAACAAAACCCUCAUUUUUCCCUCUUAACGAAGUCACUUUCUCGAGAACCAAACAUUCCCUUAGAUCUCCAAUUUCAUAAUGAGAGAAGAAGAAAUAGAGAAACUUCGAGGAUUGGUUCGCGACUGUGUGAGUAAGCAUUUGUACUCGUCGGCCAUUUUCUUCGCCGAUAAAAUCGCCGCUUUGACCAAUGACCCUACUGGCCUGUACAUGCAGGCUCAGGCUCUGUUCCUUGGCCGCCACUACCGCCGUCCAUUUCACCUCCUUAACGCCUCAAAAAUUGUGCCCCGUGACCUCCGAUUUCGUUACUUGGCUGGUAAGUGUCAGGUAAAGUUCUGUUUUUUGAUUGCAUUAGAAAAUUUGAAUUUCAGAUUUUGUGAUUUGUGCUUUUUGCGUUUUUAGUUUUUUUUUUUAUGUUAUGAAAAAGGGAAAUUUUGAAAAUUUUAACUUGAAAUUCGUGUUCUUUUUAUUUUAGAACAAAAGAAUUUCAAUGAAAAAUAUUUGGAAAUUGAAUUGCUCUAGCAAAUUUGCAUGUGUUGUGUGUUUUAAGAAAAUGAAAACUAGAUUUUGAGCAAUUAAGGAGAGAUUAUGGACUUUGAGCUGAAUGGUUUUGAUCAAUUUUUUCUUGAAUGUUUAUUUGUUUAUACAACUGGGUAGUUUUUCUUUUACUUAUUUAUUUCUGGUCUGUCCUUUGUAUAAUUAGGAGGAACUGAAGGAGUGGGACUAGUGUUUGUCGAUGCUCGGUGAUGCUAAGGUCGAUGAAGAUGGUAAUGUUUUUGACACAAAGGAUAGCAAUGUCAUGUACUUAGAUAAAGAUGGGGAAGACAGAGAAAUCAAUGUAAGUUUUUGUUUGUAAUCUCAUUUUAUCUGGCCUUUUAUUUUUUAAUUUGUUGCAUAUUUGUUGUAUACUUGACCCAAUAUUUCUUUUUUCUAUUACAGAUCUCUUCAGCUAUAUGCUUUUUGAGAGGCAAAGCAUAUGAAGCCUCAGGAAAUUGUGCCCAAGCUCGGCUGUGGUUAGUUUCUUGCGAUGAAUUUACAUGAAAAUCACUCUGCUUAAUUGUAAAAUGCUUUAUGGUUAUUUUCCCUUAGUUUUUCAGCCAAAAUGAUACCAACUUAUACUGUCUAACAGUCUUCUGUUAUAGUAACUUAGGUGUAGUAAUUUAACGUACUGUUAAAGAAAGGAAAUGACUUUAUUGUUUUAAUGCGAGAAAUUUGAACAUUGUUAUAAACUUGUUUAAGUUGGGCAUAAGUAAAUUUAUCUUCAAUUUCAUUACUGAGCAGAUUUUGUUUGAAUGCAUGAAUGUUUGAUAUAUGUGUUUAAUAGCCAAGGAGUUUGUUUAGAUACUACUUUAAGAAUUAUCUAUAUAUAGAUUGGGUAGUCUAGAAAACUCUCCUUGAUUAAAUCAAUGUAUAAUUUUGAUAAGACAGUUUAAAAUGUUAACAUCCUAUGUCUUCUGGAGUCCAUUUGGUGACACAGGAAUGGUAGUGUAUGCUGGGAUGGUUUAGUUCAAUAAGGCUAUUAGUUCUGUUCUACUUUUUCAAAGAGGUUGAUUGCCAAAUUAACAGCCACAUGAAGGAGAUUGUCUUUUUUUUUUUUUUUGUGUAUCCUGAAUUGUUUUUGCUUCCAACCACAAUUCUGGUCUUCUAUUGGUUCACACUUCCUACUUCUAUCUCGAUGAUUUUAUCUGCAAUACCUCAUUACUAAAUUCAGCUCUAACAACAGAGGAACUUAUUUGCUUCCUCUUUAUCUUGUUCCAUUACUAGCUUUCAUGUGCAGCAUUUUUAGAAUGUUAAAGACUAAUAGUACAGAAAGGUGGUUUUAAAUCAAAUGUAACAAGAUUCAAUUGACAGAUCAGCUAUGCUUCACUCCAUGUGGUUACCUACACACCUGGAUAUUUGUUUUAGAGUUUUAUGCUGUCUGAAUUAGUGGCCUCAUUUUGUUAUCUGAUUGAAAGCUUGCAUGUAUUUCGGUAAGUUAGGUUCUUCCCUCAACUCUUUUUCUUUAGUAACUAUCAUGGUAUUGUUUUAUAACCUUAAUUAGUUUCUCUUUGGUUUUUCAUUUGUCAGUAUAUCUGCUCUAUUCUGUUCAAUUCCUUUUUCUCUAUUCUCUCAGUUAUGUUGAACUAAAACGCUGUAGUUCAUACAAAGGCUUGCUAUAUUUUUUCAUAAUGAUUUAAGGUACAAAGCAGCAAUCAUAGCUGAUCCUUUGUGCUAUGAGGUAUGCAUGACACGCUAUCAAUGUUUUUUUUUUCCUUUCCCCCUAGGGAUAAGCUGGUGGGGGGAGCGUCCCGUUCUCAAAAACUCCUUACCUUGAAUUUUGUGGCUGCAUAAAUUUCAGACAUGACUUUCUAUGCAAAAUAUUACAACCUGUGGAAACUGUUGCCUUCUCAAGGAUUAGAAAAUUACUCAAAAGAGGGCUAGAUUUUUUGAGCUAGGCUUGUCCCUUUUUUUUUUUUUUGUAAAUAGAAUUUUAAUCCUUUUCUUUAAUUUGACCUCUGCUGAUCACAUAGAUGUCUCAUCUGGAUGUUCCUUAUAAGAUAUAUCGAUCCUCAUUCUUUAUGAUUUUUUUUAUGGCUGUACCUUGAUUUCUUUUUCAGGCUUUGGAAUGCCUUAUAGGAAAUCACAUGCUAACAUGCGAGCAAGGUAAUGAUGUAGUUUUUUCCUAGUCAUCUGUUUCUUUCAUCUGAGAGAAGUGGAUUAUGAAAAUGUUUACAGUUUGAAUUAUAGUUCUUACAUAAGUGCGCACGCACACACACACACACAUAAAUGAAAUUAUAGUCACACACAAACAUGUUGAUAUAAAUUUAAUUUGGCAAAAAUUUCUUUGGCUGUGUUCAACUAGCAUUGGAUUUUUCAUGGAACAUGUUAUAAUAGGCUAAUACUUUAAAUUUUUGGAUUUGCUGUUGAAUUUCAGAAACAAGUUUACUUUCAUCAUUGGAAUUUGGUUUUGAAGAUGGAUGGCUUUCUUCAUUCUACUCAUGUUUGAUAAAAAAGGUGAACUGUGUGCAAAUUCAUUAUAUGCUCUUCCAAAUGUAAACAUUUCAAUAAUAAGUUUCCCAUAUGUUUUCGUGAUGUCGAUUCUUUUUGCUGUGUUUGAGUGCAGUGAACAAUUUCUUUCCUUCUUUCCUGUCUCCCUUUGUUUUAUGCAGUAUGACAAGGAGAAUGUUGUAGAAGCCAAAUUCGGAGAAAUUGAAAAAGAAAGAUGUGAUAGUGUCCAUUCGAGCCCAUCCUUCUCACACAGUCUGAAAAACAAUACUGAUCUUUUAGAGGGCUUAUUAUUCUGUCGACCUGCGAUACUAGAUUUCAGAAAUCUUCUCUUCACACAGUGUUCUUGGCUCUCUAAUUGUCAAAAAGUUGAAAAGCCUUUUUCUGUCUGAUGCAUCAUAUAUAUGCAGUUUAAUAUUUGUGGACUUCAAUAAUAUUGAUUACCUUGAUUAUAAUAUUUUCAAUUGUAUGGUUUUUGGGUUUCUUCUUGGUAGGAAAGAUUUUUGUCUUUUUCUUUUUUUUUGGCUUGAUUCUUCUUCUUUUAUUAUUAUUAUUGUUACUGUUUUCCCAUUCACCAAGGAAAAAAAUUGGAAACUUGGCUCCACCUCGCAAAAAGUUUUAGAGCGCAUUUUAAAUUCUCGAAUUUGGGGAAAUUGGAUUGGAGAAUUGGGAAUGAUUGAUUGGUGUUUUCCUUGGCUAAAAACAUUGAAAGAAUGACGAUCGGAUUUUUGGGUGGAGCUCACAAGUUGGGAAAUGAGGAUUGGGAAUCCCGUUGCCAAAGGGGAGGGGGGAAUGCAAACGGAAAUUAACACUUUUACCCUUAAAGAAAUUAAAAUUUUAUUUUUUUCCUUNNNNNNNNNNNNNNNNNNNNNNNNNNNNNNNNNNNNNNNNNNNNNNNNNNNNNNNNNNNNNNNNNNNNNNNNNNNNNNNNNNNNNNNNNNNNNNNNNNNNUUUGUCGCUCUUGUUAAUAUAUCCUUUGUGGAUUUCAUAUGAGGUUUGAAAUGUUAUUUAGUGAAAUUUAAUUUCUUGUUGGCUCUAUUCACCACAGCAAGGCUACAAAUCUUGAUGGGACAUUCGCCCCCGCUUGGAUAGGUUAUGGAAAUGCUUUUGCUGCUCAAGAAGAGGGUGACCAAGCAAUGUUGGGUUAUCGCACUGCUGCUUGUUUGUUUCCAGGGUAAUUUUUAGCAUUAUUUAUUCAUUUCUGUACCUUUCUGAUUUUCUUUUCCUUGGAUCAGCAUAUUCAUGCAAUGAGGACAAGGACAAAGCCACUAACUUGCUUUUGAGCAAGUUUCAGAACACUUUUAGAAUUUCAUUUUUGGCUUCUUUUUUUUAACUUUUUUGGUCUCUGAAAGAUAUCUUAAGGGUAGGGUUUGGUUGAUUUUGCUCAUCUUGAUUUCAUGUAAUCCAUGAAAUUUCUGUUGCUUCAGCUUAAUCUGUUUCAAGUGCGCUACCACUAUAAAAAUUGGGUUUCAUGGGUUAUCAACCAAGAUUUUUUUUUUCUCCUUUGAUUUAAUAUUAAUAAACUGUUUUACCAAUAUAAACUUUUGAUGAAUGCUUCGCAUUUGAUUUCCAUAUUUCUUCCUGAGAAAUGUUGUAAGUUGAUUAAACAUAGUCUUAAAUCGACCCAAGGCAUUGUUGUAAUGUCUUUCUAUUUUGAUAAUAAGCCACACUGUCAUAGUAGUUUUAUGGUCGUAAAGAUCAAUGAAUUUCAUUGUUUAUUGUUUAGUGAUGGUAUGCAUUGUGUUGUGGGAGUACUCUUAUCACUAUGAAUUGUCUUUUUACAGGUUGAAUCUUGAUGUUCUCUUAUUCCAGGUGCCAUUUACCAACUUUGUAAAUUGGAAUGGAGUACAUGCGAACUCACAGCUUUAAGCAUGCCGAACAGGUGUAUUACCUUCUUCUAAAUAUAGACUGCCUUUCAUUUUUCUCUUUAGAUUUCAGUGAGAACUCUUAAGAGGUUGUUUGUUUGCAAUAUGAAGUCUGAUUGUUGGAUAUUCAGAUGUUGGUCUAUACGAUUUGCUAGUUGAUGUUGUCUUGGGGGUUUCAUUUUCCUCUUUGGAUUUAAUGUGAAUACGACUUCUUUCCUCUUUGUUUAAUUGCGACAACUUCUAACAGAUGCUAAUCACAAUCUUUAUUCAUGAUUCUGAGACCUGUGUAAUUAGAAUUUUGGUCAUAUCGUCCAUUUUCCUUUGUUGUCAAAAUAAUGUCUUCUUUAUCCAAAUCUCUUAGUCAUAAUUCUUUGAAUAUAUUGUUGAAUUUCUGAUUAGCUGUCCUUUCUCCAGUUUUUCAUGCAGGCAAAGAACAUAUGCCCAUCAGAUCCACUUGUAUAUAAUGAACUUGGUGUUGUUGCUUACCACAUGAAGGAUGUUUGGUUCACUUGAGUUGCUGUUUUCUGUUGAUCCGUUUACUUUAUUAGUGUUUCAUUUUUAAUAAUAUUAUUACUUAAGGAUAUGAAAUUCUAGUUGAUUUAAACUUAGGUCUUGUUUGGUGUUGAGGUGUUGUAGAUUUUAAGCUACAGGUGUUGUGGAAAAAAGCUACAACUAUUAAAUAAAAGUUAAUAGCUUGUAGUAAAUAUAAUUUUUAAAUAAUAAUUUUGACAAAAUUAGUAAAGAUAUAAUAAAGUUUUCAUCAUACAAGCGUAAAAUCAAAUCAAGUUAACUUUCAAGCUACAACAACUGGUGUUUACCAAAUACUUUAGUACUUUAGUUUUUAAGCUAUAGUUGUUCAACUCAAUACCAAAUGGUGCCUUUCAGGAAUUGUGCUCUUUUUAUUGUUAUAUGUUAUGGCUUUUGUAUGAGUUCCCAAUCACCAGUUUGACCAGCAAUUAUUUGAAAUGUGUGGUGGUUUGAAAAGACCUUGGCGCACAUUCCGUCCUCUUUAAGUGAAAUGUGGGAACCAACUGUGGUGAAUCUUGCACAUGCUUACAGAAAAUUAAAGUAUGUUUAAAUUUAUUGGAAUAGGCUGUCUCACUUGCUUUUUCUUGUUCUAUUGCCUACUCAGGAUAUUUAUCCUUUAUUUUAUUGUGUUUUUGUUGAAUUUUACAUGAAAUAUCAUUCAGAUAUCUAGAUUUGUUUUUUUUUUUUGGCUAAAUUUUCAAAUAGAGGAUCAUCUUUAUCUUGAUAAAUGCAUUUUAUUUUAGGGAUUCCAGCAUAGGGUAAGAUUUUUCAGUUUGCAUCGUCUGAGAUUGUGAGCAGCAUGAAGAUAUAAGAAAGAAGUAUAACCUUCCUUAUACCGUCAUGGCUGCUUAUGGUCAGCUUUGCCCAGUAAGCUCGAGAGACUACUAGGAGCCGUAGAAGUUGUCUGUAGCACUUCCUAAAAGGACUUGAUGCAAAUAGUUUAAAUAAGGAUAUGCCGGAUUAUGGAUUGGUCUACUCUCUACUGGCUACUUCAUAUGCUACCCUUUUAUAUGUUUUUAUCUUUAUGGAAUAGUACUUUUUUUUCAUGUUUUUGCUUUUUUCCUUCUUAGUAGGCAGUGGGUUUAGGUUUAUUUCUAGUAUUGCUAAUCUAUAAACAUACAUUUGACUUAUUGUUUAUUGAACCUGAUUCUAGAAUCUAUCAUGUUUCAGGAUAUAUCACGAGGCAAUAUCCUGUUACGAGCGAGCGCUGAUGUUGUCGAAUAGAAGUUUGAGCACCUAUGCAGGUUGUGCUUACACUUACCAUUUGCAGGUAUGGUGGAUUUAUUAUUAAUUCAUUUUCAAUGAAAACUUGUGUGCCUAUGAAUAUUCUGCUGAUGUGAGGAGUAGUUAGCAAAUUGAUCUAAGUGGUAUUUGUUAGCAAAUACUAGUUUAUUGGAUGCAUCUAAUAUUUGCAGCUUAGGGUUUAAAAAACCAUUGUCAGAUCUUCACCGUUGCGUUCAAAAAACUGCUAGAGUCUAUGGUGGCGAAUUUGUUUCUUUUGGGUCUCUUGUGCAGGAUAACUUCUCUGCUGCCAUUACAUAUUAUCACAAGGUAAACUAAAAAGUACUCUUGCUGUUUCCUUUAUGUGCAAUAAGCGUACUGUCUAUCGUAGUCAUCCACUGUUGAAGAGACAACUCUAAUCUCGCUACAUUAUAUGGAUCAUUGAUUUGCUUUUUCAUUCUAAUCUGCAAAUCAGGCAUUGUGGCCGAAGCCAGAUGAUCAGUUUUGUACCGAAAUGUUAAGUUUGGCUCUUGUUGAUGAAGAUCGCCAUGGCAUUGACCCCAAAAUCGAAUUUGAGUGUAAUUUGUUAUUCAUACCUAUAACAGUUUAAUUAUUUUGGUAUUGGUGAAGGGCUUUUAUUGUAUAAGCUCAGGGUGAAGGGCUUUUAUUGUAUAAGCGCAGGGGUGUCAUCUUCAUCUAUAUUCUACCUUUUACAUUAUUAAUUUAUUUCCUCAUUUGUUGAAAUCUACUUGGCUUAGAAGUGAUUUAAAUUGCUUUCUUUCAUGGAACCAUUUUCUUCACAGUUUUUAUUAUUUACCACCAAACAGUUAAGUCCAUUAAGAAAUUAAUGAUGUCACAUGGAUAUUUCAAGAAUUUUAGUUUAUUAAGCUGGAAGUAUUAUAAUAUUUACAAUUUUAUCAAUUGAUCAAUUUGGAUAAAUAAAACAACCAAUUGAUAAAAGUAUUAUCUCUUUGUGUAUGAUUAACUUUAUUUUUUUAUUGAUUUGGAAGAUUAAACCUAUUUUCACAAUUUAGGGGUAAACCAGACUUUUAGUAUAAAUUCUAUUAAAAUUUUGUUAUUUUAGCAAGUAAAAUGUAAUAGUUGGAAUAUUAAACUGUAAAAAUAUAAUUAUUAAAAAAAUUUACUAAUAAAGUGAUAUAUUAGACGAAGUUAGGCGAUAAAGAGAUAACAUCCCUCUUAGGAAUUAAUUAUAUUAGUUUACAACCUUGUAAUCCUUUGUUAAGCAGCAAAGUAAAAUAUCUUUUAUUGAGUAUUUUUGUUUCCUAUUUAACACAUGCAAUCUUUUAUUAAAUGAAAAAAGAUUUUUUUUUUAAAAUAAAUAAAUAAAAGAGGAGCAAGGCCGAAAUCAAAAGAGUUAAAUUUCGUCGAGCCUCGUGUACUCAGUUUAGAAUUCUAAAUUCACAAGUCUAAUUAGGUUUAUAUUAUUAUUAUGAUAUUAGUUAGAAAGGCAGCUAGUAAGCAAGUCGAAUAAGACAGCUAUUAUUAUUAUUAUUAAGUUUUUUUGGCCUCCUGCCUUUCCUCUUAUGUGAACUUUGUUGAACGACUAAAGAAAGCAUCGGCUAAGCUUCUGAGUCUCAUCCAAAAAUUAUUGGUUUAUACCAAGAUUCCUAAUUGCUACCAUUUGAAUUGUUUUUCAACUUCUAGUUCUCAUAAUUUUGAGAACAAUGAAACAUGAAAAUAAUUGCUUUCUUUGGUGAUUGAUUGAUGUGAUUCUAUUUCAUUGGAUCAUUUUAUUGAAUCUAUUUUUUCAUUGCUACAACCAAAAAUGCUAGUGGGAUCUCUUUCUAGUUUCUAGAAGUACUCUAAUCGCCCUGUUCCUUCUUGAACAUUAAUUGUAGGCUUUUCUGCUACACAACCUUUAAUCUUUUUGAAGUUAGAAUCAAAAGGGGUUUAUCAAAUCUCGAUCCUCCCCAAUUUAGGAUUUCAUAAACAAAAAAUAACUUUGAGAAUAGGGAUCUCUUUUAAAAAAAAAUAAAUUAAUUAAGAAUAAGAGUGAACUACUAUGAAAUUAGUGAGUUCUAAUUAGUUUAAUUAAUAAAUCUUUAUACUAAACUAAGAGAUUUAGAUUUUAAUCAUGUUCACGUGCAUAAGUAGUUACCAAUAUUACUAUGUUUAAGAAAAGUGGUACAAUAGUUUGUUUCAUGUACAUUAUUUUAUUAUUUAUAAUUAAUUAUCACAUUUCUUUUUUUUUUUUAUUAUUAUUGGUUAAAUGAAUCACGAGAUCAAUGGUACGGAUUUAUGAUUGGGAUAUAAGGAAGAAAUCAAUAUGAACUAGCUAAGAAAAUGGAGGAUUAAAAUGAGAAUGGAACAUGAAUCUCUUAAAACAUGGGCAUUUGGUAUCUUGAAUUUUUCUAGUUUAUUAUUAUUAUUUUUGUCGUCGUCGUCGUCUUUGAGGGUGUUUAGGUCAAUUUAUAGUGUAGAUGCCGAUAAGUACAGAAUAGAUGAGUCAACAUAUGUUGAUAGGGAGGUGAAUUCUUUUUCUUUUUUUUUUAUCAUUUUUUAAUGAUUUUUUUUGUCAUUUAUUCUUUUAGCAACUUUAAUUUUUUUUUAAGACUUUUUGUUCUCAGUGGAAACACGAGAUGCACGUGAGGUGGUUGUUAAUUUAGGAGUUGAGUUGAGUUUUUUUACUGAACAUUAAAUUAAUAUUUAUUAAAUAAAAGAAUAAAAAGAUAAAAAUGUAAAAUAAAUUCUAUUAAUAUAUUGUUCGUAAAAAUUAAGUUCAAUAUUGAAUUCUCUAAUUCGUUGUUUAACCUAUAAUUUUGAAAAAAAAUAAAAAAUGGAAAAAAUAAAAAGAAAACAUAAUAAACUAUUAAACCAUAUGACGUUAUAAUAUGAAUACGUUAUCUUGUCACUUUCUUUUUAAGUUAUAUGAUUUUAUAAGUAAAUUUAGAGUCCAGUUAAAUUACAGGGUGAGUAAUUUACAACCCAACCACUUUGUACAAAUAUGAAUAUUUAUAAGAGGGGUCUGGGCUGCAAGUUACUACUAAUGCUUUAACUUAGCGAAAAACCUUAAGUCUAUCUUUUUUGGGAUUAUUUUCUGGGAGAUUGCCACUUUCUCCUUUACAGUAAUUAAUAUAUACCAUUUAUCCCUUUGUUAUUUUGAAAAUGAUAAAAAUCUCAUUGACAGUAUAAGUUACAAUAUUAUCUUUAUUUGUAACUACUCUUUUAUUUAUAUUUAUUAUAAAUUAAAUAAAUUACAUGAAUAUAAACUAAAUAAAAAAAUUAAGUAUUAAAAAUAAGAAAUAUAUGUUUUGAUAUGAGCAAAAAAAUUAAUAAUAAAAUUUUUUUCUUGUAAUUAUUUAUUUUGCAAACAUUUUCUUAUAAUAAACAUUUUGUAAUAUUUUAAAAGUAAAUGUAAAAAGUAUAGGCAAAAUAUUUUAUUAUUUAUCUUAUAAUAAAUUUUUAUUUGUCAUUCAAGUUUUCUUAUAAUAAUUUUUUUAUCAUUUUAUAAUAACUUUCUUAUAUAUUUAUUAUAAGAAAAUUUUUACAAAAUAAAUAAGUACAAGAAAAAAAUUCAUUAUUAAUUUUUUAUAUUAAAAUAUAUAUUUCUUAUUUUUAAUGCUAAUUUUUUAUUUAAUUUAUAUUUAUGUGAUUUAUUUAAUUUAUAAUAAAUAUAAAUAAAAAAAUAAUUAAAAAUAAAAAUAAUAUUAUAAAUUUAUACUAUCAGAGGAAUUUUUAUCCAUUAUAAAAAUAAUAAGAAAAAAUAAUAAAUGUUCAUUACUGUUGGGAGAAAUUCACAAUCUCCUUAUUUUCUCCAUUUGGAUAACAUCACUCGAACUUUAGUUGACCACGUGUCAACAUUUCAAUGGUUUCAUAUCAAAUUAUUAGCUGUGAAUUAUUGAGUGAGAAAACAUACCGGACCCCCAACUUUUGCUUUUACGUGAACAUGAAUCAGAUCCUCUUUUUUUUUUUUUUUUUUUUUUUUCUUUUUGAUAUAGUGAAUCAGAUUCUUGAAAAGCUGUGAAGUGGGGAGCGAUCGUUUAAGUUAUUUAAAUUUAAAGCCGGCAAUAAUUGAAGCCUUAGGAUUGUUAUUGAUUAUUACCUCCACCAAAGCUUUCUGAAAAAACAGAUUAAGAAAAUUUUUUUUUUUUUUGUUUUCCUCGAAACGACAUAAGACGAUCGCUCUUAAUUUUAAAUAACUCCAGUUGACUUACCGUUGAACUGGAAGGACAUAAGGAGAAUGACCUUCUCAUUUUCCAUCUGUCAUAAAAAUUUAUUUAAAAAAUAAGUGCAUAAACUAAGCCGGGCUUAACGUUUUAUUUUUAACCAAUAUAUAUAUAUAUAUAUAUAUAUAUAUAUAUAUAUAUAUAUAUAUUAUAGAAAAUGAUAUUUACAUCCCAAGAUUUAGGAAAAUAGUCACAAAAACUCUUGAGUUUUUAAUAAAGGACACCAAAACUCUUUUUGACCAUAAUGCCUUUUGACUCUAUAAAUCUAAAAAGAAAAAUAACUCUAAAAUUUUAUAAUGAAUAGAAAUAUGACAUUAAAAUAAAUGUAAUAAGAUAUACAUUUCAAAAUAAUUUUAAUAUCUAAAAAUAUUUUAAUAUUUUUAAUCUAUUAGACCUCUUUUAUUAUAUUAAAGCAAUUUUUAAUAAUAAAUAGAAACAAAAUAUUAAAAUAAAAAUUAUUUUGACUAUUAUGUAAAAGUUAAUUUUAAUAUUAUUAAUAGAGAGAUUUUUUAAAUUGUAAAAUCUAUUUAACCCAAAGAUUAUUUAAAAUCUUUUUAAUAUUACAAUUAUAUUAUUAAAAUAAAUAUAAUAAUCUAAAAUUUUAAUAUUAUUUUAAAUGUUAAAAAUAAUUUAAUAUUAUUAGUCUACCAAAUAGAUUUAUAUUAUUUAUAUAAAAUUUGUGUUAGUUAAAAAUUUUUAAAAUCAAUUUUUUAAUUAAUAUAAUCAAAAGUAAUUGUGGGCAAAAAAAAGUUUUUGUAUCUUUUUUUUAAGACUUAAAGAGUUUUUUGUAACUAUUUUCCCAAAUCUUGGAAUGUAGUUAUUCUUUUUCUUUUUUUAUCCCAUCUCAGUUUUUUUACAAGUAUUCAAAUAUUAGUACGUGAAAUAUAUUUUAAAAUAUCCAUCAAUUUAUUAUUUCUUAAAGUACCUUUUAUUAAUAAAUAGCAUAAUACACACGAAGCACCAUUGAUAUUGAUGUUCAUACAUCUGAAUCAAUUUUCGAGUCUACGUCAUGAUUUCUACGUCACGAAUUCUCUUAUUUAAGGCAAACCUCAUAGAGGCAAUCACAAAACAUGAAGAAAAUUGAUUUUGUUCCUAGUCCUCACUUUCUAAAAAGAAUUUUUGUUGAAGCUAUAUAUAUAUAUAUAUAUUGAAUCUUUUGAAAAAAAUUGCUUCCUGAGCAUAUGAUUUCUUGCUGGGUUUCUUCAAUUGCUCUUCUUGUUCAGUUGUUAAAACUUUCCAGUUUCCUCUCUGUAGUACAAAGAAUAUUUGAUCAUUGAAGUGCCACCUUCGUAGUGUUAAUUUCGGUGAUGGAGUCCGCUGCUCAAGUGAGGGAUAUCGAUGCUUUGUAUGAGCUAAUUCGACAUGAUCAAUAUUUUUUGGACAACUUUGACGAGAAACCUUUUGUCGAUACUCCUUUGCAUGCUGCUGCAAGGGAUGGAAAUGUUGAAUGGUCCAUGGAGAUUAUCAGACUAAAGCCAUCAUUUGCCAGGAAGCUAAACCAAGAUGGCUUCUCUCCGGUGCAUUUAGCUUUGCAAAAUGAUCAAACUCAGUUAGUGCUUCAGCUGAUAGAUAUUGAUCCGGACCUUGUUCGUGUCCAAGGAAGAGAAGGCAUCACUCCUUUGCAUUUCGUGUCUGAAAAAGGAGACAUCCAUCUGUUGAGGGAAUUUUUGUCUGCUUGUCCGAAAUCUCUUGAAGAUGUGACCAAUAAAGGCGAGACUGCUCUUCAUAUUGCUUUGAAAAACAAUAACGUCGAAGCUUUUGAUCAAGCCUUAACAACAGUACAACCACCGUGGUUUGACCUUGAAGAAGCUCAACAAUACAAUCCAGGAAUCCUCAACUUGAAGGAUAGGGAUGGCAACACUUUGUUACACAUAGCAACAUCCAAAAGUCAAGUCCAGGCAAGCUCGAAUUCACACACACACAUAUAUAGAAAUUUUCCAAUGAGGUGCAGGCACCCUCAUUUUUUCCUUUUUAAUAUAGACAUGCUGUCUUUUCUUUUUUAAUAUAGACAUGCCGUUAAAUCACGUGCUUUAAUAUAGAUAAUUCUUAAUUCAUUAUAAAGCCAUAUAUUUUAAUAGCAUACCUGUAUAUAGUUUAAUAACGUAUCCGCAUGAGAAAAAAAUGAAAGUGUUUGCAUGAAAAAAAGGACUAUAUAAAUAUAUAUAUAUAUAUAUAUAUAGUAUCUAAUGAACUUAUCUUUAUUUCAACAAAGUAAGGAUGCCAUUAAUAAAUAUAAAAAGAAAAUCUUGAAUAAAUUAAAAUAUGUGUUCUUUUGUAUUUUAUUUACAUCUUUACUUCAUUAAAGUUUCUCUCAUAUACGGUCACAAAUAAAAUUCACAAAUAAAAUUCAGUUGAAUGAUGAUUAGACAGAUUAUUGCUAUUUCCACUUCCUGAUGAUGUCUAAAUUGAUGAAUUUGCUCAUCCAAAGCAGAUUGUAAGGCGUUUAUGGAAUUGCAAAGUUGAUACAAAUGCCCAGAAUUCGGAAGGUUUGACACCUUUAGAUAUUUCAUUACUUGAUCAAACUAAAUCAGAAAACCAAGAGAUUGCGGCAAAGCUGCGGGAAGCUGGAGCACUAGAGGCAACUUCACUUCCUACUACCGACAAGGAUAGACAUUUAUCGAGGUAACAGGAACACUGCUCUUUUACUAAAUUACAGUCCAUUUAUCGAUUAUCUUUUUAAAAACAAUAUGGCAUUUUCAUACUAUGUACAUCUCAAAAAUUGUUUAAUGUCCUUCAGAAGUAAGGAUCAGAGGCUGAACGAGGCUGCUAAAACAGGAAAUGUUGAUGCCUUGUAUGAAUUAAUAUGUGAGGACGCAUAUCUUUUAGAUCAGAUAGACGAAGUACCAUUCGUGGAUACUCCUUUACAUAUAGCAGCAUCAAUGGGGCAUGUCAACUUUGCCCUGGAGAUAAUGAGGUUAAAGCCAUCAUUUGCAAGAAAGCAAAACCAAUAUGGAUUUAGUCCCCUGCAUCUUGCUUUGCAGAAGAAAGAUACCCAAAUGGUGCGUCGGCUCAUAGAUGUGGACAGAAAUCUUGUUCGUGUCCAAGGAAGGGAGGGUGUAACGCCUCUACACUAUGUUGCUGAGAAAGGAAAUGUCGAUAUUCUAUGCCAACUUCUAGAGGCUUGCCCUGAGUCCAUCACAGAGGUGACAAUCCGUAAAGAGACUGCUUUGCAUGUUGCUGCAAAAAAUGACCAGUUGGAGGCCGUUGAGUGCAUGCUAGGAUGGCUUCGAUAUGUCGAUAUGGAGGAUAUCCUUAACUGGACGGACGAUGAAGGCAACACUUUAUUGCAUAUCACAAUCUCCAAAAGUCAAAUAAAGGCAUGAAAUUUUUUUAAAUUUUACUUCAGUUAGUCCCUAUAUUUUCAUGAUUAUUAAUUGCAUGCAUAUAUAAAUAUAUCCUUGCAGUUGGUGAGGCUACUAGUUAAAAGAGCACGUGAUCAAAUAAAUGCUCGGAACUUAGGCGAUAAGACACCCAUGGACAUGGUAGAAGAACAUUUGCGAGGGAAACCUGAAUUUAAAGAAGUAACACGCAUGGUGCGCAAAGCUGGCGGCCGACAAGAGUCCUCCCCUCCUCCUCGUAGGGACGUUGCAGGUUACUUAAAACAAGGUUUGACAUGUCGUCGAAAGGUGCUUUUGUUCUUUUACCGCUCAUCACAGCGCAUUACGGAUGAAAAUCGAAGCGCACUACUUGUGGUUGCUAUACUAAUCGCGACAGCCACAUUCCAAGCAGCGCUUACCCCGUCUGACGAUCUUGAGGGAAAUAAGUCAACUGGAACCCCCAACUCUAUUGCCACUAAUGGAUCACACUCAUCAUCGACAUCGGCAUCGACGUGGGCAUCAGUAUGGGCAUCAGUAAACCAAUCAGGAACAGCAAAUGCAACGGCCUUUGGUGUGAGCAAUGGAACCAGCAGCAGCAUCCCAACAAGUGACAAGAUUCUAUUCGCUCCGGGGCAAUUAUAUCCUGAAGCCAUUAGUGAUACGAUCUCCACACUUUUCGCAUUUUCAAAUAUUACAGCAUUUUUUAUAUCUAUGCUGGUGAUUAAUUAUCACCUCCCGUAUGGCUCCGCAGCUACUCUGGUAUAUCCUCUAGUUAUUUGCUUUUGCCUGUUAGUGGUUGGCAGAACCCCGGUGUCGCUACUUGCCUCACUUUCAAUGCUUAUCGUCUUUCGGAUUUGUUUAUUUGUACAACUGGACUUCUCCAAGAUUCGAUUUAGACGAAGCUUCUGGAUUACACAAGUUUUGGGCUCCGUUUUCAAACAUUAUAGAAGCUUCCUCAAUAAGAUAAUGAAAGAUGCUGAAAAAUAGCUAUAAUGCCAAUAUGCUGCCAUGGAUAAAACACAUGUCCGUUGGUCUGUUGAUGUUCUCUGCUGGCUUGGCUUUAUCUACUUAGUGUGACACUUCCUCUCAAGUAAUAUUGCUGGUUUUAUUUUGCGUAAGAAGGUGUGCUUUUGUGUACUGUAUUUUCUGAAUUAUGUUCGUUUGCUUUUGCUUCAUUUUGUAAGGUCUUCGCAUGUUUCAAUGUAAUAUUAAUUACUCUUGUUGUAUCUGAUAGUUGUACUGUUCACCUUCGUGACUGUGAAUAUAAUGAUGUUAAUUUAAUUAAAACUAUAUGCUUGUUUGUUUGAUAAGAAAAUGAAGGAAAAUUUAUUGACUUAGAGAGGAAAAACAGAGAUUGAAACUAUAUGCAUCUGGAACUUUCCAAGUGUAACAGAAUCAUAUACACACUCUCUGAUAUUCACCAUAACAAUUUGGUGGGAAAUAAAAAACUUUUAACAACUUGCAUUACAAUCUUCCAGUAGGUUCCAGCAGCUUGUCCAGCUUGGCAUCUGACAUCAAUUAGUUGACUCAACUUAUUCUUAACAAAUUUUUAUGAACAUAUGAAAUAUCAAUAUCAUUGGGCUUUUGAUGCUCCCACCCACAGGCUACUUAAAAUUGUACCUAUAAAAGUCUGUUAGAAGAAAAGCUGAUUCAAAAUACUUACGGCAAUAUAUGAAGAAAAACAAUCAACAAACAGCAAACACACAAACAUAGCAAUAAAAGAAGACAAGGCAAUGUUUGAUGAGAUUAAAAAGCUGACACAUGUAGCAUAUAUAUUUACGUUUUCUUGGAGAGAGGAAACCGCUGUUGGAUCUUCAUUGAUGAACCCUUCAACAGGCCUCCAAAAGGCUCUGCUGGGUCAUAAUAAAUCGCAACAUCCCCUGGCCUAAUUGAUUCAUCAACCUAUGUAUCAGGUUUUUCAUUCAUCAGCAAAGAGUUUCAGCAAUUGAUCUAAAAAAUAAAGACUGCUUUUGACACUCUAUAUAUAUGUGUGUGUGUGUGUGUGUCUUUUCCAGACAUUAGCAGAUCUAAAAUACUGUAGUAGAACAUACAUACAUAUGUAUAUGUAUAUAUAUCCAGCGGCUCAUGGAGCCCUUUUUCUUUUUUUCUUUUUAUUUUGCAGGCUGCACGUGGUGGGAGCGCCCUUUAUCCUCCUCUUUUUUUUUUUAAUUUUGCAGGCUGCGCGUGGUGGACCUUUGAUGUCCCGCAUCGGAUUACUAUCCUCUCUCUCUCUCUCUCUAUAUAAUUGUCCAGUUAUUUCUAAAUUUUAAGCAAUUUAGAUUUAGUGAUGAUUUAAAUGUCAAAAUUUAAAAUUUUUAUUUUUCUUUUUGAAAUUUCGAUAUCCAAGAGAUUGCAGUAAUAAUAACCCAAUUAAACUUCCACCAGUGAAACCACUUCUCCAUGAGAUCUUAUUGUAAAUGCACAAAAAGUUGAGGGUACCAUGCAUAUACAGGAGCGCCGUAGCUGAACCCUCAAAUUAUUUAAUUGAGGACAAAUUGUAAAAAGAUAACCUUAUUAUCGAAGUCAUGGAGUUCUAAUAUGAAAAUGGCUAUAGCUUUCUAUUGGAACAGAAGCCUGUUAAAAUAUAAUAUUUCUCUCUAAAAUCAUCUAACAAAUUAAUAAUGAAGAUUUCUUUAUAAUGUUGUAUGAGUUUUUAUAGUAUUAAUAGUCGAAUUGUUGUAGAUUCUUGAAUUUUAAUGUUUUAAUCUCUACCAUUCAUUUGAUAUAGUGGAUAAAAAAAAUUAAUUAUUUAAAUAAUAACAGGUAACCUUCAGGUUGCAAGUAAAUGUGGAUUUUUUUUUUUAAAGAAAAUUUAUAUUAUGUUGGAUAAAAACCCCACAUUCAAUGGUGGGAUCAUUUGAUUUAAUAUUAUAAUCUUUACCCUUAAUUUAAUUUUAAUAGUUAAGUAAUUAUGUAGCAAAUAAUUUGCAAGUUGUGAUAUUUCUUCAUACUUUAAAUUAUUUUUUAUCUAAUCAACUGAUAAAUACAAAUAAUUAAUUUUGGAAUUAAAAUUGUUAUGUACUGGUUCUAUCACUUUACAAUUUUACAUUUUUUUUUUUGCUUUUACAUUUAGCAUUAAAAAUAUAUGUAAUAACAUUAAAAUAAAUGUAAUUAACCAGUAAUAUUAUUUCAACAAUACUUUAUUUAAAGAUAUUUCAUAAAAUCUUAUAACAAUUUGUAUUGUAUGAAUUUAAUUACAAAGCCAUUAAUACUUAGACAAUAAUGAAUUGGCAAUGGAGAUUAUUAAGCUAAAGCCUUCAUUUGCCAAGAAGCCCAACCAAGAUGGCUUCUCUCCCAUGCACUUGGCUUUGCGAAAAUGGUCAAACUCAAACAGUGCUUCAGUUGAUAGAUACUGAUCCGGAACUCGUUCGUGUUAAAGGAAGGGAAGGCAUCACUCCUCUGCAUCAUGCGUCUGAAGAUGGAGACCUGUAUCUCUUGGAGAAAUUUUUGUCUGUUUGUCUGAAAUCUCUUGAAGAUGUGACAAAUAAAAGCGACACUGCUCUUCAUAUUGCUUUGAAAAACGAUAAGGUUGAAGCUUUUCAAGUCCUAACAAGAUGCCCUCCGUCGGUCAUUGGCCUUAAAGAAGCUGAUCAAUGCUACAACAAAAGAAUCCUCAACUCGAAAAAUAGGGAUGGCAGCACUCUGCUACACAUUGCAACAUCAAAAAAUCAAGUCCAGGCAAGCUUGAAUUAAUAUGCUAAAAAAAUCGGUUGAGUGAUUACAUUAUUGAUAUUGCCACCUGUUUUUUGUUUUAAAGUUUCAGAGUUUGUAUAUUACAUAGUGUCGCGCCUUCUAUUUUUGUGAGCUGUAGAGCUCUCACUCACACCUAACUUACUUAGGACCGUUUUCUAAGUAUUUAGGGAGUAGAUGAUUCCUAAUUAAUUAGAUUAGGAGUAAGUUUUUCUAAAGAUAAUCAUGCACAUAUUAUUAUGUUUUCCCUUUUAAGUAUGGUUUCUUCUCAUUCGAUUAGGAUACCUUAUAGUAGCAAUAUUACUUAAGACUUGUAUAUAAAGACCUCUUUGCAAGCAUAUAAUACAACAAGAUCUAAGCCAUAAUUAAUUUGCUCUCUAAGUUCCCACAUUCUCUCUUUCUUUGCCGUGAUGCUACAUUAAGAGUGUGAAAAUCAGAAAAAGGACAAAAGACCCCUGUGGUUUAGUGAAAUAGUUAUGAAACCUACUUAUUUUUAGAAAUAAUCAUAAAUACACCUUUUAGGAUACACAAACCCAAUUUAUUUGCCAAACUUUAGGGGUCUAUAUGACUUUUCUAAAUGUGAAAAUGAUUUACAUGUCCCCAAAAGGGGUAAUGUCGGACUAUUUCUGAAAACAAUCAGUCUCUAUAUGAUCAAUUUACUGAAUUUAUGAGUGUUGAUGUCUUUUUUCCUACUACAUCUUAUAGCUUAAACACAGACUCACAAGCAAAUAAAGAAUUGAUUUUUUCCAUAUUAAACAUGUCUCAUUACGUUAUUCUAGUUUUGUACCAUAUUGUUACAUUCCUUCAUCAUCUAGACCUAAUAUCAAUGGCUUUCAAUCAAUUACAUUACAUUACAAAAUGAUGUAGAAGAUAUCAUAUGAUAUUUGUCUUAUUACAGUAUUACACAUGACAUUGCAACCUUAAUUAAUAUAAUCAACCUAGAGUGUUCUUGCUCUACAAGUUAUACACUAGGUGAAAUCAUAGCCCUUGAUUUUGACACUUGAUGAAGAUUCAAUCAUUACUUGAUAACUUGUAGAAUUCAAAUCAAAUGCUUCUCUGAAGCAUUUCAUCAAACAACUUAUUCCAAAUAUCAAACACCCACUCUUUUAACUUCAAAACUACCUAACGACUUUGUAUUCACAUGUCCCAGCAGAUUGUAACGAGUUUAUUGAACUGCAAAGUUGAAAUAAAUUCUUUGAAUUCUGAUGGCUUGACACCUUUAGAUAUUACAUUACUUGAUCAAACUCAGUCAAGAAAUCAGGAGAUUGAGGAUAUGCUAUGCAGCGCUGGAGCAUUAGAAGCAACUCCACUUCCUAUUAUGGCCAACUGCACAAAUGUAUUGAGGUAAAACAACUCUUUUGCUAAACUAUGGUCCAUAUAUGGAUAAUAAUUUUAAAUAAUAUAUUUCAUUAAUUUGCAUUUUCCAUGUUAUGCACAUUGUAAUUACUUGCUAAGAAUAUUGCUUAAAUCAAUUAAUUAAUGUCCUUCAGAACGGAUCAGAGGUUGAACGAGGCUGCUCAAGUAGGAAAUGUUGAUGCCUUGUAUGAAUUAAUAUGGGAGGACGCAUAUCUUUUAGAUCAGAUAGACCGGGUACCAUUUGUGGAUACACCUUUACAUAUAGCAGCAUCGAUGGGGCAUGUCAACUUUGCCUUGGAGAUUAUGAGAUUGAAGCCAUCAUUUGCAAGAAAGCAAAACCAAUAUGGGUUUAGCCCUUUGCAUCUUGCUUUGCAGAAUUCACACACUCAAAUGGUGCUUCGGCUCAUAGAUGUCGAUAGAAAUCUUGUUCGUGUCCAAGGAAGGGAGGGUGUAACGCCUCUACACUAUGUGGCUGAGUGAAGAAAAUAUGAAACGAAGUGUUUGGCUUAAAAGAAAAUAACAGAGAAAAUAAUCUUCUGAUUUUCCAGAACUUUUAUUUUCAUAUAAAGAAUGAUUACAUCACUUCUAUUUAUACUAACUAAACAAUAACUAAUUAAGAAUCAACUCCAGCUAAUCAUUUUUUCAGUACACACUGUGAGUAAUAACAAACUUUAACUAAUUAUGCUAAGCUAGCAGUCUGGACUGUUGCGUUGCUUAACAGCUUCUGAUAGUUUGACUUGAGUUGACCCAAGCUUUGUUUUCUCAUGCUCUGCAUAAUGUGCUUCCUUAACACUGAGAAGGGAAAUGUCGAUCUUCUAUAUAAAUUUCUAGCAGCUUGCCCAGAGUCUAUCCUGCAGGUGACAAUUCGAAAAGAAACUGCUCUGCAUGUUUUUUUCGAAAUAUUAGAGGGACUUUUAUCCAUAUGUCUAAACGUUGUGAGUGUGUUAGUCUUUUUCCCUAUUUACAAGUACAAUUGUAAAUUUAUUUUCCCAUUCUUCUUCCCUUCUCUUCAAAAUUCAGCCCGAUUUUCUCCAUUUAAUCAUUCGCAUCUACAACAUUGCAAAUCUAGAAUUAGAAUUAAAAAUUCUUAUGAUUUUCCAAUACCAAUAAGUCAGUAAAUCAACUAUUAUAGUCAAAACCAAACCCUAAAAUAAAAUUAUCAUUUUUUUCCUUCAUCCUGUUCUCAAAAGGGGUUAUCUUUGUUGCUAGGCAUGUGGUGUUUAACGAAUCAGAAUUUCCUUUCUCUACGGAUCCUCAAUUCUCUAAGCAAUCUUCUACCUCUGUUUCCGAGUAUAGACAUCCUAUGUUUAAAACUUCUUCUGUGUUAGUUCUGCUACAUGAUCCUUCAGGCUCAAGUGACAACACUGUACAACAGCUUCAGCUCCAUGCAGUUCCAGCUUCCUCUUCUUCCUCUAGUUCUUCAUCAUCAUCACCUUUACCUCCAAAUCCAUAUUUCCCUGAUCCUUAUCACAAUAUGUCCCAUAAUUCCCAACACUCUUCUUCUUCUACAUCUAUUGUGCCUAUUCCACAGCCUUCUGUCCCUGCUCAUGUACCAUUGGCAACUCAUCCAAUGGUUACAAGAGCAAAAGCAGGAAUAUUUAAGCCAAAGUUUCUUGCAUAUUCUUUUGUUCUUGAAGAACAUGAACCUGCUACAAUUUCUCGAGCUCUCUCAAAUCCUAAACGGAAAGCAGCAAUGCAGGCUAAGUAUGAUGCACUCAUGAAAAAUGAAACUUGGGUUCUUGUUCCAACCUCUCAAGCUACUAAAGUUGUUGGUUGUAAAUGGGUGUUUCACAUUAAGUAUAAUGCAGAUGGCUCUAUAUCUGAGUACAAAGCUCGUUUGGUUGCAAAUGGGUUUCAUCAAACCCCUGGUAUUGAUUACUUUGAGACUUUUAGUCCAGUGGUUAAGCAAUCUACUAUGAGAAUUGUACUUAGUCUUGCUGUUAUGAAGAGCUGGAAAAUAAGGCAGAUAGACAUCAACAAUGUUUUCCUUAAUGGGCAGCUCAAUGAAGAUGUUUACAUGUUUCAACCUGAGGGAUUUGUCUAGCUUUCAUCUGGUCAUGUUUGUAAAUUGCUUAAGGCUCUUUAUGGUCUAAAACAGGCUCCUAGAGCCUGGUUUGAUUGGUUAAGGAAAGCAUUGUUGAAGUGGGGGUUUCAGAGCUCAAGAACAGAUUCAUCUUUAUUCUUUAAACAUGAACUUGGAGGUAUUGUUGUUGUGUUGAUAUAUGUUGAUGACAUUCUUAUUACUGUAGAUAAUAAUACAGUGAUUGAAAGGUUCAUCAAAUAUCUUGGAGAUACUUUUGCUUUAAAAGACCUUGGUGAAUUCAAUUACUUCCUUGGUAUUGAAGUUACUCAAGGUACAGAGGACAACUUACAUCUCUCACAAGCCAAAUAUGUAAGAGAUUUGCUCACAAAAACUGCAGAGAAAGUGAUACUCCAAUGAGUACAAGACAGAAACUAAGAAGAGCAAGAAAUGAAGAUAAUUUGAUUGUUAAUGUUACUGAAUAUAGAAGCAUAAUAGGUGCAUUGUAGUAUUUGGUACUCACAAGGCCAGAGCUUGCUUUCUCAGUAAACAAGUUGAGUCAAUUUCUUGCUGCAUCUACAGAGAAGCAUUGGACUGCUUGUAAGAGAAUUCUAAGAUACUUAAAGACAACUGAGGAUUAUGGCUUGCUAUUUAAACCAGGUGGUGGUGUUGUCUUAACUGCAUAUACUGAUGCAGAUUGGGCAUGUGAUGUUGAUGAUAGGAAAUCAGUUGGAGCAUAUUGUGUUUAUCUUGGGCAAAAUCUUAUUUCAUGGUCUUCUGAGAAGCAACAAACAAUAGCUAGAUCUAGCACAUAAUCAAAAUAUAGAGCAUUAUCAACAUCAUGUGCAGAAAUCGUUUAGGUUCAGGCUUUGCUUGGUGAACUUAAUAUUAAGUGCAAUCAAACACCAAUAAUCUGGUGUGACAACAAUGGUACUGCUGCAUUGACAACAAAUCCAGUAUAUCAUGCUAAAACCAAGCACAUAGAAUUAUAUGUACAUUUCAUAAGAGAGAAUGUGACAAAUAAACAAGUGGAAAUCAAGUAUGUGCCUAGUGAAUGGAAUAUUGCAGAUGUGCUUACAAAGCCUAUGGCUUACUGCUUUUUUAAUUACUGUAGGACAAGCUUAAUGUUGUUUCAUGACCGUUAAGCUUGAGGAGGAGUGUUAAGAUGCUUAAUCAACAGCAGUAGACCAGUGGCUGAGAUUUGUGCGACAAGGAUUGCUGAGCUGGACAAAUUAGUUAAGUUGUUGUAAUUAGUUUUAGUUUAGCCAAUAGAUGUAUUACAGUUGUACAAAAGGUUGUUAUUACUGUUGAUCAACAAUAUAAGUUUGCUACGAGCUAAAUGUAAUUCAUAUAAUUCAUAUCAAUAAAAUUUUCUCUGAUUUAGUUACUUUUCUUUCUUCUUUCCGUCACUUUCCUACUAACCAAACAAACUAUCAACCUAAGAUCCGUGAGUUCUAACUUUUACAAAUGUAAUAAUUACCAUGAAUUUACAAAAACUUGCAGCAAAUAUUUGUGUCCCAAUAGGUUGACAAUUGCAACACAUAUCGAAAAACUGUAAUAGUACCCUUCAUUAUAAUUACUUGACCAUAGUCAGUGGCGAACUAUGUAUACGCCUGGCAGCCGAGGUGUCGAGAAUUUAAUUUAACAGGGGUGCCUAAGUUCAAACACUAACAUAAUUUAAAAAAUGGUCAAUAAAUAACAAAUAUUAAAAUAUUUAGGGCUAGUUUGGUAAUCUUAUAACUUUUAAAAUAAUUGUUGUUACUUUCGCUGUAAAAAUAAUAAGUUGUGAAUAGAAUUAGUUAAACGUUUGACAAAAUUUCUUCUUAAAAGUGCUUUUGUAAAUCUCAUUGUUGAACUAUUAUAAGAGUUUAAAUGAUUAAAAUGGACAUAAUAUUAAAUAAAAUAUAUUAUAUAGAUAUAAAUACAUACAUAUAAUAUUUUUUAUUAUGUAUAUUAGUAAUUGAUAACUAAAUAAUUAUCUUUAUUUUAUUAAUUAUUUUUUAUCUCAAUAUAAUUAAUAAUAAUAAUAAUAAUCUCUAGAUUUAAUAAUUUUAUUUCCUAAUUGAAUAAGAAUAAUUUUAGAUUUUUAUAAUAUAUGUAAGGAUAUAUAUGGAAUUUUAUUAAUUAGAAAACUUAUCCUAAAAAUUAGAUUUUGAAAGCCUACUUCUUUUUUGCUUUCCAAAAUAUACUGUAUAUAAGAUACAGUGAUUUUACCGAAAGUGAUUUAAAAAAAAAAAAUCUACCAAACAGUAAAAUUAAAGUUUAACUUUUAAAAUCACUUUUAAGUCUCUCAAAACUAAUCCCAAAUAGGCCCUUAUUUCAAUACAAUUAUAAUUGUUCUCAUGUAUUUUCAUAUGUUAAAAAUAUUGAAGAAUAACCUCAUUAUCAUUACUACAAACAUAUUUUCUUCUACGUAUACAAUAAAACUAUCAUUCAACAAUUGGUUUCCCAUAUGAUUUUGUGGAAGCUUUUUCAGAAAAUUCAUAGCUGAAAAUACCCUUUCUAAUUUAGUUGUGUUACUUGAUAAAAUCAUUGCUAAUGUUACCAACAUAUAAAUUAAUGAAUACAACUAUCCAUUAUCUCAACCAUUUUUCUUGCUAACUCACCAGUCUCUUUUAAUCUUAAAAAUGUUGUCAAAACCCACAUUCAUAAUAUAAUCAUCAAGUUGAAUUUCAAGUGCCAUAAUGCAACAAUCUUUCUUUAUGGGUUCAAAGUGUUAAAAAGAAUAUUUAAUAUUUUACUUGUUUUUAAAUUUUAACAAGGGCGUUAUGGUAAAUCAAAUAAAAAUAGGACAAAUAUUAAAAUAAAUUUUAAAAAAUUAAAAAAUUGAAAAAGGGUUUCAGCCCCUGUUAAAAUGGCACCACAUCUAAAGCCUAGGGUGCCUUGAGGCAACAUACCAAUAAUAAUAAUAAAGAAAGAAAUCAAGAAAAAAGAGACAUAAUAAUAAGUAGUAACAUUAGCAAUGUUAAUUAUAUUUUAUGUUUUGACCCCUAUAAUUUUACAAGUUGAUUUUAUGUUACCGCCUACUCAAAUUUAUGGUUUUGGUCAUUGUGUUUGGCCCUCUCAAUUUUAGUGAUUCUAUACUGUAUGAAAUGUAAGUUAUGCAACCCAAGAGGGGGGUGAAUUGAGAUUUUAAAACUUACGCUAAACAAUUCGCACAACAAUUUAAUGUAUUGCCUUAAUCAAAUGUAAAAACAAUAAAUUCAGUAAAGCACAAUACUAAAAGAGUAAGUACAAUAAUAAAAGAGUAAGGGAAAAGAAAGCAAACACAACAAUUUUUACGUGGUUCGGCAAUCCCCGCUUACGUCCACGCCUCCAAGCCAACCAAACUCGAGGAUUUCACUAUCAAAGCCUCCCCAAAGCUUUAAGUUCUUACAAUUAACUUCCAAGGUGUCAAUGAACCUUUACAAUGAAGAGAUUAUCUCCCCAAUCUAUUCACCUGAAGUGUUUCUCACACUUGUACACUUACAAUUUGAUGAGAAAUGAACAAUUACAACAAAAACUCUCUUUAAGAGUGGAUUUACAAAUAAUAGCAUAAUAAUAAUUCAAUAAAUGAUGAUUUACGAAAUGGAACCUCAAUAUGUGUUAUAUGAUCUUAUUUAUGCUUGCAUUAGUCUUGAAAAUGAAAAUGGAGUUAAGGUUUUAUAGCUAAAGCCCGAAAACUAACCGUUAUAGGCAAAUUCCAGCGCUCAAGCGGUUAGCCGCUUGAUUUAUCCAGCUAGCCGCUCCAGAACAAUGAUGUUACCAUUAAAUUUGAAUUUUGCUACAAUAUCAUUGUUCAUUAAAUUACAUUUGUGACCAAAACUUUGUAUAAUUAUAUUAUAGCCCAACAUGUCAUAAAACUUUGCAAAUAAGUCUAAUUUCAGAAUUUCUAAAUAAUACCUGUCAUUCCUAAAUCUUAUUGUAAUUAUGAUAUGACCUAGUAUAUAAUAACAUUUUUCAAAAAGGUCCUUUUCAAAAUUUAAAAUAAUACCCAUAAAUUUUAAAGUUCUCAAAUCUUUUCAAUUUAGUCCAAAAUUUGAAAAUAUGAGACUUUCCUCAGGUGGUUAGCUGCUCACUCUCUGUCCAAUUUUUUAUUUCAAUUGUUUGUAUUAUGUUUGGGUCCUCAAACUUUCUUAAAUUGUAAUAUGACCCAAAAUAUUUCAAAUAUUUGCAAAUAAAUCUAAAUUCAAAAUUCAAAAUUCAAAGCAAUAUUUAAUAAAAUAAAAGAUUGCAAAACUUUUUCAUUUUAGUCCAAAUUACUCAAAUCCACAAAAUACUUUAUGUUAUAAAUAUAAAACCUUUUAGUUUAUGAAAGGUAAUUAUUUAAAUAAACUCUUGAGUUUCUCAAAUGCUAAAUCAUGCAUCAAUUAAAUCAUACCGACUUUACAAGAAUUUGUCACAAUAAUUUGUCUGUUGAGCUCUAAACUUAUUCUUGAUUUUGCCGUUGUCCGUUGAGUGUCUUGAACUUGAUUCACUUGCAUAAAUAUUAUCCUUAAAAAACUAGUAAAAAUGUGAAAUACAAUAUUUAUUAAAUCACUUAAGACACAUAUUUGUUAUCAUCAAAAUUAUAUUAUGGAUAGCCCUUUAGGGUAACAUUGUGGCUUACUCAAGUAUAUAGUUUCUUCAUUCGGCCCCAAAACCAAAAUCCUAAGAGUAUCUCCAAAAAGUUCUAUUAAUUUUACUCUUCAAAUAUUUAUUUGCUUAUCUAUGUGGUAAAAAGGAGAGUGAAAAAAUAUGUUAUUCUCCAAAAGACUCUUUAAAUAGAAAUAAGUUAAUAUUAUUUUAAUCAAAUAAAUAUUUUUUCAAAGGAAAAAUAAAUGGUAAUUAAAGCAUUUCUCUCUCUCUUUCUCCCCAAUAAAAAAUAAUAAAAUAUAAAUUGAAGAGAGAGAAAGUAACUCUACAAAUUGAAGAGAGAGAAUUAUUUCUUAUUUGAAAAAUCUUAAUUAGAGUAUAUUUUGAAGUCUUAAAUACUGAUGUAACUCUUCAAAUAAGUAAUAAAAUCUUAUUUGAAGAUUUUUUUGGAUAUGCUCUAACUUCACCACUAGAUUUACUUGAGUAUUCAACAAUACCCGACUUACUUGAGCGUAGAUGAUUUAGUUAUACUUAAUUGACUACUAAAACAAUUUAUUCAACUUACUCGACGAUACUUUACUUAGCUCACUCCAUGUACUAAUAUUUUACUAUUUUUCUAAGUGGUACAUUUAAUUACAAAAAUCCAUGAAAAUUUGAUAAUGAUGAAAUGCUUAAUAAAUAAGGGUAUUUGGUCAAAUCAUAACAAUGUUUGUUAAACACUGGUCUAAUAAUAAGUAGUCAUUUUCUGAUGAAAUAAAAUUAAAGCUGAAAAAAUUUAACAUGACUGGUUUACUCUAUACAAAUACAAUAUGAAUAAAUAUGUAUCUAUCAUGAAAAUUGACAUGAUUAUUAAAUGAAUUUGGUCUAAGUCAACCCAAUUGUUUCCCGUGUCAGGCUAGAAUUCAAUUUUUCAAUGCAUUUACUUGGUCAAUGACGUGAUUAUUAAUUAGUUAACCAAAACUAAUUCAUAUUUGCAUUAAAAUAUACUUAUAUUUUCAAUUCUAAAUUAAUUUAUAGAAUCUUAUCAUUAAAACUCAAAAUUUGGUCAUGAUUCUAGUGAACAUAUAUUUGAUGUUCUAUUUUGUAAAAUUCUUGAUAGAUUUAAAACUUCAAUGGUUCAUACAUGUUGUAUUUGCAUCAAAUGAGUGUGUAGUAUUUGAUGUAAAUCGUGUUAGAAUUUAAAUAGGUAUUCAGUGAAUUUUUAGGUUAAAUCAUGUUAGAUGACACAACUACCUAGUCAUUAAAAGAGCGUAUCAAGUCACUAUUUUAUUUUUCGUAUCGAGUUCAAGUUUUAAUAUUUUAACAUUUUAUUUUUCGUAUCAAGUUUAAGUUUUAAUAUUUUAACACAAUUAUUAAAUAAGUCGUGUUUUAACCAACAUAAAUUUAAAACAACACAAAAUUGACACAAUAUGAGUGGCUUAAUGACCUAUUUUGUUAGUUUUAUUUAAAACCCUCUAAUCUAUAAAAAAAAAUAAAAAACGGUCCAUGGGCCUAGCCCAAAUAUAUAUCCAACAAAACCAGCUCCCGCUCAAAUCACACUCUCUCGGUCGUUCCCUUCACUCUCCAAAACCCCCCAUUCCAAACAAAACCCUCAUUUUUCCCUCUUAACGAAGUCACUUUCUCGAGAACCAAACAUUCCCUUAGAUCUCCAAUUUCAUAAUGAGAGAAGAUGAAAUAGAGAAACUUCGAGGAUUGGUUCGCGACUGUGUGAGUAAGCAUUUGUACUCGUCGGCCAUUUUCUUCGCCGAUAAAAUCGCCGCUUUGAUCAAUGACCCUACUGGCGUUUACAUGCAGGCUCAGGCUCUGUUCCUUGGCCGCCACUACCGCCGUCCAUUUCACCUCCCUAACGCCUCAAAAAUUGUGCUCCGUGACCUCCGAUUUCGUUACUUGGCUGGUAAGUGUCUGGUAAAGUUCUGUUUUUUGAUUGCAUUAGAAAAUUUGAAUUUCAGAUUUUGGGAUUUGUGCUUUUUGCGUUUUUAGUUUUUUUUUUAAUGUUAUGAAAAAGGGAAAUUUUGAAAAUUUUAACUUGAAAUUGGUGUUCUUUUUAUUUUAGAACAAAAGAAUUUCAAUGAAAAAUAUGUGGAAAUUGAAUUGCUCUAGCAAAUUUGCAUGUGUUGUGUGUUUUAAGAAAAUGAAAACUAGAUUUUAAGCAAUUAAGGAGAAAUUAUCGACUUUGAGCUGAAUGGUUUUGAUCAAUUUUUUCUUGAAUGUUUAUUUGUUUAUACAACUGGGUAGUUUUUCUUUUACUUAUUUAUUUCUGGUCUGUCCUUUGUAUAAUUAGGAGGAACUGAAGGAGUGGGACUAGUGUUUGUCGAUGCUCGGUGAUGCUAAGGUCGAUGAAGAUGGUAAUGUUUUUGACACAAAGGAUAGCAAUGUCAUGUACUUAGAUAAAGAUGGGGAAGACAGAGAAAUCAAUGUAAGUUUUUGUUUGUAAUCUCAUUUUAUCUGGCCUUUUAUUUUUUAAUUUGUUGCAUAUUUGUUGUAUACUUGACCCAAUAUUUCUUUUUUCUAUUACAGAUCUCUUCAGCUAUAUGCUUUUUGAGAGGCAAAGCAUAUGAAGCCUCAGGAAAUUGUGCCCAAGCUCGGCUGUGGUUAGUUUCUUGCGAUGAAUUUACAUGAAAAUCACUCUGCUUAAUUGUAAAAUGCUUUAUGGUUAUUUUCCCUUAGUUUUUCAGUCAAAAUGAUACCAACUUAUACUGUCUAACAGUCUUCUGUUAUAGUAACUUAGGUGUAGUAAUUUAACGUACUGUUAAAGAAAGGAAAUGACUUUAUUGUUUUAAUGGGAGAAUUUUGAACAUUGUUAUAAACUUGUUUAAGUUGGGCAUAAGUAAAUUUAUCUUCAAUUUCAUUACUGAGCAGAUUUUGUUUGAAUGCAUGAAUGUUUGAUAUAUGUGUUUAAUAGCCAAGGAGUUUGUUUAGAUACUACUUUAAGAAUUAUCUAUAUAUAGAUUGGGUAGUCUAGAAAACUCUCCUUGAUUAAAUCAAUGUAUAAUUUUGAUAAGACAGUUUAAAAUGUUAACAUCCCAUGUCUUCUGGAGUCCAUUUGGUGACACAGGAAUGGUAGUAUAUGCUGGGAUGGUUUAGUUCAAUAAGGCUAUUAGUUCUGAUCUGCUUUUUCAAAGAGGUUGAUUGCCAAAUUAACAGCCACAUGAAGGAGAUUGUCUUUUUUUUUUUUUUUUUUUGUGUAUCCUGAAUUGUUUUUGCUUCCAACCACAAUUCUGGUCUUCUAUUGGUUCACACUUCCUACUUCUAUCUCGAUGAUUUUAGCUGCAAUACCUCAUUACUAAAUUCAGCUCUAACAACAGAGGAACUUAUUUGCUUCCUCUUUAUCUUGUUCCAUUACUAGCUUUCAUGUGCAGCAUUUUUAGAAUGUUAAAGACUAAUAGUACAGAAAGGUGGUUUUAAAUCAAAUGUAACAAGAUUCAAUUGACAGAUCAGCUAUGCUUCACUCCAUGUGGUUACCUACACACCUGGAUAUUUGUUUUAGAGUUUUAUGCUGUCUGAAUUAGUGGCCUCAUUUUGUUAUCUGAUUGAAAGCUUGCAUGUAUUUCGGUAAGUUAGGUUCUUCCCUCAACUCUUUUUCUUUAGUAACUAUCAUGGUAUUGUUUUAUAACCUUAAUUAGCUUCUCUUUGGUUUUUCAUUUGUCAGUAUAUCUGCUCUAUUCUGUUCAAUUCCUUUUUCUCUAUUCUCUCAGUUAUGUUGAACUAAAACGCUAUAGUUCAUACAAAGGCUUGCUAUAUUUUUUCAUAAUGAUUUAAGGUACAAAGCAGCAAUCAUAGCUGAUCCUUUGUGCUAUGAGGUAUGCAUGACACGCUAUCAAUGUUUUUUUUUUUCCUUUCCCCCUAGGGAUAAGCUGGUGGGGGGAGCGUCCCGUUCUCAAAAACUCCUUACCUUGAAUUUUGUGGCUGCAUAAAUUUCAGACAUGACUUUCUAUGCAAAAUAUUACAACCUGUGGAAACUGUUGCCUUCUCAAGGAUUAGAAAAUUACUCAAAAGAGGGCUAGAUUUUUUGAGCUAGGCUUGUCCCUUUUUUUUUUUUUGUAAAUAGAAUUUUAAUCCUUUUCUUUAAUUUGACCUCUGCUGAUCACAUAGAUGUCUCAUUUGGAUGUUCCUUAUAAGAUAUAUCGAUUCUCAUUCUUUAUGAUUUUUUUUAUGGCUGUACCUUGAUUUCUUUUUCAGGCUUUGGAAUGCCUUAUAGAAAAUCACAUGCUAACAUGCGAGCAAGGUAAUGAUGUAGUUUUUUCCUAGUCAUCUGUUUCUUUCAUCUGAGAGAAGUGGAUUAUGAAAAUGUUUACAUUUUGAAUUAUAGUUCUUACAUAAGUGUGCACGCGCACACACACACACACACAUAAAUGAAAUUAUAGUCACACACAAACAUGUUGAUAUAAAUUUAAUUUGGCAAAAAUUUCUUUGGCUGUGUUCAACUAGCAUUGGAUCUUUCAUGGAACAUGUUAUAAUAGGCUAAUACUUUAAAUUUUUGGAUUUGCUGUUGAAUUUCAGAAACAAGUUUACUUUCAUCAUUGGAAUUUGGUUUUGAAGAUGGAUGGCUUUCUUCAUUCUACUCAUGUUUGAUAAAAAAGGUGAACUGUGUGCAAAUUCAUUAUAUGCUCUUCCAAAUGUAAACAUUUCAAUAAUAAGUUUCCCAUAUGUUUUCGUGAUGUUGAUUCUUUUUGCUGUGUUUGAGUGCAGUGAACAAUUUCUUUCCUUCUUUCCUGUCUCCCUUUGUUUUAUGCAGUAUGACAAGGAGAAUGUUGUAGAAGCCAAAUUUGGAGAAAUUGAAAAAGAAAGAUGUGAUAGUGUCCAUUCGAGCCCAUCCUUCUCACACAGUCUGAAAAACAAUACUGAUCUUUUAGAGGGCUUAUUAUUCUGUCGACCUGCGAUACUAGAUUUCAGAAAUCUUCUCUUCACACAGUGUUCUUGGCUCUCUAAUUGUCAAAAAGUUGAACAGCCUUUUUCUGUCUGAUGCAUCAUAUAUAUGCAGUUUAAUAUUUGUGGACUUCAAUAAUAUUGAUUACCUUGAUUAUAAUAUUUUCAAUUGUAUGGUUUUUGGGUUUCUUCUUGGUAGGGAAGAUUUUUGUCUUUUUCUUUUUUUGACUUGAUUCUUCUUCUUUCUUAUUAUUAUUGUUACUGUUUCCCAUUCACAAGGAAAAAAUUGGAACUUGCUCCACCUCGCAAAAGUUUUAGAGCGCAUUUAAUUCUCGAAUUGGGGAAUUGGAAUGGAGAAUGGGAAUGAUUGAUUGUGUUUACUUGCUAAAAACAUGAAAUAAUGACGAUCGAUUUUGGGUGGAGCUCACAAGUUUGGGAAUGAGGUAUUGGAAUCCCAUUGCAAUAAGAGAGGUGGGAAUGAAAAUGGGAAAAUUAACACUUUUAUCCUUAAAGAAAAUUAAAUAUUUAUUUUUUACCUUAUAUAAAUAAAUAACUAAUAAUAAUAGUCGUAGUAGUAAUAAUAGUUAUAAUAAUAAUAAUAAUAAUAAUAAUAAUAAUAAUAAUAAUAAUGAAAAUUAUAGUAUUAUCCUCAAUAUUAUAAUAAACAUGUAUAUAUUUAUUUAUUUAUUUAUUUUGUUAGUGAAAAAUGUACAAUUUUAACUAAGGGCAUCAUGAUAAUUUUCAAUAAUCCAUUUUGAUUACGAAAUAAAAUAAAUGGAUAAAUGAAAUUCAGCUCAUUCGAUUCUUAUAUUUCAAGUAAAUAAUUUAUUAUGGUUCUCAUUUCUUAUUCCGAUUCCAGAUUCCAUCCCAUUUCAAUUCCUAAUCAUUUUGAUUCAUGGGAAGUAAACGCACCGUUAAUUUGUCGCUCUUGUUAAAUAUAUCCUUUGUGGAUUUCAUAUGAGGUUUGAAAUGUUAUUUAGUGAAAUUUAAUUUCUUGUUGGCUCUAUUCACCACAGCAAGGCUACAAAUCUUGAUGGGACAUUCGCCCCCGCUUGGAUAGGUUAUGGAAAUGCUUUUGCUGCUCAAGAAGAGGGUGACCAAGCAAUGUUGGGUUAUCGCACUGCUGCUUGUUUGUUUCCAGGGUAAUUUUUAGCAUUAUUUAUUCAUUUCUGUACCUUCCUGAUUUUCUUUUCCUUGGAUCAGCAUAUUCAUGCAAUGAGGACAAGGACAAAGCCACUAACUUGCUUUUGAGCAAGUUUCAGGACACUUUUAGAAUUUCAUUUUUGGCUUUUUUAAAAAAAAAUUUUGGUCUCUGAAAGAUAUCUUAAGGGUAGGGUUUGGUUGUUUUUGCUCAUCUUGAUAUUAUUCAAUUCUUGUUCAAUUUGAAGAACAGUGUGCUUUGGCUGUAUAAUCAUGUGGGUAAAAAAAUUUUUUGGUCCCUCAAGUUUCUAUUAGGUUUCAUGUAAUCCAUGAAAUUUCAGUUGCUUCAGCUUAAUCUGUUUCAAGUGCGCUACACUAAAAAACUUGGGUGUCAUGGGUUAUCAACCAAGAUUUUUUUUUUCUCCUUUGAUUUAAUAUUAAUAAACUGUUUUACCAAUAUAGACUUUUGAUGAAUGCUUCGCAUUUGAUUUCCAUAUUUCUUCCUGAGAAAUGUUGUAAGUUGAUUAAACAUAGUCUUAAAUCGACCCAAGGCAUUGUUGUAAUGUCUUUCUAUUUUGAUAAUAAACCACACUGUCAUAGUAGUUUUAUGGUCGUAAAGAUCAAUGAAUUUCAUUGUUUAUUGUUUAGUGAUGGUAUGCAUUGUGUUGUGGGAGUACUCUUAUCACUAUGAAUUGUCUUUUUACAGGUUGAAUCUUGAUGUUCUCUUAUUCCAGGUGCCAUUUACCAACUUUGUAUAUUGGAAUGGAGUACAUGCGAACUCACAGCUUUAAGCUUGCCGAACAGGUGUAUUACCUUCUUCUAAAUAUAGGCUGCCUUUCAUUUCUCUUUAGAUUUCAGUGAGAACUCUUAAGAGGUUGUUUGUUUGCAAUAUGAAGUCUGAUUGUUGGAUAUUCAGAUGUUGGUCUAUACGAUUUGCUAGUUGAUGUUGUCUUGGGGGUUUCAUUUUCCUCUUUGGAUUUAAUGUGAAUACGACUUCUUUCCUCUUUGUUUAAUUGAUGUCCAAUCCAUAUCCAAUCUACGAUUUUACGGAUUAUAAAUUUUCAAUCCAAUUCAAUUCACGGAUUGAUGAAAUUCAAUUCAAAUCCAAAUUCAAUUCAUACAUCUGCAGAUCGGAUGCGGAUUUGAUCAAAUCCAUAUCCAAUCCAUCAUUUUGCGGAUUGGUUUGCGGGCUGAAAAUUUUUAAUUCUGUCAAAUCCACGAACUAACUAAAUAUAAAAAUAAUUUUACUACCGAUCAAAUUUAAAAUUAAAUAAGAUUUAAAUAAUUAAUUGUUUAAAUAAAGCUAGAAAAUACAUUUACAGUUUUAAAAUAUAACACACCAAAAUGAAAAAAAUCUUAUUCGUUUAGAUCAGUACAUUUUUUUUAUGCGAAUACCACUCUAUUGGUGGGGGGCUUAGGCGGGACCCCUACUUUUCAUUUAGAACAGAUAAUGAAGAUUACAUGUGGAGGGGGACAUAAACCAAACCUCCAAUCUAGAGAAAUAAAUAUAACAGUAAAAGAAAUGAUUUAGGCAUAGCCUAACAUAAGAAGAAAAAGAGUAAUGCAGACGGUGACAAUAUCUCUUACGAUACUUGCGGCCGGCAAGUAAUUUAAUGCCCUUUUUCGAGUGACUGACAACACUAAAAUCAAGGCUAGAGUCAAUUCUCUCAGAAUUCUCAGGAGCAGACAGAAAAUAGUCAUUAUUCGCCAAAUGUUUGUUAGAACUAUCAUCAUUAUCAGUAUAAGAACUGUAAUGCCUAAAAUAUGUGCUGGAUGCUCGAUGAAGCUAUGUAUUAUAUUCACCUAGUUCUCGGAUCCUAGAAUCAGGAGUCGUGACAUCCUGGCCAAUCGGCUCCUGAAUGGAAGUAGAGUUUGUAGCGUUAACUCGGUUCUCUUAGGUACAAUCGGAGACCCCACAUCUGCAAUUUGCUUAAUGAUGGAAGGCUAAAGUCGUGGAGUAUCCAAGGGUUGUGGAGUAUCUGACGGCAAAACUUCUAACUUCUUAUUAUCUACUCUAGUUUGCCAAUUCCCACUGGGCCGCUGGGGAAGGACCCCUGGAUUGGCCACGGAACACGUCUCAAUGGUAUGGCCAAGGCACUUGUAGGAAGCACAGUAGAGUGGGAUUUUCUAAAAAAUUAUACUCUGCCAAAAUCCAGAAUCUCUCACACCGAUUUAGAUUCGUGACAACAGAGUUGAGUGACAUUAUUCUUCACUAACACCCUACUUACAGAAGGGCGAGCUAAAAAGGCAGUAGCUUGGUCAAUUCGUAAUGGCUUACCAAUAGAUGAUGUAAUAGAAAAUAAUGCUUCCUUACAGUGCAUAAAAUGGACAAGCAAGUAAGGAAUUGAAAUCCAUACUGGGACUAUAGAGGACUCCUUGGAAAAUCAAAAAUCGGUGGUUUAUUUAAAAAUUCUCAUUGCACUCUCAUUGAUGUACCAUGUCUGUCUAACCCGUAGGCGGGAGUAGUCCUCCUCAACAUCCAAUUGAAUUAACACAUGUCGAUUAUCUAAAAAGGACAUCUUGGAAAUUCCCUUCAAUCUCAUAGUAUUAAAAAAUUUACAAAUUAAUUCCAUACUAGGUCUAUUGUAGGAAAAUUUACCUACCAAUGUCCGCAGUGGAAAAUUGUACUUUAGGCUCUCCCUCGAAUAAAGUGACGAUCUUGAUUGGAAUAGACAAGCUAGUUGGGUCGUUCAUAAUAUCCACCAAAGAUUUUUUAGUGGGUUUAUUUUGAUUCAGAUUGGGGAUGGAUUUCAAAACCGAGGUAUAAGAAGGUACGUAUGUGGGCUGAGUGGUAUUUUGGAUUAACGGAUCAUUUUGGGGGUUAUUUAAUAAGAUUGGAGAGGGCAUUCGGGAGGGCUGGGUGUUGGGGUUUAUUUCGAAAAUGGAUUGGGCUUGGGUUUGACUAGUGGGAAAGGUUAAUGGGGCAUGGGAAGAGCUAGUGGUAGACACACAUGAGGAACACAAUUCAUGUGCUACCGAAAGUGUCUUAUGAGCAUGGGAAUUACACGCGUGCAGACUUUUGAGCUGAUGUUGGGUGGAUGUUUGCUGACCUUGGCUGGGUUCUGUGGUGGUUGCUUGCAGCUGACUUUCGGUUGACAGCUGCAGCUGGACGUGAGCUUGUGAUUUGCAUGGGGUUUUUUUUGUUGUGUGGGAGUUAUUUGUGUAGGUAGUGAUUGUGGCUGGCUGGUGGUUGUAUCUUGGACCGAAUCUUGAGACAAAUGGCCAUGGAGUACGGGCUGGUUUUGAUGGUGUAUAGGGGCUGUGACAGCAGGAUGAACUCUCGAAUAGUGUGUGGUUUGUGUUGGCUACGGGCUAGAGGCUGGUGGCUGGUUGGUUUGAGAUGAAAACCCAUUCACCAAGUUUGGUGGUGAAAGCUUGGAGUUGGCUGUUGAAGGGGUGACGAUGGCAGUUGGAGAUGGUUGUUGAAGGGACGACGAUGGCGGUGUGUUUGCGGAAGUUGAGGGUUGUUGGGGUUGGGCUGGCGUUUGACUCCUGUAUUUUGAGCGAGUUUGCCUUUGGGAUCUCCUAAGAAAAGAAUGUUCAUUUAUGGAAGUAAGGGGAGGAGCAGAUGGUGGCUGGCUGCCAUUAUCGUCAGCCGGCGAGAUAAGAAUCGACUUGUCUCGAGCAUUGGUUUCUUCCCCUUCUUCUAGUGAAUGGAGGGGUGAUUUUGCUACCUCACGGCAGCAUUCAUAGUCAUUGAUGCCACCAUUGAUUACCAUUUCUUUUUGCUCACUUGCGGCAUUAGGUGUGAUUGAAGGUUGUUGAAGUUUCGAGAGGAUAGCGGCAAUGGACAAUGGUGGUUGGUUUGCAUGGGGUUGGAUUUGAGAUGGAGGGUCUGCAUGAGAGUGGUUUGGUUGGAUUCGCGGUGGUGGCAACUGGACGUCCGGUGGCAGUUCAUUGGUGAAUUUUGGGGGUCGUCUAAAUGAUUUUUUAGGAGGGUUCAAACUCCUGAUAAUUUGUUCUUCUGCAGAGAGGGUGUAGACCGGUGAUGGCCGGUUGCCAUCAUCGGCGGCCGGAGAGGCCAUUAAGGCCGUUUAAGGCUUUUGAGGGGGGAAGGGGGAGACAUGUAGUUGAUAUUAGCAAUUAGAUUAGUGCAUGGAACUUAACUAUUUUAGAAGUUAUAUUUGUUUAUUUAGUUAUUUUUAUUUUAUAUUAUUAUUGGAUAAGAUAUAAUAUAGUGUUAAUAUAACUAUAUUUUAACUUAUUUAUUUACUAGUAAGUACUAAUAUUAUAUUUACAAGUUUUAUUUUUUAAUUAAAUAAAUACUUUUUAUUUUUUUACGAAUUUGCGGAUUUUUGCGGAUUUAUAGAAAUAGAUCCAUAUCCAAUCCAUCGAUUUCGGAUUAUCAAAUUUUCAAUCCAAUCCAAUCCAUCAAUCCACGAAUCGGAUUUUUACGGAUCAAACGGAUUGAGCGGAUCGGAUUGUGAACACCCCCGUACGAAGGACCCCUGAUAUUGAUGUCCAUACAUCCGAAUAAAUUUUCUUUAUGAGGAGUCUACGUCAUGAUUUCUACGUCACGAAUUCUCCAAAAUAUGAUGUCUCUCACUCUUAUCUCUCACUCUUAUUUAAGGCAAACCUCAUAGAGGCAAAUACAGAACAUGAAGAAAAUUAAUUUUGUUCCUAGUCCUCACUAUCUAAAAAGAAUUUUCGUUGAAGCUAUAUAUAUAUAUAUAUUGAAUCUUUUGAAAAAAAUUGCUUCCUGAGCAUAUGAUUUCUUGCUGGUUAAUUUUAAAAUAAAAAUUAUUUUGACUAUUAUAUAAAAGUUAAUUUUAAUAUUAUUAAUAGAGAGAUUUUUUAAAUUGUAAAAUCUAUUUAACCCAAAGAUUAUUUAAAAUCUUUUUAAUAUUACAAUUAUAUUAUUAAAAUAAAUAUAAUAAUUUAAAAUUUUAAUAUUAUUUUAAAUGUAAAAAAUAAUUUAAUAUUAUUAGUCUACCAAAUAGAUUUAUAUUAUUUAUAUAAAAUUUGUGUUAGUUAAAAAAAUUUAAAAAUCAAAUUUUUAAUUAAUAUAAUCAAAAGUUAUUGUGGGCAAAAAAAAGUUUUUGUAUCUUUUUUUUAGGAUUUAAAGAGUUUUUUAUAACUAUUUUCCCAAAUCUUAGAAUGUCGUUAUUCUUUUUCUUUUUUUAUCCCAUCUCAGUUUUUUUACAAGUAUUCAAAUAUUAGCACGUGAAAUAUAUUUUAAAAUAUCCAUCAAUUUAUUAUUUCUUAAAGUACCUUUUAUUAAUAAAUAGCAUAAUACACACGAAGGACCAUUGAUAUUGAUGUUCAUACAUCCGAAUCAAUUUUCGAGUCUACGUCAUGAUUUCUACGUCACGAAUUCUCCAAAUUAUGAUGUAUAUCUAUUCUUUCCCCUUUUGGUAAACAUAUCUCACUCUUAUUUAAGGCAAACCUCAUAGAGUCAAUCACAAAACAUGAAGAAAAUUGAUUUUGUUCCUAGUCCUCACUUUCUAAAAAGAAUUUUCGUUGAAGCUAUAUAUAUAUAUAUAUUGAAUCUUUUGAAAAAAAUUGCUUCCUGAGCAUAUGAUUUCUUGCUGGGUUUCUUCAAUUGCUCUUCUUGUUCAGUUGUUAAAGCUUUCCAGUUUCCUCUCUGUCGUUCAAAGAAUAUUUGAUCAUUGAAGUGUCACCUUCGUAGUGUUAAUUUCGGUGAUGGAGUCCGCUGCUCAAGUGAGGGAUGUCGAUGCUUUGUAUGAGCUAAUUCAACAUGAUCGAUAUUUUUUGGACAACUUCGACGAGAAACCUUUUGUCGAUACUCCUUUGCAUGCUGCUCCAAGGGAUGGAAAUGUUGAAUGGUCCAUGGAGAUUAUCAGACUAAAGCCAUCAUUUGCCAGGAAGCUAAACCAAGAUGGCUUCUCUCCGGUGCAUUUAGCUUUGCAAAAUGAUCAAACUCAGUUAGUGCUUCAGCUGAUAGAUAUUGAUCUGGACCUUGUUCGUGUCCAAGGAAGAGAAGGCAUCACUCCUUUGCAUUUCGUGUCUGAAAAAGGAGACAUCCAUCUGCUGAGGGAAUUUUUGUCUGCUUGUCCGAAAUCUCUUGAAGAUGUGACGAAUAAAGGCGAGACUGCUCUUCAUAUUGCUUUGAAAAACGAUAAGGUCGAAGCUUUUGAUCAAGCCUUAACAACAGUACGACCACCGUGGCUUGGCCCUGAAGAAGCUCAACAAUACAAUCAAAGAAUCCUCAACUUGAAGGAUAGGGAUGGCAACACUUUGUUACACAUAGCAACAUCCAAAAGUCAAGUCCAGGCAAGCUCGAAUCCACACACAUAUAUAUAGAAAUUUUUCAAUGAGGUGCAGGCACUUCAUUAUUUUUAAUGCAGACAUGCUAUUAAAUUAUGUGAUUUAAUAGAGUCAAUGUUUAAUUCAUUAUAAAGCCGUGUAUUUUAAUAGCAUGCCUGCAUAUAAGUUAAUAGAGUGUUCGUAUGAGAAAAAAAAAGAGAGAGUAUUCACAUUAGAGAAUAACUAUAUUUAUAUAUAUAGUAUCUAAUUAAUGACCUUAUCUUCAUUUUAACAAAGUAAAGAUAUCACUAAUAAAUUAAAAAAAAAAGUAGUUUAACAAAGUAAGGAUAUCACUAAAAAAAAAAAGCAAUUUUCAAUAUAUUGAAAUAUGUGUUUUUUUUAAUUUUAUUUGCAUUCUUAUUUUAUUAAAAUUUUUUAUUAGGGAAGGACUAUAUCUAUCUGGUCACAAAUAAAAUUCAGUUGAAUGAUGUCUAAAUUGAUGAAUUUGUUUAUCCAAAGCAGAUUGUCAGGUGUUUAUUGAAUUGCAAAGUUGAUACAAAUGCCCGGAAUUCGGAAGGUUUGACACCUUUAGAUAUUUCAUUACUUGAUCAAACUAAAUCAGAAAACCAAGAGAUUGCGGCAAUGCUGCGGGAAGCUGGAGCACUAGAGGCAACUUCACUUCCUAUUACCGACAAGGAUAGACAUUUAUCGAGGUAACAGGAACACUGCUCUUUUACUAAAUUACAGUCCAUUUAUCGAUUAUCUUUUUAAAAACAAUAUGGCAUUUUCAUAUUAUGUACAUCUCAAAAAUUGUUUAAUGUCCUUCAGAAGUAAGGAUCAGAGGCUGAACGAGGCUGCUAAAACAGGAAAUGUUGAUGCCUUGUAUGAAUUAAUAUGGGAGGACGCAUAUCUUUUAGAUCAGAUAGACCAAGUACCAUUCGUGGAUACUCCUUUACAUAUAGCAGCAUCAAUGGGGCACGUCAACUUUGCCCUGGAGAUAAUGAGGUUAAAGCCAUCAUUUGCGAGAAAGCAAAACCAAUAUGGAUUUAGUUCUCUGCAUCUUGCUUUGCAGAAGCAAAACCAAUAUGUACUUGAUCACGAGCAUCUUAAGGAAAAGAAACAGACCCAAAUGGUGCGUCGGCUCAUAGAUGUGGACAGAAAUCUUGUUCGUGUCCAAGGAAGGGAGGGUGUAACGCCUCUACACUAUAUUGCUGAGAAAGGAAAUGUCGAUCUUCUAUGCAAACUUCUAGAGGCUUGCCCUGAGUCCAUCACAGAGGUGACAAUCCGUUAAGAGACUGCUUUGCAUGUUGCUGCAAAAAAUGACCAGUUGGAGGCCGUUGAGUGCAUGCUAGGAUGGCUUCGAUAUGUGGGCAUGGAGGAUAUCCUUAACUGGACGGACGAUGAAGGCAACACUUUAUUGCAUAUCACAAUCUCCAAAAGUCAAAUAAAGACAUGAAAAGUUUUUAAAUUUUACUUCAGUUAGUCCCUAUAUUUUCAUGAUUAUUAAUUGCAUGCAUAUAUAAAUAUAUACUUGCAGUUGGUGAGGCUACUAGUUAAAAGAGCACGUGAUCAAAUAAAUGCCCGGAACUUAGACAAUAAGACACCCUUGGACAUGGUAGAAGAACAUUUGGGAGGGAAACCUGAAUUUAAAGAAGUAACACGCAUGGUGCGCAAAGCUGGCGGUAGAGAAGGGUCCUUCCUUCCUCCUCGUAGGGACGUUGCAUAUUACUUAAAACAAGGUUUAACAUGGCGUCGAAAGGUGCUUUUGCUCUUUUACCGCUAGAUAAAUUUCUUAAAGGAAUAGCUUUUUAUUGCGGUAUGUGUCCUUUGUACAGAGCUCUGCUAUUUAUAUGCAGGGCUAGAUACUUUACAUGGUAAGUGUUUACAUGGCAAGAAUCACCGUUUAAUUAUACAAUAUUUUCAAUCUCCUCAUAUUUACAAUCUCGUUGAUCUCCUUCCUUGAAUACAGAUUCUUGCUUUGUGUCCAAGGUUAUUGCUUGACAGCUUCACACGAUUAUGUGGCAUCUGACUUGGACUCUUUUCUAACUCCCCCCUUCAAGCUUAACUGUCUGUUUGAGACUUUAAGCUUGUCUCUUAAAAAUCUGAAACGAUCACAGCUCAAGGGUUUUGUCAAAACAUCUGCCACUUGUUCCUUUGUCGGUACAUAUCUCACUUCUUGUUCACCAUUUGCAAUUUUUUCUCUGACGAAAUGUACAUCAAUUUCUAUGUGUUUAGUUCGGGCAUGAAAUACUGGAUUGCUGGCAAGGGAUGCUGCACUUGUGUUAUCACACCAGAUUACUGGUCUUUGUUUUGGCUUCAUUCCAAGUUCUCCUAGCAAAGAACAUAUCCACGUGAUUUCAGCACUUGUAUCGGCAAGGGACCUAUAUUCUGAUUCAGUGCUUGAGCGUGCCACCACCUUCUGUUUUUUCGAUCUCCAUGAGACUAGAUUCCCACCAAGGAAGGUGCAGUAACCACCAGUAGACCGUCUGUCAUCUUGAUCACUUGCCUAAUCUGCAUCAGUGAAACACAUCAGUCCUGGUUUUCCUUUUGGUGUGAAGUGUAGGCCAUAAUUUAAGGUUCCUUUCAAGUAUCUGAGAAUUCUCUUACACCCCUCCCAAUGAGUUUGUUUAGGUGCUUCUAAAUAUUGGCUUAGUGUGUUCACUGCAUAUGUUAUUUCAGGCCUUGUUAAGGUAGCAUAUUGUAGGCCUCCAAUUACACUCCUGUACAAGGUAUUGUCACUGAAGGCUUUCCCUCCUUCCUUUCUCAGCUUGGUACUUGUGCUCAUUGGUGUAGGCAAGCUUUUGCAAUUUUCCAUUCCUAUUCGUUGUAGGAGGUCAGUGAUGUAUUUCCCUUGCGAUAGAUGCAUUCCCUCAGCAGUCCUUUCUACUUCAAUUCCCAAGAAGUAUUUUAGCGAGCCAAGAUCCUUCAGAGAGAAGCUUUUGUUCAGCUUCUGAAUCACGUCGUCAAUUAUCCUGCUAUUACUUCCUGUGAGUAGUAUGUCAUCUACAUACACAGGUAGCAGCACUGUAUCUCCAUCUUUGUUCAUAAAGAAUAGUGAGGUGUCUGAUAUUGAGUUUUUGAACCCCCAGUCUUUAAGGGCUUAACUGAGCUUAUUAUACCAGGCCCUUGGAGCUUGUUUGAGACCAUAGAGUGCCUUUUUUAACUUGCAAACAUAUUGUGGCUUUCUUUUGUCCUCGAAGCCUUGCGGUUGUCUUAUAAAAACUUCUUCACAUAGUUCACCAUGCAAGAAUGCAUUAUUCACGUCCACUUGUUUGAUAUCCCAGUUGUUCAUAAUAGCUAGGUUCAACACAAUUCUAAUAGUUGGUGAUUUGGCCACUGGACUGAAAGUUUCGUUAAAAUCGAUGCCCGCUGUUUGAUGAAACCCUUUAGCCACAAGUCUCGCUUUAUACCUUGCUAUAGUGCCAUCUGGAUUAUACUUCACCUUGUAAACCCAUUUAUUUCCUAUUACCUUUUGAUCCUGAAAGGGUGGAACCAAUUCCCAGGUUCUGUUUUUCUGAAGUGCUUCAAACUCUUCCUUCAUGGCUGUCUCCCAUUUUUUAUUUUUCAACGCCUCUUCUACACUUGCUGGAGUGUCAAUUUUCUCUCUUGCUAAUCUUUUUGCUGUGUAAAUUUUGGGUUUAUAUAUCCCAGACUUGGCUCUUGUGAUCAUAGGGUGACUGGGGGGAAGUGUUUGUGGCUGGCUUGUUGACUCUGUAGCUGCAGUAUUUUGGGUACUUUUUUGCUGUUGUUUCUGAGUUUGUCAUGACUGGUUCUGGUGUUUUAGGUUCUGUAGUGUUGGUCUCUUGGUUUGGUGAAAGGAUGUGGAGCUCUCGGUCUGUUGGACAGUGAAGGUUGGAGCCUGCUUCUUGAACGACUGCUGGUGGAGAUGUAGCUGAGACACAUCCUGAAGUAGAAACCUGUGGCACUGUUAGGAUUUGAGUAUAAUAUGGACACACAGCUGUAUUUUUCUCAGUAGGUUGAAAAGCUUUGUCAUUUUGAAAUGGAAAUUCAAACUCAUUAAAGACCACAUUUAUUGCUAUAUAAACUCUCCCACUACUGUGUAAGCACAAGUAUCCUUUGUGUUGAGAGCUAUAUCCUAUAAACACACAUUUAGCAGUGCGAAAAUCUAAUUUAUGUGAAUUGUAUGGCCUUAAGUGGGGAAAACAUGCACAACCGAAAUCCUUCAUGAAUUUGUAAUCAGGCUUUUGAUGAUAGAUUAUCUCAUAUGGGGAUUUUCGAUUGAGUAUUAAUGUCGGCAUCCUAUUUAUUAAGAAUGUGGCUGUUUCAAAGGCUUGCCACCAAUACUUUGUAGGUAUUGAGGCUUGUGGUAGUAAGGUUAGGCCGAUUUCUACUAUAUGCCUAUGUUUUCUUUCCACCCUUCCAUUUUGGUGAUGAGAGUGAGGACAUGAAUGCCUAAAUAAAAUUCCAUUUUCUUUGAGAAAUGGUACGAAGGAUCUGAAUUCACCCCCCCAAUCUGUUUGCAAGGUUUUAAUUUUCUUUUCAAGUUGGGUUUCAAUCAUUUUCUUAAAUACUUGGAAGGUGGAAAAGGUUUCUGAUUUGGCAGCCAAUGGAUAAAUCCAUGUAAAUCUGGAAUAGUCAUCUACAAUGCUUAGGUAGUACCUAUAGUUGUUUCCAGAGGCUAUUGGUGAUGGUCCCCAGAGGUCAAUAUGCAAUAAUUCCAGUGGUUCAUUUGUUUUUGUUGCUGAGUUUGUAUGGCUUAGUCUAUGACUUUUUCCAUAUUGGCAUGCUACACAAAAUUGAGGAACGGAAAUUUUAUUGAUGUUACUAGAUACAUCACAUGACAUUAAUAUGUCAUUUAAUGUUUGAACACUAGGGUGACCAAAUCUUUGAUGUAAUGUAUCUAUUUUAUUGACUCCAUUACAAGUUGAUUCUAGACUUCGACUCUUAGAAGACUCUGAUUCGCUGUGUGACAACACAGGCUUAUUUAAAGCAGCAAAAAGAGAAGUUGCAAGGGGACUUUUGACUCUAGAUUCAGGUGUCUUGCAGGAUGUUUCCAACAGAUACAAUCCUCCAUCAGCCGUUCCUUGAAGCAAGACUUUCUUCCUCAUCUUGUCCUGUAUAAGGCAAGUAUUUUUCUUGAAAACAACAAACAAGUCAUUGUCAGAUAAUAAUUUAGAGAUGCUAAGGAGAUUUUUUGUAAUAUGAGGGACAUGCAAAACAUCUUUUAAAAUAAUUGGCUUCUGACAUGGGACAUGUAAUGAGGAUCUACCAAUAUAAUUUAUUUUUAACUUAUGACCAUUACCAACCAUAAGUUUGUCACUUCCCUUGUAUUCAAAUUUCGUUUCAAGGUUUUCAAUCUGAUAUGUGACAUGGUUUGUAGCACCACUAUCCAGGUACCAACCUUGAUCAUUUUCCGAAUCAAUCUUUGCAACAUUAGCCGUGGCUUGACUCUGGUUUUUCUCAUUGCUUUGUGGCUCGUAGUCUUCUUUAAAGCGAUGCCAGCAAUCGAAUGCAGUGUGUCCUACCUUUCCACAAAUUUGGCAAGUUGGCUUUGAUUUUCCUCUGCCAGAUGUUUGUGGUGUUUUUGCUCUGCCUCUACCUCUUGGAUUGUUUCCUCUUCCACUAUUGUAUUUUCUUUGGUUUUGAGUAGAUUGAGCAUAGUUUGCUGAUAUGUUCCCAUCAGAAGCUAUGUUGGCAGCAGUAUGCAGCUGAUCAAGUCUGCUUUCAUGGUUCAAGAGAAGUGAAUACACUUCUUGAAGAGGUAGUGUGUCUGAUCUUGCUGUUAUAUUAACCACUACAGGGUCAUAUUCUGAUCCCAAGCCUGCAAGAAUAUAGAGAACUAAGUCUUCUUCUGUGAUGGGAUUUCCUGAGGCGGUGAGAUUGUCAGCAAAGUUUUUCAUUUUGGAAUAAAAAUCACUAACAGUCAUAGACCCCUUUUUCUGGGUUUGAAGCUGCAUCCUAAGUUGUAGGAUUCGAGCUUUUGACUGAGAGGAGAAAAGCCUUUCCAGUGCAUUCCAAACUUCAUAAGAAGUGGUGCAACUGAUGACUGAACUUAAGACACUUUCAUUCAUUGAAGACAGCAGCCAACUAAGAAGAAGUUGGUCCUGUUUCUUCCAAAGUGCAUAUUCUGGAUUUACAGUCGUUUCUGCAGUUUGGUCAUCUACAGCAACUACCAGAAAUUUGUUUGGGCAAGGUUUUGUGCUGUUUAUGAAGCCUUCAAGUUCAUUGCCACGGAUUGAGGGCAGGACUUGAGAUUUCCACAUCAGGUAAUUUUGUCUAUCUAGCUUGAUUGGGACGGUGAAAUUGAAGGUGGUGGGAUUGGUUUGUGGUAUUGUAUGGGUGGCGGAAUUGGUGGUAUUAACAAAACUAGAUGAAGCCAUUAUUUCGACUUACCCGCUCUGAUACCAAGAUAAAUUUCUUAAAGGAAUAGCUUUUUAUUGCGGUAUGUGUUCUUUGUACAGAGCUCUGCUAUUUAUAUGCAGGGCUAGAUACUUUACAUGGUAAGUGUUUACAUGGCAAGAAUCACCAUUUAAUUAUACAAUAUUUUCAAUCUCCUCAUAUUUACAAUUUCGUUGAUCUCCUUCCUUGAAUACAGAUUCUUGCUUUGUGUCCAAGGUUAUUGCUUAACAGCUUCACACGAUUAUGUGGCAUCUGACUUGGACUCUUUUCUAACUCCGCUCAUCACAUGGCACUACGGAUGAAAAUCGAAACGCACUACUUGUGGUUGCUGUACUAAUCGCGACAGCCACAUUCCAAGCAGCGCUUACCCUGGCUGACGAUCUUCAGGGAAAUAAGUCAACUGGAACCAGCAACUCUGUUGCCAAUUUUGGAUCACAAUCAGCGUCGACAUCGACAUCGGCAUCAGCAUGGGCAUAUGUAACACCAUCAGGAAGAGCAAAUGCAACCGCCAUUUAUCGGAGCAAUGGAACCAGCAGCAGCAUCCCAACAAGUGACAAGAUUCGAUUCGCUCACGGGAAAUUUUAUGGCGAUGCCGUCAGUGAUACGAUCUCCUCACUUUUCGCAUUUUCAAAUAUUACAGCAUUUUGUAUAUCUAUGCUGGUGAUUAAUUAUCACCUUCCGUAUGGCUCCGCAGCUACUCUGGUAUAUCCUCUAGUUAUUUGCUUUUGCCUGUUAGUGGUUGGCAGAACCCCGUUGUCGCUACUUGCCUCAUUCUUAAUGCUUAUCGUCUUUCGGAUUUUUUUAUUUGUACAACUGGACUUCUCCAAGGUUCGAUUUAGACGAAGCUUCUGGAUUACACAAGUUUUGGGCUCCGUUUUCAAACAUUACGGAAGCUUCCGCAAUAAGAUGAACGAAGAUGAAAAAUAGCUAUAAUGCCAAUAUGCUGCCAAGGACAAAACACAUGUCCGUUGGUCUGUUGAUGUUCUCUGCCAUGGACAAGUGUUUUAGUUAAACACUUCCUCUGAAGUAAUAUUGCUGGUUUUGUUUUGUGUAAGAAGGUGUGCUUUUCUGUACUGUAUUUUCUGAAUUAUGUUCGUUUGCUUUUGCUUCAUUUUGUAAGGUCUUGCAUGUUUCAAUGUAACAUUAAUUACUCUUGUUGUAUCUGAUAGUUGUAUUGUUCACGUUCGUGACUGUGAAUAUAAUGAUGUUAAUUUAAUUAAAACUAUAUGCUUGUUUGGCUGAUAAGAAAAUGAAGGAAAAUUUAUUGACUUAGAGAGGAAAAACAGAAAUUGAAUUCGUUAUGAUUGAUACAGUGAAAUGAGAUUACAAUACACUAUAUAUAUAUAGUAGCAUCUGGAACUUUCCAAGUGUAACAGAAUCAUAUACAAAGUCUCUGAUAUUCACCAUAACAUUUUGGUGGGAAAUAACAAACUAAUAACAAACUUUGAACAGCUUGCAUAACAAUCUUCCAGUAGCUUCCAGCAUCUUGUCCAGCGUGGCAUCUGAUUCAUUACUCUACUUAACAAUUUUCUGACAUCAAUUAGCUGACUCAACAUAUUCUUAACAAAUUUGUAUGAACAUAUGAAAUAUCAAUAUCAUUGGGCUUUUGAUGCUCCCACAGGCUACUUAAAAUUGUACCUAUAAAAGUCUGUUAGAAGAAAAGCUGAUUCAAAAUACUUACGGCAAUAUAUAAGUAUGCUUCCGGCAAUAGGGUGAAAGCCUACACAUGAAGAAAAACAAACAACAAACAGCAAACGCACAAACAUAGCAACAAAAGAAGACAAGACAAUGUCUGAUGAGAUUAAAAAGCUGACAAUUGAUGAACCCUUCAACACCCCUCCAAAAGGCUCAGCUGGGUCAUAAUAAAUGUCAACAUCCUCUGACCUAACUGACUCAUCAACCCUAAGUGACUCAUCAACCUAUGUAUCGGGUUUUUCAUUCAUCAGCAAAGAGUUUCAGCACUUGAUCUGAAAAAUAAAGACUGCUUUUGACACUCUAGAAAUUCAAUUUCAUUUUUCCAUGUUAUUGAUGAUCAAACUCAGAUUAGCAACUGAAAAUAUAAUAUAACAAUUUGACAUCAAAAGUAAGUCCACUGAAAAUCUUUGGAAAUAUAUUAAUUAAAAUUAUGUUGAUGAAAUUUUUUAAAAUUUUAUGGUUUUGGUUUACGAAUCGUGUUGGCGAACGGCUUUAUUGUACAAGUACAGGUGCUGCUUCCUCUUCAUCUAUAUUAUACGGUUUACAUUGUUAAUUUAUUUUAGUACUUUGUUUCCUCAUUUGUUGAAAUCCACUGAGUGCUUUAAAGUUACCUGAUUGACACUAAAAUUAUCAUUUUUUUCCUUCAUCCUGUUCUCAAAUUCAGUCACGUUCCUUCGUCAUUUGUUCACGAAAUCCAAGUGCGGGCAACCAAAUGAGAAAGCCUGUAUUUUGACAAGCUCAAUCAAAAUUCUUCGGUUCCUUACGUGUUGAUUUCGACCUCUAUAAAUUAAAUUUAUUUAGCUUGAAGAGAGAAUUUGAUAAAAAUUUAAAUAAAGAAAUUGGGCAAUGAGAAUAUAUUUAUAAUUUUAUUAACAAUAUAUGGACAAAUUGGACAAUUAACAACUAUUUUUUUAUGUGCUAGAAGGGUAUAACGGUAAUUAUAUAUUAAAAUUAUAAUUUCUGUUAAAAGUAACGGUUUCCGUUGAUGAAUGAGGGUGUGAAUGUCUUUUUUGAAAUAUUGGAAGGACUUUUAUCCAUCUGUCUAAACGUUGUGAGUGUGUUAGUCUUUUUCCCUAUUUACAAGUACAAUUGUAAAUUUAUUUUCCCAUUCUUCUUCCCUUCUCUUCAAAAUUCAGCCCGAUUUUCUCCAUUUAAUCAUUCGCAUUUACAACAUUGCAAAUCUAGAAUUAGAAUUAAAAAUUCUUCUGAUUUUCCAAUACCAAUAAGUCAAUAAAUCAACUAUUAUAGUCAAAACCAAACCCUAAAACAAAAUAAUCAUUUUUUUUCCUUCAUCCUGUUCUCAAAAGGGGUUAUCUUUGUUGCUAGGCAUGUGGUGUUUUACGAAUCAAAAUUUCCUUUCUCUACUGAUCCUCAAUUCUCUAAGCAAUCUUCUACCUCUGUUUCCGAGUAUAGACAUCCUAUGUUUAAAACUUCUUCUGUGUUAGUUCUGCUACAUGAUCCUUCAGGCUCAAGUGACAACACUGUACAACAGCUUUAGCUCCAUGCAGUUCCAGCUUCCUCUUCUUCCUCUAGUUCUUCAUCAUCAUCACCUUUACCUCCAAAUCCAUAUUUCCCUGAUCCUUAUCACAAUAUGUCCCAUAAUUCCCAACACUCUUCUUCUUCUACAUCUAUUGUGCCUAUUCCACAGCCUUCUGUCCCUGCUCACGUACCACUGCCAACUCAUCCAAUGGUUACAAGAGCAAAAGCAGGAAUAUUUAAGCCAAAGUUUCUUGCAUAUUCUUCUGUUCUUGAAGAACAUGAACCUGCUACAAUUUCUCAAGCUCUCUCCAAUCCUAAAUGGAAAGCAGCAAUGCAGGCUGAGUAUGAUGCACUCAUGAAAAAUGAAACUUGGGUUCUUGUUCCAGCCUCUCAAGCUACUAAAGUUGUUGGUUGUAAAUGGGUGUUUCGCAUUAAGUAUAAUGCAGAUGGCUCUAUCUCUGAGUAUAAAGCUCGUUUGGUUGCAAAUGGGUUUCAUCAAACCCCUGGUAUUGAUUACUUUGAGAAUUUUAGUCUAGUGGUUAAGCAAUCUACUAUGAGAAUUGUACUUAGUCUUGCUGUUAUGAAGAGCUGGAAAAUAAGGCAGAUAGACAUCAACAAUGCUUUCCUUAAUGGGCAGCUCAAUGAAGAUGUUUACAUGUUUCAACCUGAGGGAUUUGUCUAGCCUUCAUCUGGUCAUGUUUGUAAAUUGCUUAAGGCUCUUUAUGGUCUAAAACAGGCUCCUAGAGCCUGGUUUGAUCGGUUAAGGAAAGCAUUGUUGAAGUGGGGGUUUCAGAACUCAAGAACAGAUUCAUCUUUAUUCUUUAAACAUGAACUUGGAGGUAUUGUAGUUGUGUUGGUAUAUGUGGAUGAAAUUCUUAUUACUGUAGAUAAUAAUACAGUGAUUGAAAGGUUCAUCAAAUAUCUUGGAGAUACUUUUGCUUUAAAAGACCUUGGUGAAUUCAAUUACUUCCUUGGUAUUGAAGUUACUCAAGGUACAAAGGACAACUUACAUCUCUCACAGGCCAAAUAUGUAAGAGAUUUGCUCACAAAAACUGCAGAGAAAGUGGUACUCCAAUGAGUACAGGACAGAAACUAAGAAGAGCAAGAAAUGAAGAUAAUUUGAUUGUUAAUGUUACUGAAUAUAAAAGCAUAAUAGGUGCAUUGUAGUAUUUGGUACUCACAAGGCCAGAACUUGCUUUCUCAGUAAACAAGUUGAGUCAAUUUCUUGCUGCAUCUACAGAGAAGUACUGGACUGCUUGUAAGAGAAUUCUAAGAUACUUAAAGGCAACUGAGGAUUAUGGCUUGCUAUUUAAACCAGGUGGUGGUGUUGUCUUAACUGCAUAUACUGAUGCAGAUUGGGCAUGUGAUGUUGAUGACAGGAAAUCAGUUGAAGCAUAUUGUGUUUAUCUUGGGCAAAAUCUUAUUUCAUGGUCUUCUGAGAAGCAACAAACAAUAGCUAGAUCUAGCACAUAAUCAAAAUAUAGAGCAUUAUCAACAUCAUGUGCAGAAAUCGUUUGGGUUCAGGCUUUGCUUGGUGAACUUAAUAUAAUCAAACACCAAUAAUCUGGUGUGACAACAAUGGUACUGCUGCAUUGACAACAAAUCCAGUAUAUCAUGCUAAAACCAAGCACAUAGAAUUAUAUGUACAUUUCAUAAGAGAGAAUGUGACAAAUAAACAAGUGGAAAUCAAGUAUGUGCCUAGUGAAUGGAAUAUUGCAGAUGUGCUUACAAAGCCUAUGGCUUACUGCUUUUUUAAUUACUGUAGGACAAGCUUAAUGUUGUUUCAUGACCGUUAAGCUUGAGGAGGAGUGUUAAGAUGCUUAAUCAACAGCAGUAGACCAGUGGCUGAGAUUUGUGCGACAAGGAUUGCUGAGCUGGACAAAUUAGUUAAGUUGUUGUAAUUAGUUUUAGUUUAGCCAAUAGAUGUAUUACAAUUGUACAAAAGGUUGUUAUUACUGUUGAUCAACAAUAUAAGUUUGCUACGAGCUAAAUGUAAUUCAUAUAAUUCAUAUCAAUAAAAUUUUCUCCGAUUUAGUUACUUUUCUUUCUUCUUUCUGUCACUUUCCUGCUAGCCAAACAAACUAUCAACCUAAGAUCCGUGAGUUCUAACUUUUACAAAUGUAAUAAUUACCAUGAAUUUGCAAAAACUUGCAGCAAAUAUUUGUGUCCCAAUAGGUUUACAAUUGCAACACAUAUCGAAAAACUGUAAUAGUACCCUUGAUUAUAAUUACUUGACCAUAGUCAGUGGCGAACUAUGUAUACGCCUGGCAGCCGAGGUGUCAGGAAUUUAAUUUAACAGGGGUGCCUAAGUUCAAACACUAACAUAAUUAAAAAAAUGGUCAAUAAAUAACAAAUAUUAAAAUAUUUAGGGCUAGUUUGGCAAUCUUAUAACUUUUAAAAUAAUUGUUGUUACUUGCGCUGUAAAAAUAAUAAGUUGUGAAUGGAAUUAGUUAAACGUUUGACAAAAUUUCUUCUUAAAAGUGCUUUUGUAAAUCUCAUUGUUGAACUAUUAUAAGAGUUUAAAUGAUUAAAAUGGACAUAAUAUUAAAUAAAAUAUAUUAUAUAGAUAUAAAUACAUACAUAUAAUAUUUUUUAUUAUGUCUAUUAGUAAUUGAAAACUAAAAUAAUUAUCUUUGUUUUAUUAAUUAUUUUUUAUCUCAAUAUAAUUAGUAAUAAUAAUAAUCUCUAGAUUUAAUAAUUUUAUUUCCUAAUUGAAUAAGGAUAAUUUUAGAUUUUUAUAAUAUAUGUAAGGAUAUAUAUGGAAUUUUAUUAAUUAGAAAACUUAUCCUGAAAAUUAGAUUUUGAAAGCCUACUUCUUUUUUGCUUUCCAAAAUAUGCUGUUAAUAAGAUAGAGUGAUUUUACCGAAAGUGAUUUAAAAAAAAAAAAUCUACCAAACAGUAAAAUUAAAGUUUAGCUUUUAAAAUCACUUUUAAGUCUCUCAAAAGGAAUCCCAAAUAGGCCAUUAAUUCAAUACAAUUAUAAUUGUUCUCAUGUAUUUUCAUAUGUUAAAAAUAUUGAAGAAUAACCUCAUUAUCAUUACUACAAACAUAUUUUUUUCUACGUAUACAAUAAAACUAUCAUUCAACAAUUGGUUUCCCAUAUGAUUUUGUGGAAGAUUUUUCAGAAAAUUCAUAGCUGAAAAUACCCUUUCUAAUUUAGUUGUGUUGCCUGAUAAAAUCAUUGCUAAUGUUACCAACAUAUAAAUUAAUGAAUACAACUAUCCAUUAUCUCAACCAUUUUUCUUGCUAACUCACCAGUCUCUUUUAAUCUUAAAAAUGUUGUCAAAACCCACAUUCAUAAUAUAAUCAUCAAGUUGAAUUUCAAGUGCCAUAAUGCAACAAUCUUUCUUUAUGGGUUCAAAGUGUUAAAAAGAAUAUUUAAUAUUUUACUUGUUUUUAAAUUUUAACAAGGGCAUUAUGGUAAAUCAAAUAAAAUAGGACAAAUAUUAAAAAAAUUAAAAAAUUGAAAAAGGGUUUUAGCCCCUGCUAAAAUGGCACCGCAUCUAAAGCCUAGGGUGCCUUGAGGCAACAUACCAAUAAUAAUAAUAAAGAAAGAAAUCAAGAAAAAAGACACAUAAUAAUAAGUAGUAACAUUAGCAAUGUUAUUUGUAUUUUAUGUUUUGACCCCUAUAAUUUUACAAGUUGAUUUUAUGUUACCGCCUACUGAAAUUUAUGGUUUUGGUCAUUGUGUUUGGCCCUCUCAAUUUUAGUGAUUCUAUACUGUAUGAAAUGUAAGUUAUGCAACCCAAGAGGGGGGUGAAUUGAGAUUUUAAAACUUACGCUAAAUAAUUCGCACAACAAUUUAAUGUAUUGCCUUAAUCAAAUGCAAAAACAAUAAAUUCAGUAAAGCACAAUACUAAAAGAGUAAGUACAAUAAUAAAAGAGUAAGGGAAAAGAAAGCAAACACAAAAAUUUUUACGUGGUUCGGCAAUCCCCGCUUACGUCCACGCCUCCAAGCCAACCAAACUCGAGGAUUUCACUAUCAAAGCCUCCCAAAUCCUUAAGUUCUUACAAUUAACUUCCAAUGUGUCAAUGAACCUUUACAAUCAAGAGAUUAUCUCCCCAAUCUAUUCACCCUAAGUGUUUCUCACACUUGUACACUUACAAUUUGAUGAGAAAUGAACAAUUACAACAAAAACUCUCUUUAAGAGUGGAUUUGCAAAUAAUAGCAUAAUAAUGAUUCAAUAAAUGAUGGUUUACGAAAUAGAACCUCAAUAUGUGUUAUAUGAUCUUAUUUAUGCUUACAUUAGUCUUGAAAAUGAAGAUGGAGUUAAGGUUUUAUAACUAAAGCUCGAAAACUAACCGUUAUAGGCAAAUUCCAGCGCUCAAGCGGUUAGCCGCUUGAUUUAUCCAACUAGCCGCUCCAGAACAAUGAUGUUACCAUUAAAUUUGAAUUUUACUACAGUAUCAUUGUUCAUUAAAUUACAUUUGUGACCAAAACUUUCUAUAAUUAUAUUAUAGCCUAACAUGUCAUAAAACUUUGCAAAUAAGUCUAAUUUCAGAAUUUCUAAAUAAUACAUGUCAUUCCUAAAUCUUAUUGUAAUUAUGAUAUGACCUAGUAUAUAAUAACAUUUUUAAAAAAGGUCCUUUUCAAAAUUUAAAAUAAUACCCAUAAAUUUUAAAGUUCUCAAAUCUUUUCAAUUUAGUCCAAAAUUUGAAAAUAUGAGACUUUCCUCAAGCGGUUGGCCGCUCACUCUCUGUCCAAUUUUUUAUUUCAAUUGUUUGGAUUACGUUUUGGUCCUCAAACUUUCUUAAAUUGUAAUAUGACCCAAAAUAUUUCAAAUAUUUACAAAUAAAUCUAAAUUCGAAAUUCAAAACAAUACUUAAUAAAAUAAAAGAUUGCAAAACUUUUUCAUUUUAGUCCAAAUUACUCAAAUCCACAAAAUACUUUAUCUUAUAAAUAUAAAACCUUUUAGUUUAUGAAAGGUAAUUAUUUAAAUAAACUCUUGAGUUUCUCAAAUGCUAAAUCAUAUAUCAAUUAAAUCAUACCGAUUUUACAAGAAUUUGUCACAAUAAUUUGUCCGUUGAGCUCUAAACUUUAUUCUUGAUUUUGCCGUUGUCCGUUGAGUGUCUUGAACUUGAUUCACUUGCAUAAAUAUUAUCCUUAAAAAACUAGUAAAAAUGUGAAAUACAAUAUUUAUUAAAUCACUUAACACAUGUUUGUUAUUAUCAAAAUUACAUUAUGGGUAGCCCUUUAGGCUAACACUGUAGCCUACUCAAGUAUAUAGUUUCUUCAUUAGGCCCCAAAACCAAAAUCCUAAGAGUAUCUCCAAAAAGUUCUAUUAAUUUUACUCUUCAAAUAUUUAUUUGCUUACCUAUGUGGUAAAAAGGAGAGUGAAAAAAUAUGUUAUUCUCCAAAAGACUCUUUAAAUAGAAAUAAGUUAAUAUUAUUUUAAUCAAAUAAAUAUUUUUUCAAAGGAAAAAUAAAUGGUAAUUAAAGCAUUUCUCUCUCUCUCUCUCCCCAAUAAAAAGUAAUAAAAUAUAAAUUGAAGAGAGAGAAAGUAACUCUACAAAUUAAAGAGAGAGAAUUAUUUCUUAUUUGAAAAAUCUUAAUUAGAGUAUCUUUUGAAGUCUUAAAUACUGAUGUAACUCUUCAAAUAAGUAAUAAAAUCUUAUUUGAAGAUUUUUUUGGAGAUGCUCUAACUUCACCACUAGAUUUACUUGAGUAUUCAACAAUACUCGACUUACUUGAGCGUAGGUGAUUUAGUUAUACUUAAUUGACUACUAAAACAAUUUAUUCGACUUACUCGACGAUACUUUACUUAGCUCACUCCAUGUACUAAUAUUUUACUAUUUUUCUAAGUGGUACAUUUAAUUACAAAAAUCCAUGAAAAUUUGAUAAUGAUGAAAUGCUUAAUAAAUAAGGGUAUUUGGUCGAAUUAUAACAAUGUUUGUUAAACACUGGUCUAAUAAUAAGUAGUCAUUUUCUGAUGAAAUAAAAUUAAAGCUGACAAAAUUUAACAUUACUGGUUUACUCUAUACAAAUACAACAUGAAUAAAUAUGUAUCUAUCAUGAAAAUUGACAUGAUUAUUAAAUGAAUUUGGUCUAAGUCAACCCAAUUGUUUCCCGUGUCAGGCUAGAAUUCAAUUUUUCAAUGCAUUUACUUGGUCAAUGACGUGAUUGUUAAAUAGUUAACCAAAACUAAUUCAUAUUUGCAUUAAAAUAUACUUAUAUUUUCAAUUCUAAAUUAAUUUAUAGAAUCUUAUCAUUAAAACUCAAAAUUUGGUCAUGAUUCUAGAUGAACAUAUAUUUGAUGUUCUAUUUUGUAAAAUUCUUGAUAGAUUUAAAACUUCAAUGGUUCAUACAUGUUGUAUUUGCAUCAAAUGAGUGUGUAGUAUUUGAUGUAAAUCGUGUUAGAAUUUAAAUAGGUAUUCAGUGAAUUUUUAGGUUAUAUCAUGUUAGAUGACACAACUACCUAGUUAUUAAAAGAGCGUAUCAAGUCACUAUUUUAUUUUUCGUAUCGAGUUCAAGUUUUAAUAUUUUAACAUUUUAUUUUUCGUAUCAAGUUCAAGUUUUAAUAUUUUAACACGACUAUUAAAUAAGUCGUGUUUUAACCAACAUAAAUUUAACACAAAAUUGACACAAUAUGAGUGGCUUAAUGACCUAUUUUGUUAGUUUUAUUUAAAACCCUCUAAUCUAUAAAUAAAAAAUAAAAAACGGUCCAUGGGCCUAGCCCAAAUAUAAAUUCAACAAAACCAGCUCCCGCUCAAUCACACUCUCUCGGUCGUUCCCUUCACUCUCCAAAACCCCCCAUUCCAAACAAAACCCUCAUUUUUCCCUCUUAACGAAGUCACUUUCUCGAGAACCAAACAUUCCCUUAGAUCUCCAAUUUCAUAAUGAGAGAAGAAGAAAUAGAGAAACUUCGAGGAUUGGUUCGCGACUGUGUGAGUAAGCAUUUGUACUCGUCGGCCAUUUUCUUCGCCGAUAAAAUCGCCGCUUUGACCAAUGACCCUACUGGCGUGUACAUGCAGGCUCAGGCUCUGUUCCUUGGCCGCCACUACCGCCGUCCAUUUCACCUCCUUAACGCCUCAAAAAUUGUGCUCCGUGACCUCCGAUUUCGUUACUUGGCUGGUAAGUGUCAGGUAAAGUUCUGUUUUUUGAUUGCAUUAGAAAAUUUGACUUUCAGAUUUUGGGAUUUGUGCUUUUUGCGUUUUUAGUUUUUUUUUAAUGUUAUGAAAAAGGGAAAUUUUGAAAAUUUUUACUUGAAAUUCGUGUUCUUUUUAUUUUAGAACAAAAGAAUUUCAAUGAAAAAUAUUUGGAAAUUGAAUUGCUCUAGCAAAUUUGCAUGUGUUGUGUGUUUUAAGAAAAUGAAAACUAGAUUUUGAGCAAUUAAGGAGAAAUUAUCGACUUUGAGCUGAAUGAUUUUGAUCAAUUUUUUCUUGAAUGUUUAUUUGUUUAUACAACUGGGUAGUUUUUCUUUUACUUAUUUAUUUCUGGUCUGUCCUUUGUAUAAUUAGGAGGAACUGAAGGAGUGGGACUAGUGUUUGUCGAUGCUCGGUGAUGCUAAGGUUGAUGAAGAUGGUAAUGUUUAUGACACAAAGGAUAUCAAUGUCAUGUACUUAGAUAAAGAUGGGGAAGACGGAGAAAUCAAUGUAAGUUUUUGUUUGUAAUCUCAUUUUAUCUGGCCUUUUAUUUUUUAAUUUGUUGCACAUUUGUUGUAUACUUGACCCAAUAUUUCUUUUUUCUAUUACAGAUCUCUUCAGCUAUAUGCUUUUUGAGAGGCAAAGCAUAUGAAGCCUUGGGAAAUUGUGCCCAAGCUCGGCUGUGGUUAGUUUCUUGCGAUGAAUUUACAUGAAAAUCACUCUGCUUAAUUGUAAAAUGCUUUAUGGUUAUUUUCCCUUAGUUUUUCAGUCAAAAUGAUACCAACUUAUACUGUCUAACGGUCUUCUGUUAUAGUAACUUAGGUGUAGUAAUUUAACGUACUGUUAAAGAAAGGAAAUGACUUUAUUGUUUUAAUGGGAGAAUUUUGAACAUUGUUAUAAACUUGUUUAAGUUGGGCAUAAGUAAAUUUAUCUUCAAUUUCAUUACUGAGCAGAUUUUGUUUGAAUGCAUGAAUGUUUGAUAUAUGUGUUUAAUAACCAAGGAGUUUGUUUAGAUACUACUUUAAGAAUUAUCUAUAUAUAGAUUGGGUAGUCUAGAAAACUCUCCUUGAUUAAAUCAAUGUAUAAUUUUGAUAAGACAGUUUAAAAUGUUAACAUCCCAUGUCUUCUGGAGUCCAUUUGGUGACAGAGGAAUGGUAGUAUAUGCUGGGAUGGUUUAGUUCAAUAAGGCUAUUAGUUCUGUUCUGCUUUUUCAAAGAGGUUGAUUGCCAAAUUAACAGCCACAUGAAGGAGAUUGUCUUUUUUUUUUUUUUGUAUCCUGAAUUGUUUUUGCUUCCAACCACAAUUCUGGUCUUCUAUUGGUUCACACUUCCUACUUGUAUCUCGAUGAUUUUAGCUGCAAUACCUCAUUACUAAAUUCAGCUCUAACAACAGAGGAACUUAUUUGCUUCCUCUUUAUCUUGUUCCAUUACUAACUUUCAUGUGCAGCAUUUUUAGAAGGUUAAAACUAAUAGUACAGAAAGGUGGUUUUAAAUCAAAUGUAACAAGAUUCAAUUGACAGAUCAGCUAUGCUUCACUCCAUGUGGUUACCUACACACCUGGAUAUUUGUUUUAGAGUUGUAUGCUGUCUGAAUUAGUGGCCUCAUUUUGUUAUCUGAUUGAAAGCUUGCAUGUAUUUCAGUAAGUUAGGUUCUUCCCUCAACUCUUUUUCUUUAGUAACUAUUAUGGUAUUGUUUUAUAACCUUAAUUAGCUUCUCUUUGGUUUUUCAUUUGUCAGUAUAUCUGCUCUAUUCUGUUCAAUUCCUUUUUCUCUAUUCUCUCAGUUAUGUUGAACUAAAACGCUAUAGUUCAUACAAAGGCUUACUAUAUUUUUUCAUAAUGAUUUAAGGUACAAAGCAGCAAUCAUAGCUGAUCCUUUGUGCUAUGAGGUAUGCAUGACACGCUAUCAAUGUUUUUUUUUUCCUUUCCCCCUAGGGAUAAGCUGGUGGGGGGAGCGUCCCGUUCUCAAAAACUCCUUACCUUGAAUUUUGUGGCUGCAUAAAUUUCAGACAUGACUUUCUAUGCAAAAUAUUACAACCUGUGGAAACUGUUGCCUUCUCAAGGAUUAGAAAAUUACUCAAAAGAGGGCUAGAUUUUUUGAGCUAGGCUUGUCCCUUUUUUUUUUUUGUAAAUAGAAUUUUAAUCCUUUUCUUUAAUUUGACCUCUGCUGAUCACAUAGAUGUCUCAUUUGGAUGUUCCUUAUAAGAUAUAUCGAUUCUCAUUCUUUAUGAUUUUUUUUAUGGCUGUACCUUGAUUUCUUUUUCAGGCUUUGGAAUGCCUUAUAGAAAAUCACAUGCUAACAUGCGAGCAAGGUAAUGAUGUAGUUUUUUCCUAGUCAUCUGUUUCUUUCAUCUGAGAGAAGUGGAUUAUGAAAAUGUUUACAUUUUGAAUUAUAGUUCUUACAUAAGUGUGCACGCGCACACACACACACACACACAUAAAUGAAAUUAUAGUCACACACAAACAUGUUGAUAUAAAUUUAAUUUUGGUAAAAAUUUCUUUGGCUGUGUUCAACUAGCAUUGGAUUUUUCAUGGAACAUGUUAUAAUAGGCUAAUACUUUAAAUUAUUGGAUUUGCUGUUGAAUUUCAGAAACAAGUUUACUUUCAUCAUUGGAAUUUGGUUUUGAAGAUGGAUGGCUUUGUUCAUUCUACUCAUGUUUGAUAAAAAAGGUGAACUGUGUGCAAAUUCAUAUGCUCUUCCAAAUGUAACCAUUUCAAUAAUAAGUUUCCCAUAUGUUUUCGUGAUGUUGAUUCUUUUUGCUGUGUUCGAGUGCAGUGAACAAUUUCUUUCCUUCUUUCCUGUCUCCCUUUGUUUUAUGCAGUAUGACAAAGAGAAUGUUGUAGAAGCCAAAUUCAGAGAAAUUGAAAAAGAAAGAUGUGACAGUGUCCAUUCGAGCCCAUCCUUCUCACACAGUCUGAAAAACAAUACUGAUCUUUUAGAGGGCUUAUUAUUCUGUCAACCAGCGAUACUAGAUUUCAGAAAUAUUCUCUUCACACAGUGUUCUUGGCUCUGUAAUUGUCAAAAAGUUGAAAAGCCUUUUUUCUGUCUGAUGCAUUGUAUAUAUGCAGUUUAAUAUUUGUGGACUUCAAUAAUAUUGAUUACCUUGAUUAUAAUAUUUUCAAUUGUAUGGUUUUUGGGUUAGGGAAGAUUUUUGUCUUUUUCUUUUUUUGGCUUGAUUCUUCUUCUUUAUUAUUAUUAUUGUUACUAUUUCCCUUUCACAAGGAAAAAAUUGGAACUUGCUCCACCUCGCAAAAGUUUUAGAGCGCAUUUAAUUCUCGAAUUGGAGAAUUGGAAUGGAGAAUGGGAAUGAUUGAUUGUGUUUACUUGCUAAAAACAUGAAGAAAUGAGGAUUGAUUUUGGGUGGAGCCCACAAGUUUGGAAAUGAGGUACUGGAAUCCCAUUGCCAUGAGAGAGGUGGGAAUGAAAAUGGGAAAAUUAACACUUUUAUUCUUAAAGAAAAUUAAAUAUUUUUUUUAUCUUAUAUAAAUAAAUAAUUAAUAAUAAUAGUAGUAGUAGUAGUAAUAGUUAUAAUAAUAAUAAAAAAAAUUUAAUGAUAACAUUAGUAGUAGUAAUAAUAAUAAUAAUAAUAAAUAUUUCUUUUUUACCUUAUGUAAAUAAAUAACUAAUAAUAAUAGUAAUAGUAGUAAUAAUAAUAAUAACAAAAUUUAAUGAUAACAAUAGUAGUAGUAUUAAUAAUAAUAAUAAUAAUAAUAAUGAAAAUUAUAGUAUUACGCUCAAUAUUAUAAUAAACAUGUAUAUAUUUAUUUAUUUUGUUAGUGAAAUAUAUAUAAUUUUAACUAAGGGCAUCAUGAUAACUUUCAAUAAUCUAAUCUGACUACGAAAUAAAAUAAAUGCAUAAAUGAAAUUCAGUUAAUUCGAUAGUAAACAAUUUAUUAUGAUUCUCAUUUCUUAUUUUGGUUCCAAAUUCCAUCCCAUUUCAACUCCUGCUCAUUUUGAUUCAUGGGAAGUAAACGCAUUGUUUUUUUUUUUUGAAGAAAGGAAGAAAUUCAUUAAACAGACAAAUGAGAAAAUAACCAGGGUGGUGGAACAUGUCUCCAUUCACCCGGACCUGACAAAGAACACCCCACCUUAGCCACAAUAUGGGCAGCGGUAUUCAUAGAUCUCCUUACAAAAGAGAAAGUCACCUCUUUUAAGCUAUGAGCCAAGGCUCUACAAUCCGAAAUAAUAAGGCCAAAUCCAUUCUGAUAGUCCUUGGAAUCAAUCAACACAUUAAACACUUGUAAACAAUCAGUCUCAAUAAUAAUAGGAAAAAACUGGGUGUUCUUAAGCCAACUCAAGACCUCCCGCACACCCAAAGCCUCUGCCUCACGGGCUGCAAAAUUGCCAACCAAAGAUCCACAUUUUGCAGCAAGAAAUUGACCCUCAGAAGACCGGAUAACUGUGCCGUAGCUAAUCCUAGUAGUAGCACGGGAAGUGGCAGCGUCCACAUUGCAUUUAAACCAUCCAACGCGAGGGCGUUUCCAACAAAAAGAGCCAAGAGUUAAAUCUGCUGGCAUCUGAGUAAAGUGACUCAGUUGACGAGCCCUUUGCCACUGGAACAAGUCUUGACCAGCUUUAUUGAGCACUUGAGGCACUCUGCCUACUACAUGCCUCCAAACUUUAGUAUUCCGAUUUUGCCAAAGACCCCAACAAACCAUUGCAGCAAGACAACUAUCCUCAAUACUACACCGAGUAAAUAGAGCAUCCAACCAAGCUCCAAAAGUAACAAAAUUUCCAGCAAAACCAACCAAAGAAACCAUCCAGCAUUGUUUGGCAAAAGGACAAUCAACUAAGACAUGAUAAAUUGUCUCAAGAGAUGCAUUACAGAUAGAACAAUAAGGGUGUACCUCAACUCGACGACUGAGAAGGUUAUCAGCAGUGGGAACCACAUUUGCCACAGCUCUCCAAAGAAAAUUCUUGAUUUUGGCGGGCACAGCCAGCUUCCAAAUCUUAUUCCAAACUCCACUGUCAGGCGGUUCCGAUAUAAUAUCCAUCCACUUAUAACAACUCCGAACAGUGUAAACUCCUUUGCGUCGGGGAACCAAUACCAAGUAUCACAAUCCCUCCGAGAGCUAAGAGGAAUUUGGAGAAUGCAGUCUCGAUCUCUUCUAUUACACACAUCCUUUACAAGGUCAUAAUCCCACAUUCGGUGAUCAGGAAUCAUAAGACUACUCACAGGAGCUGAUGCUAACGUCGCUGGAAGAUUAGUUGUAAUAAAGCCACUCUCCUGAUCAGGCAACCAAGGAACCGAGCCAAUAGUAAUGCUCUGUCCACUUCCAACUUGGACACGACUCCCUUGGAUUAAAAUCUUCUGAGCAGCCAAAAUCGAUCUCCAUACAAAACUCGGAUUACUUCCCAUCUUUGCUUGAGUGAAGUCUGCAUUAGGAUAAUACCGUGCUUUAAACAAUCUGCCCACCAGCGAAGAUGGAUUUGUAAUUAACCUCCAACCUUGUCUCCCUAGCAUAGCAACAUUAAAGUUGUGGAUGUGUUUAAAUCCAAUACCACCAUAAGAUUUGGGCUUACAAAGUCUGCCCCACUGCAUCCACCUAAUUCCACCACUACCAUAUCUUUUACUGCCCCACCAAAAAGAAUUCAGCAUCCUUUCAAGUUCCCGGCAUAGGUCGAGAGGGAGGAGGUAAACUUGCAUAGCAUAAUUAGGUAUGGCAUGUGCCACAGUUUUAAUUAAGAUUUCCUUUCCAGCUCUAGAGAGGAGUUUCUGACCACCCUUGAAUUCUCUGCCAAACUUUAUCCUUUAUAUAUCGGAAAAUGUCUAUCUUCUUGCGCCCAACAUAAGAUGGUAAUCCAAGAUAGGUACCAUGGUCUGUAGUAGCUACAACUCCAAGCUGUUGACAUAUAUUAUGAACAGUAUCGUCUGCCACAUUCCUACUGAAAGAAAUUAAGGAUUUAUUGUAGUUCACUUGCUGCCCCGAAGCUGCUUCAUAAGUUGCCAAAACCUUUUUUACCAGAUGAGCCUCCUGGACAGUAGCUUUAAAGAAAAGAAAACAGUCAUUAGCAAAAAAGAGGUGAGAAACCAAAGGAGCACCUCUAGCAACUCGAGCCCCAUGGAUCAUCCCGGCCCUCUCAUAGUGAUUUAUCAGCAAACUCAGCCCCUCUGCACAGAUGAUAAACAGAUAUGGCUAUAGCAGAUCUCCUUGUCUAAGACCUCGACUUGGCACGAUAGGGCCUAGCUCCAACUCUCCCCGGGUAAUCUUAUAGGUAACUGUAGUGACACAGAGCAUAAUAAGAUUCACCCAAACAACAUCAAAGCCCAACUUCAGUAAAAUCGAUUUAAAAAACCCCCACUCAAUCCGAUCAUAAGCCUUGGACAUGUCAAUCUUUAAUGCAGCAAUCCCCUCUUUUCCUUGACGUUUCCGUUUGAGAAAGUGCAUUAUCUCAGCCGAGAUUAAAACAUUAUCAGCAAUAGCUCUGCCUGGAACAAAAGCACUCUGUGAAUCGGAAAUUAUCGAUCCUAAAACCAUCUUCAUACGGUUAGCAAGCAUCUUGGCUACAAUUUUAUAGAGGACAUUGCAUAAGGAAAUUGGUCGAACAUCAGUUAAAAAUUCUAUCUGUUUCUUCUUAGGAAUAAAGACAAUAGAAGUCUCAUUAAGACCCUCAGGGAAAGAACAAUCCCGAAUGAACCUAAGACACGCCUCAGUAAUAUCAGUACCCACUACAUUCCAAAACUUUUGGUAAAAUGUUGGGUUCAUUCCAUCAGGACCAGGGGAUUUAUCAGGGUGCAUAUCAAACACGGCAGAUUGAACAUCUUCAGCAGUAAAAGGUUCCAAAAGAGAUUGAUUUUGUGCAUCAGUAAUUUUAGAUUCCACACAAUUAAGCACAUCAUCAUAGGAACAAAUCCUAGCAGUAAAUAAAGUUGUGAAAUACUCACAAAUUAAAUUAUUUACAUCCGCAGGAUUAGUACACCAUUGCCCCUCUUGAUUGCGAAGCUUGAUUAAGGUAUUCUUACGCUUCCUUGACGAGGCCAUGGCAUGGAAAUACUUUGAAUUUGAAUCCCCAUCUCGAAGCCAAAACGUCUUCGAACGCUGCUUCCAAUAAACUUCGUGGCUAUGCAAGAGCUCAUUGUAUCUAUCUCGAGCUUCAAUAAAAUCAGCCAAGCUAACUGCAUCACGCUUGCCCCUAAGCUGAUGCAUUUUAUCCUUACACUCCUUAAUUUGAGCUUUGAAAUCCCGAGUACGAUGAUAGCCCCACCGAACUAAAUCUAAGCUGCAAGCCGAGAUUUUACUGAGAAUAGGAAGCCCACCCACCAUAGACCAACUCUUCUCAACAAUAUUAGCACAAUCCGGAUCUCUAAGCCAUGAGUUCUCAAAACGAAACUUCAUAGACCGUCGUCUAAAACCACAGGAGACACAUCCAAAAAGAUAGGGAGGUGAUCUGAACUCGAAGCUUCAAGACACAGAACCUUCACUUGCGGGAAAAGAUUCACCCAAGCGGAAUUUGCAAGGGCUCGAUCUAACUGUUCUUCAACCCAAGCUUCAGUGCCCCGUGACCUUUCCCACGUGAACUGGUAACCAUCCAUACCCAAAUCAAUGAGGCCCGAAUCAGAAAGUGCAGCCCUGAAACCAUUUAUCUUCCACUGCGGGUGAGCAUGAGAGCCGCGCUUCUCUGAGAAAUUGAGGAGGUCAUUGAAGUCCCCUAGACAGACCCAUGGUAACGACGAAGUAGAAGCUAAAUACCGGAGAAGAUUCCAAGAAUCAUGUCUGCGAAAUGACUCGGGAAACCCUUAGAAACCAGUAAGUCUCCAGUUGCCCCUUUCACUAUCCUCAACUGCAAAGUCUAUAAAAUUACACCCAAACUUCAAUAAAUUAACUUUAAAACUAUUUUUCCAGAACAUAGCAAGCCCACCACUACGGCCCUUUCUAUCCACCACAAACAGACCCUCAAAACCUAAUCUAAUUUUGAUGCUUUCUAACUUAUCUCUGUAACACAAUGUCUCAAUCAAGAAAAUAAAAUCCGGUCUUUUAUUCUGGACCAACUCAACAAGAGCUUGAACUGACCGUGGUUGGCCCAACCUACGACAGUUCCAACUUAAACAACUCAUUGGUGUCGGUGGGCCUAGAAUACAGGGCCCACCGCUGGUCCAUUUUUUGAGUGCUCACUCAUCUCUAUUAUCUCAGUAUCAGCAUGCUCUUCUAAAUUCAAGUUGAUAGGAGGCCCACCUCCUGAUCUUCUCCGUUUUGCAUCAACUAAAAUUAAUGCAGAAUUAUACUCCACAUCAGUUUCCUUCACAAGCAUCGAAUGAUUAGCUAUUAGUUCCUCGUCAAUUCCAUCUACACGCAUUGACUUACAGCCUGUUACAAGAAUAUUAGAAUUCAUUGUGACUUGAGCACUUUCCUUCCCAAGGUCUCCGUGACCAGCUGUCCCAUGAUUCACGCCAUUUUCCAAGUCAACUGCCAUUUCAACAGCGUAAGUUGAGGGAUUACCAAAUUUCACCUCAUCUAUCUCUAACACUCCCGAUCUGAGCCAACGGUCACCGGUGUUCAUCGAGCUUCUCCGAUUGGGAGCCUUCAUCCAAGGGCCAUAAGGUUUAAUAACAGGGGUAGCAUCAGUUUCAUAUAUUGAGGGGCAAUUUUUAUCAGUGUGUCCUAAAAUGCCACAGAUAAAACAAAAAUUGUGCAGUCGCUCAUACUUGAAGUCUACCUAUAACCACUCCCCACCCGCUCUUUUGAGGCGCAUUCGUCGUUUAAGGGGUUUCCUAACAUCAAUCGAAACCCUCAGCCUCAUGUAAUUACGCCAUACUCCUGUAAGAUUAUGUUCAUCAGAUGCCAAAAAUUCACCAAUAAAGUUGCCAAUACUCUGUAAUAUUUUCUCGGACUGAAAUCCAAGAGGCAGAUUAUACACUUGAACCCAGAAAUAUGUGUGGAAAAGAGGGAUAUUCUGCGGUUGUUCGUCUACCCCAAGUCUCCGAAUUAUAAGAAUAUGCUGAUCAAAGGUCCAGGGACCAGAUUCAAGAACCCUCCUCAUAUCAAUUUCAUGAAAGAACUGGAAGAGAAAAAGCGUGGGAGAUAAAUCCUUAAUACAAACACCACGCCCAGGACGCCAUAACGAAGCCAUAGUAUUUUUCAUGGCAAUAAAGUUCACUACUUUGUCCGUGAGAAAUCUUCCCACAAGGCAGAAUUUGGAAUCAAGACGGAUAUCCCCAGGAUUAUCAAUCUCCUCUCCAGCCACAAUCAAACCACCCUCCUCCUCCUCGUCAAGUUGCAGGCGCGCACAGAUGUUGCUCAUCUCAGAUUUCAAAGUAUUACUUGUGUUGGCCAUGGAUUAAAGAAAGAAAAGGAUUGAAUCCGUAGACAGUAGAGAAAUAACAAAAGGAGACCAGAAUUUACUUGUCAAAAGACAAGACACACACACUUGUCAAAAGACAAGACUCAUUUUUUAACAAUACUCAAAACAAGUAAACGCAUUGUUAAUUUGUCGCUGUUGUUAAAUAUAUCCUUUAUGGAUUUCAUAUGAGGUUUGAAAUGUUAUUUAGUGAAAUUUAAUUUCUUGUUGGCUCUAUUCACCACAGCAAGGCUACAAAUCUUGAUGGGACAUUCGCCCCCGCUUGGAUAGGUUAUGGAAAUGCUUUUGCUGCUCAAGAAGAGGGUGACCAAGCAAUGUUGGGUUAUCGCACUGCUGCUUGUUUGUUUCCAGGGUAAUUUUUAGCAUUAUUUAUUCAUUUCUAUACCUUCCUGAUUUUCUUUUCCUUGGAUCAGCAUAUUCAUGCAAUGAGGACAAGGACAAAGCCACUAACUUGCUUUUGAGCAAGUUUCAGAACACUUUUAGAAUUUCAUUUUUGGCUUUUUUUUUUUACUUUCUUGGUCUCUGAAAGAUAUCUUAAGGGUAGGGUUUGGUUGAUUUUGCUCAUCUUGAUAUUAUUCAAUUCUUGUUUAAUUUGAAGAACAGUGUGCUUUAGGUGUAUAAUCAUGUGGGUAAAAAAUUUUUUUGGUCCCUCAAGUUUCUAUUAGGUUUCAUGUAAUCCAUGAAAUUUCUGUUGCUUCAGCUUAAUCUGUUUCAAGUGCGCUACCACUAAAAAAAUUGGGUUUCAUGGGUUAUCAACCAAGAUUUUUUUUUCUCCUUUGAUUUAAUAUUAAUAAACUGUUUUACCAAUAUAAACUUUUGAUGAAUGCUUUGCAUUUGAUUUCCAUAUUUCUUCCUGAGAAAUGUUGUAAGUUGAUUAAACAUAGUCUUAAAUCAACCCAAGGCAUUGUUGUAAUGUCUUUCUAUUGUGAUAAUAAACCACAAUGUCAUAGUAGUUUUAUGGUCGUAAAGAUCAAUGAAUUUCAUUGUUUAUUGUUUAGUGAUGGUAUGCAUUGUGUUGUGGGAGUACUCUUAUCACUAUGAAUUGUCUUUUUACAGGUUGAAUCUUGAUGGUCUCUUAUUCCAGGUGCCAUUUACCAACUUUGUAUAUUGGAAUGGAGUACAUGCGAACUCACAGCUUUAAGCUUGCCGAACAGGUGUAUUACUUUCUUCUAAAUAUAGGCUGCCUUUCAUUUUUCUCUUUAGAUUUCAAUGAGAACUCUUAAGAGGUUGUUUGUUUGCAAUAUGAAGUCUGAUUGUUGGAUAUUCAGAUGUUGGUCUAUACGAUUUGCUAGUUGAUGUUGUCUUGGGGGUUUCAUUUUCCUCUUUGGAUUUAAUGUGAAUACGACUUCUUUCCUCUUUGUUUAAUUGUGACAACUUCUAAUAGAUGCUAAUCACAAUCUUUAUUCAUGAUUCUGAGACCUGUGUAAUUAGAAUUUUGGUCAUAUCGUCCAUUUUCCUUUGUUGUCAAAAUAAUGUCUUCUUUACCCAAAUCUCUUAGUCAUAAUUCUUUGAAUAUAUUGUUGAAUUUCUGAUUAGCUGCCCUUUCUCCAGUUUUUCAUGCAGGCAAAGACCAUAUGCCCAUCAGAUCCACUUGUAUAUAAUGAACUUGGUGUUGUUGCUUACCACAUGAAGGAUGUUUGGUUCACUUGAGUUGCUGUUUUCUGUUGAUCCGUUUACCUUAUUAGUGUUUCAUUUUUAAUAAUAUUAUUACUUAAGUAUAUGAAAUUCUAGUUGAUUUAAACUUAGGUCUUGUUUGGUGUUGAGGUGUUGUAUCUUUUAAACUACAAGUGUUGUGGAAAAAAGCUGCAACUAUUAAAUAAAAGUUAAUAGCUUGUAGUAAAUAUAAUUUUUAAAUAAUAAUUUUGACAAAAUUAGUAAAGAUAUAAUAAAGUUUUCAUCAUACAAGUGUAAAAUCAAAUCAAGUUAACUUUCAAACUACAACAGCUGGUGCUUACCAAAUACUUUAGUGCUUUAGUUUUUAAGCUAUAGUUGUCCAAUUCAAUCCCAAACGGUGCUUUUCAGGAAUUGUGCUCUUUUUAUUGUUAUAUGUUAUGGCUUUUGUAUGAGUUCCCAAUCAUCAGUUUGACCAGCAAUUAUUUGAAAUGUGUGGUGGUUUGAAAAGACCUUGGCGCACAUUCCGUCCUCUUUAAGUGAAAUGUGGAAACCAACCGUGGUGAAUCUUGCACAUGCUUACAGAAAGUUAAAGUAUGUUUAAAUUUAUUGGAAUAGGUUGUCUCACUUGCAUUUUCUUGUUCUAUUGCCUACUCAAGAUAUUUAUCCUUUAUUUUAUUGUGUUUUUGUUGAAUUUUACAUGAAAUAUCAUUCAGAUAUCUAGAUUUGUUUUUUUUUUUUUGGCUAAAUUUUCAAGUAGAGGAUCAUCUUUAUCUUGAUAAAUGCAUUUUAUUUUAGGGAUUCCAGCAUAGGGUAAUAAUGUAAGAUUUUUCAGUUUGCAUCGUCUGAGAUUGUGAGCAGCAUGAAGAUAUAAGAAAGAAGUAUAACCUUCCUUAUACCGUCAUGGCUGCUUAUGAUCAGCUUUGCCCAGUAAGCUCGAGAGACUACUAGGAGCCGUAGAAGUUGUCUGUAGCACUUCCUAAAAGGACUUGAUGCAAAUAGUUUAAAUAAGGAUAUGCCGGAUUAUGGAUUGGUCUACUCUCUACUGGCUACUUCAUAUGCUACCCGUUUAUAUAUUUUUCUCUUUAUGGAAGAGUACUUUUUUUUUCAUGUUUUUGCUUUUUUCCUUCUUAGUAGGCGGUGGAUUUAGGUUUAUUUCUAGUAUUGCUAAUCUAUAAACAUACAUUUGACUUAUUGUUUAUUGAACCUGAUUCUAGAAUCUAUCAUGUUUCAGGAUAUAUCACGAGGCAAUAUCCAGUUACGAGCGAGCGCUGACGUUGUCGAAUAGAAGUUUGAGCACAAUAUAA
RNAcentral lists this long non-coding RNA (101581 nucleotides) under Citrus x clementina. RNAcentral's name for it is "Citrus clementina (C. clementina) long non-coding RNA (CCLE_LNC004420)". The record is from RNAcentral. Lineage: Eukaryota; Viridiplantae; Streptophyta; Magnoliopsida; Sapindales; Rutaceae.